Molecule: long non-coding RNA, 127672 nt
Filed under: Durio zibethinus
Lineage: Eukaryota; Viridiplantae; Streptophyta; Magnoliopsida; Malvales; Malvaceae
Description: long non-coding RNA (DZIB_LNC002374)
Source: RNAcentral
UGCAACAUUGGAGCGUUUAACCCACCCUGAGCGAACGUCUUUAUCUUUGGGCAAUCUUCCACAAUUACCGUUGCUAAGGAUGGGAAUCCAAAGGUAUGAUUCGCUGAUGAGCAGAAGCUUUCUAGAUUUGAUAGCCCAAUAAGUUCCAAAAGGUUGAGUUUGGGGAAAAUGAUUUCAUCCUUCACUUCAUCACGAUCCCCAUCGCUACCUUCUAUUAUUUCUUCUAUCUUUCUACAAUAAAUUAUCCUCAUUUCUCUGAGCUGCGCUAGGCUUUUGGCUGUUGAAUGUGCAACUAAUUUUAUGAUCCCAUCACAAUAUACAACUUCAAGAGUCAUCAGAUUCUGGAAACAUACUGAGGAUGGAACUAAAUUACUUUUUAAUUUGGGACAACAUUCCACAUGUAAAAUCCUUAGAUUUUGGAAUCCUUCUUUUUCCUUCCAUAGAUGCAUCAAUUCAUAGAGACUAGAAAGCCGUAAUUCAGUUAACCGAGAGAGUACCAUCGAUGCAGAUGCAGGCUUUUCCUCACCACCAACUCCUUCACUUUGGAAUACCAACUCUUCAAAGUAACAAAGUUCUAUUUGAAGGCUUUCAAGAUUGGGUAAGGAUAGUAAUUGGAACAGGUAAGAUGGGAAUAUGGCUAAUUGUUGAGGAAACCGUACAAGUCGGAGAACUUUUAGUUUGCAAAAGUAGUCCGAUGCAAGUCGUAGGCCAUGCAAUCUCUCUUUCAUCCCAUCAUCCCAUCCGAGGUGAAGUUGCUGUAGAUUUGGGAAUGCCAACUGCACAAUUCAUGCAAGUGUUAAUGGGAGGGAGGAUGAGUUGUUGAAAGGGAUCAAAAUGAACGAUUGUAAUAUGGUGGAAUAAAAAGAGAAAUUUAAAAAAGUAUAUCUUUAAUAUAAGUAGUUAUCUUUUUUUUUUUUUAUUGAAUCAUGCAUACCUAUAUAGUACUAGCUGAUUUGAGUAUGUCAUUAUUAUUAACGUAUUUUUUUUGUUAAAAAAAAUAGGUACAAUCGUUUUCUAACUUUUGAUAUACAUCAAUUUUUACAAAAAUUUAAAAUUCAAAGAAUCUUUUAAUGCAUAUAACUUUACUGAAAAACUAAUAAAGUAUACAUUUAAAAAAAAAAUAAAAUCUGAUUAUUGAAGUUUAAAGAUGCCUCUUUAGUUAAAUUAUAGAUCAAUCCAAAGUUAUACUAUAAAAUUAUAUAUUCUAUCUUGGUAAACAAAUUAUUGUAUUUUAUUCUUACAAAUAUAUUAAUAGUUUACAUACUUUUCUUUUUAAUAUUUAUUAUGUUGCCAUUAAAUGCUUUUUUAUUUUAUUUUUUUUCAAAACAAGUCAAUCUAUUUUUUGAAAUUUUGAUCCAAAGAUUAUUUAAGAUUUAAGAUUGAGGGAGUUAAAUACACUCUUAUUUUUCACUUUAUACCUUAUUUUUUAAAAUUUCCUUAAGUAAAAUUAUUUAAUUAUAAUUUUUUUAUAAAUUUUUUAAAAUAAAUGUUUGGAAAAUUGUAUAACUUGUUGGAUAUAAAUAUCAGAAAACUUAUGACAAAGAGUAAUUAAGUAAUUUUAUUUUAAAAAAGAUUUGAAAAAAAAAUAGCAUAAGAAAAGGAUGCAUUUAAUAUCACUCUUUAGGGUUCAGAGGCUGGGAAUCUCAUUAGCAAUUAGCAAUAUAAAUAGUUUACCCUCUAUUAGAUUAUUGAAAUCAAAAUAAAUUCUUAAACUCGAAUGAUGUAAUUAAUAAUUAGGUGCUAUUUCUAUUAAACAUAUAGUUUUACCUAUCAAUUUGUAAAUGAGUUUAAUUAUUUGAAACAAAUUUUAAGUUUAUAUUGGAGCCAUGGAGGGAGACAUUAAAAAAAUACCUUUUCACUGAAUAGGUAUUUUGAGACAUCCGAGUGGAGGUUCUCCAUUGAGAUGCUGCUCUCUCCUACUUCAUUUCCAACAGUUGUUCCCACACUUGUAGAAUCAGAAUGGACUGUGUUCAGAAGAGGACAUUUUUCUAUGUGCAGAUAUGUUAGAGAAGGGAAUUCAAUCAGAUUUUCAAAGCCAAAUCUUUUGAGCUUAGGAAGGUCCUCGAGCGUCAAGCGGUCUAAUUUUGGAAACACCAUUUUCUUCAUCCUUUCUUCUUCUUCUACUAAUCCUUCCGUCACUAUUAUUAUCUCUUCAAUUUCAUUACACUCUUCAACAGAAAGUGUUUUUAGUUGCACAAAAGCUUUCAACCAUAGAGGAAGUAAAUAUAUUCUUCAAAUUAUGGCACUUGUACACCGUCAACUUUGUUAAAUUUUGAACACCAAAAGAAGUUACUGAAAGUUGCUCAUGCCAUAGUUUUUUCGCUGGGAUUGAGUAUAGACACAACUGCUCUAAGCCUGGGAACACAACCUGCAAAUAAAAGUAAAGUUUGACGAUCAACAGUUCCUUAUUAUUCAAAUAUUAAAAAAGAAUUAAUAAUGAUUUCCAACAUUGAUAUGACACAAAGAAAUAAUAUAUUAUUGUCAUUGACUAUAUAUUUCUACAACUCCGUCAUCUUUAAUUAUACUAGCAAUAUACCCACACUUUCUUGUAGAUCUAAAAUUUUUUUUAUUUAUAGUUAAAUAAAUUUAAUAAAUCAAUGAAUAUAAUUUUUUAUAAUUUCUUAAUAAAAACAAUGAUUUAUAAUAAUUUAUUAAUUAAUUUGGGGAUAAUAUCUUUAUUUUAUUUACAGAACUUGUUAACAAAUCAAAUAUAAAUUCAUAUUUUCAAAUAUAGUUAAAAAUAUUAAAAUAGAUAAUUUAAAAACUUAAAAAAAAUCUAAAACUUAAAAAAGGAAAAGUGUCAAGCAAAAAGGGAAAAAAAAAAAAAGAAAAAUGACCCAAAUGAAUUUACCAAGUCGACACUCCCACUUAAAGAGGACAAUGGACGAGUAGAAGCAUGUUAUGGUUAUCCUAACUCCAACUUAAUCUCGGAUUAUUAUUUUUUAUACCUAAUCUAACCUAACAUAUAAAUAUAGUAUUUUAUUAAAUAUAUGGAAUAUGCAUGGACACUAUCUUUUAAUGAUAGAAAAGAGGUUGAGUCAAGGUGCGUUUAUACACACCUUGACUCUUAACUCAAAUUUUUAAUAAUUCAAUUAUACUUUGAUUUCAAUCCGACAUUGAGUUAUCAUUAAUUGAUAUCUUAUCUUAACCUAUCACAUAUAUGUAUAACCCGCAUCCAUUCCAAAUUAAUCAAAAUUAAUUCAAAAAAUUUAACUUAGUAUACUGUUUAUAAAUUAUAUCUUAAUUAUGUAUAAAUAUAAUAGUUUAUUAAAAUAAAAUAUUAACUAAUAAUUUUAUUAAUAUAAAUAUAUAAAUAUAAAAUUAAUUAAAUAAUAAAAUAUAUAUUUUUAAUAUAUGCCAAAAAUGAGAUGGAAUAUCCCAAAUCCGUUUCCUACCACUUAUCCGAUUUAAAAAAAAUUCCAACCUAAUUUCAAUUUUAAAAUAUAAUGUACCUAUUGGAUUGAGAGAAAUCAAAAUCCAUUGAAUUUGUUUUGUCAUCCUUACAUCAAUUGUCUUUUUUUUGUAUGAAAUUUUUUUAUUAAAAAAUUUUUUUAAAAAAAGUAAUUGGCAAAAAAAGAAAAAAAAGCCAAAUAAAAGUGUUGUAAAUUUAUUAAAUUAAGAUAUUAAAUAAUAAUUUUACUAAUAUAAUAAAUAUAUAAAUGUAACAUUAAAUUAAUAAUAAAAAUAUAAUUUUAUAUAUAUCUUAGACAAGAUAAAACAUUUUAAAAUAAUCUUUGAACAAAUCUUAAGUUAAAAAAAAAAUUUCAAUCUAUUCUCAAAAUUUUUAAAACAUCACAUCUAUAUUGAAUCGAAGUGAAUUGAAAUCCAUUAGAUACAAAUUGUUUCAUAAAUUUUACAUUUAUUAUUUUUCUUACAAAAUUUAUCUAAUAAAAAUUAAAACCAAAUAAAAAAAUAAAAAAAUACAUUUUAAAGGAAGGUUAGGUGGCACAUAGACCCCCCAUCUUCCUCCAAAAUCUAAAAUAUUUAUAAAAUUGAUUGUUGAAAGCCUUUUGGUUGAAAUAAUUAACUUCGUACAAUGAUUAUAAUCUUCCAUGAAAUAAUUAGAAAAAAAUCAAAUAUUGGCUUGAAGUUGCAAUAAAUAAAGUCAAUCAUUAAAUUUUAUGUAUUAGUUAUUAACUCCUAACCAAAAAAAAAGUACAAUUUUAGAUCUAUAAUCAUAUAUAAUAUCAAUAAUUUCAUUAUAUCACUCAAGUCAUGACUUGUAAAAAUAAGAGUUUUAAAGUUUUAUUAUUAGAGGUGUUCAUCGAUUAAACCUAUCAAGUUCUGUUUUUAAAGCUAAUAAAAGGCCGACAACUCACUCAUUUAUUUUAUUGACAAAAAACUCACUCAUUUAACUAAUAUUUUUUUAUUAAAAUAAUAAACUUUUCUAUUAUUAUUAAUAUUUUAAACAUAUAAAAACAAAAUUUAACAAAAAUAUAAUAUUUAUUAAUAAAAUAAUUUAAUCAGCCCUAUUCAAGCUGAAGCUUAAAAAAUCAUAUGCAGCCUGACCCUUUAUAUCUUCAGUUUCGACGAUCCCCUCUAUAAUUCAAAUAAUUAAGACUUUCAAUUUUAAAGUUUUAAGUCUACAAUGAUAGAAUAUCUCUUUGGAUGACUAUAAAAUGUUAUAAUGUUUGUGAGAAAAAAAUCUAUAUGUGAAAAGGAGAAUUAUAAGACUUGAAGAAAAUAACAUAAAAGAUGGAAAAAAAAUCACCUUCAGAUAUACAUUCUGGUCUUACAAUAUAUUAACAUAUAUACUUCAUCACUUUGUUUUCAGGUUAAGUUAAUAGGAAAAUUACAAUCUAAAACACUAUUGAUAAUAAAUUUAAAUUCCACACCAUCGAAUUUAGAUGAUUGCUAAAUAACUCAAUAGGAUAUAAUUUUAAAAAAUUAAUAUAAUAAAAAACAUAUGAUAAUAUUUUAACUACACUUACAAAAUUUAAAAACUCUACCAACAAUGUAUGAAACAAAAAUUUUAUGUUCAAACAAUGGAGAAAAGCAUUAAGAAAAUACCUUUUCAUCGAAUAGAUAUUUUGGUACAUCAGUGCAGUGUUUCACCAUUGAGAUGCUAUUCUUUCCUGCUUCAUUUCCAACAAUUGUACCCACACUUGUAGAAUCAGAAUGAAAUGUGUUCAAAACUGGACAUCCAAGAAUCCAUAGUUCCUUUAAAGAGAGGAAUUCAAUUGGAUUUCCACAACAAAAUCUUUUGAGAUUGGGAAGAUUGAAGAGGUGCAAAUUGUCUAGUUUAGGAAACACCAUUUUCCUCAUCCUUUCUUCUUCCAGUAAUCCUUCUGUCACUGUUAUUACCUCUUCAAUUUCAUUACAAUUCCUAAUAUAAAGUGAUUUCAGUUGCACGAAGCUUUCAACCAUAGAAGAAGUAAAUAGAUUCUUCAAAUUAUGACAUUUCUCAACAGUCAAUUCCGUUAAAUUUCCAACACCAAAAGCCGUUACUGAAAGCUGAUCAUGCCAUAAUUUUUCAACUAUGAUUGAAUCUAACCGCAACUCCUUUAAGCAUGGGAACACGACCUGCAAAUAAAGAAAAAUAUUUGAUAAUCAACAAUUUUUAUUAUUCAAAUAUUAAAAAAAAUUAAUAAUGAUUUCUAAUAUUGACUACAAUUUUCAAGGAAAUUAUUAAACAAAAAUUAAAUAUUUACUUGAAUUUGCAACUACAUAAAGUCAAUUAAGUCAUUAAAUUUUGAGUAUGAAUUAUUGACUCCUAACCCCAAAAAUAAAGCACAAUUGACGAUCUAUAUAUAUAAUAUCAAUUCUUAAGUUCAUUAUAUAACACGCAUGUCAUGAAAGUGAAUUGGAGUUUUAAGUUUCAGAGGCGCAUUUGGAUUGGCCUAUCAAGUCUCCCUUCCAAGGCUGACUCAACUCACUCAUUUAAUUAUUAUUUUAUUAAAAUAACAAAAUUUUAUUAUUAAUAUUUUAAUAUUGCAAACAUAUUCAAAAUUAAAAUGUAACAAAAAUAUAAUAUUUAUUAAUAAAAUAAUUUAAUCCUUCUGGAUGAGAUUUGAGUUAAAAAAACCUUUUUUUAUGUUUUAUUGAAUACUUAUUUUAAAUAUAUUAAUAGAAUAUUUUAUGAUAUAUUUUAUUUUCAUUAAUUUUGAUUUAAAAAUCACUAAAAUUGAAAGGACAGUAAUAAUGACAAAAUUGAAGACUCACCUACAAUAAUAAAUUUGCUCUUUAUCCAAAUUAUAACAUUCACAUAUUAAAUAGAAAAUCUAGUUUAAGAAAAAGGAACAAAAACGAUAUCAAAAGGAAAUAUGUUGGAAGUGAGAAUUUAACGAAAAGAAGAAAUAUAUUGACAUAAAUACCUUUCGGUCAAAAAGUGCUGUGGCAGUUGAACUUCCAUCAAUUGAUUGAACUCUUCCUUGUUGAGACGAGGAAAGCUUUUUUUCUGAGUUAAACAAGCCAAUGAAACUUGGUAGAUCUUCUAACCUUAAAGAGCGUAAUUGGCUGAAUUCUAAAAUGUCAUCAUCACCAAUCUCUUCCUCCCUCUUUUCUACAAUUAACUCCGUGAAAUUCUUGCAAUCAGAUACACGAAUUUUUUGAAGGUGGCCGAGCUUUCUGGCUAAGGUGAAUGAGAACAAAUUCUUCAACAUAUUACAAUCUUCAACAUUUAUCUUUCUUAGUUGACCAAAACAUUCAGCUUGGAGUUGACCAUAAUAUAUGGCCUCCAAAUUGUUCAGUUUACGAAGAAACAAUGUCUCCAAAAGAGGAAAUGCUUUACAAGAAGCCAACUCCUUGAUUAGAUAUUUAACCUCUGAAUCAUUGCAGACAUCAAGAUGUUUUAAAUGUGGGAAACCUUGGGUAUCUGGAUCAUAAAGCAUGUCUAUGACAUCUUUCCCUGCAUCCAGAUGGAGAGUUUCGGUUUUUCUCAACAACGUUUUAACCCCACUAUCGUCCAAAUAAAUACUCUUAUUCAACUUGAGUUUCAACUCUCUCGAGGUUUUUGACUUAUAAGACUGCCGCCACUUCUCUCCAAUGGAAAUUUUGUAUCUUUCAAACUUUUCAGAAAACAAUUCCUUUGGCACACCUUGCAGAUCAGGAAUAUGUACUUCCAAAGUUGUCAAACGACACAAAUGUUGCAACUCAACAAGGCUAGCAUUGGUUCUUGGCUUCUCAUGUCCCUCAACCUCCCAUCUAUCAAAGCUAUGAAGUAGGUAUAAUUCUUCUAAUCUGGAUAAACGAGACAAGACAUUUGGUGAUAUUACUUUAAGACUGGAACAAUGACUCAAAUCUAGCAAUUUUAGCUUGAUCAAUUGUCCUAUUUGGGGUGGUAGCACUGCAAUUUUAGAUUUUCGGAAGCUAAGGAUUUCUAAAUUCUUUAACUCUUCAAUGAUGACUAUAUCUUUUAAAAUGCAGUCAGAAAAACAUAAAGUACGGAGAUUUUUUAGGAAACAAAAUGACGAAGGCAAGGAUGGAAAAUCAAGUUUGGCAAAAUCUAAGACUCUGAGUUUUUGCAUUCCCCUAAAGAAGUUGUCUGAAAUUUUCAAAGAGGAAUCCUCACUACCCAAAGAGACAAAGGUAAGAUUUGGACAUUCCAACCGAUCAUGAUCAGAAGGUUCACAAACCUUAGCAUACUGCAAGCUGAUCAGUUCGCAAUUUCUCAUUUUUUCCUCAUUUGACAACUCUUUGAAUACAUCAUCAUCAUCCCUUCCUAGAGCAAGCCAAUGGUGGUCUCUCGAAGCGAUCGAUAAGGCAACAUCACAAACAACGUCAUGCAUAUCAAAGCGCUCAAAGGUAGAACCAUCAAGUAACAAAGAAGAGCUUUUCAGGUUGUUAACCAAUGCGGAUACUUUAUAUCGUGCUUCUUUGAUUGUAUUAACUGCAUGAAAUAAACCCAAACCCAUGCCAUAUCUCAACAAGCGGUCGAUGGCAGCAUCAUGGCCCAUUAUGCUACAGAGUAGGAAAGUAGGUCGAUGUUCCUCAUCUUCUAAAAACUUGUAACUCAACUCUAUAGCUGAAUAUGCACCUGCUGGUAUCCCCUUGAAGUUUCUUUUAGAGGGAUUUCUUAGUUCAUUCAAGGCAUACUUCCAAUCAGACAGAUUCUUCUUAUUUUUCAUAGCUUCCCCAACUGUUACAAUGGCAAUCGGCAAUCCAGCACAUUCAUUGGCCACUUCAAUUGCCGUAGUUUCCAAGUCAGGGCUUAGAACAAUAUCACCUGCCUUCUUCUUAAACAGGUUCCAUGCUUCUUCUUCUUUCAAUAUUUCAAUUGGAAUGUUUUUCAGCGAACCCAUCAAAGAUAAAGCAUCAACCUUUCUAGACGUCAGUAAGAUCUUGCAUCCUUGGUGUUCACCUCCGUAAGGAACUCCCAGAGCCUCCAUAUCCAAUUUCUCCCAAAUAUCAUCCAAAAUAACAAGAACCUUGCUUUUCUUUAGUCUGUUACGCAGUUCGCCUGCUCUCCCGGGCUCACUCUGCAUUUCAAACUUCAGACCCAAUUCAUCUGCAAUCAGUUCUUGAAUUUUCUUGAUGUCAAAACUCUGGGUUACGGCUGCCAUGACCACCUUAUCAAACAAAUCAUCCUUGGCUUGUCUAGCAACUUGUUUAACUAGUGUGGUUUUACCCACACCCCCCAUCCCGUAAACACCAAUUAUGCUCAAAUUAGCAUCUUUAAGCGCCUCCAUGACCGCAUCGAAAGCACCCGUUCUUGACUCAAAGUCCUCGUACUCUCUGACAGGUCUACUAGCUAUCCCUUCUGGAGCAGGUCUGUAUGAAACUCCACCAAAUCGGUCUUUAUCUUUCAAGAGUUCAGCAAUGGUGUUGGCCUCUUUCUCAGCUUUUCUACUGAGUUGGUAACGAGACUUAAAAUUAGGACACAACCCAACGAAACACAUCUGCUUUGCUUUCUCUUCAUCUUCAUCCAAUUGCCCAGCAGCCUCGUCACAGAUCCCUCUGACCUUAGUCAACCACUCAUCCACAUAGCUAAAUAUCUCCUUUCCCUGUCUCGUAGCCGCAUUAACAUCCUCUUGCACACUUUCUCUUGCAAUCUUCAGUUUUUUAAGUUGAUCCCUGAGGUUUUGAAACUUGCUCUUAUGCUUGAACAAGUAACUAACUUGUCGUGCAAUGGGAUCAACUGUGUAUUCCACCGCUUUCCCAGCAAGAGAGCCAAGAAUGGAUCCAACAAUGGAAAUACAAGCCUCCAUAUUUUUUUUUCUGUUUUUUUUUUUUAAUCGGAAGAACGCUCCCUGACAAAACCUAAAACAAUAUGAACAGUAAUAUUCAAAACCCAAAAUAAAAAAAUAAUAUAAAUCAAAUAAUCAGAGAUGAAAACAGUGGAAAUGGGUUUAAACAAACAUACCUCUGUCGUUCUCUUAGAUAUCAAAAGAUUGUUCGGCUACAGCUUCUUCCUAUCCUCACUUUGAGUAGUGAAGCCAAAAGAACAGAGAACCUACAGACAAAUUUUAAGGAAUUCUUUUUUCUUUUUUUGGUGAAUAAAGCUUGAGGAUUCAGCAGUUGAAAGAGUUUAGGAGAUGGCAGUUUGAGAGAACAGAGAAUCAAAACUCAGAAUUGCGUGUUUUCUAUAAAAGAGUAUGAACAGCCAAGAGUCGUAAACAAAUGGGAACAUGUUGACAAACUAAAGGACGACUAAAGCACGGCCAGCUGGUCUCCAUUCUGCGGUCCCUGGGUCCUGAUUGUGCGCCUCUGGGCUGUGGCACAUGAUUUCUGUCGGUAAAGUAUUAUUUUUGAGUAAAUUACACCAAAAUCCUUGUUGUUAAGCACUAAUAUACAGUUGUCAUUUUUUUUUUUACCUAAUGAUGAAAAAGCUAUUAGGAAAACAUAAAAUCUUGAUUUGAUUUUCUUCAUUUUCAUAAAUUAUGCUCGUCUUAUAUACCAAAAAUGAAAUACUAUCAUCUUCAAAAGUUUUAGCCAAGACAUGAUAAAUACAUCAUUACAAAUAACAUCAAAUUUUUAUUAUAAUCGAAGUUAAAAAACUUUUAUUUACAUUCAAAAAUACUCCUUGAAUCCAAUUUUUUUAUUAUACAAAUAAUCAAUAGGUGUUAAGUUCCAUCAAAUUAUUUUUUACUUCUUCGGUUUAUCAUUUUUAAAUCCAACGAAUUUACUAAUUCAUAAAUUUAUAAAUUUAUAAAAAUUUAUGAAUUUAAAUAAUUGUAAGUUUUUUUAAUUUAUAAAAAACAUUUUUAUCAUUUAUGAUUUCAUAAAAAAAUUUAAUAAAUCAAAUUUUAAUUUUAAUCAAAAUUUAACAAAAAAUAAAUCUUAAAUUUAGUUGAAACUUAUAAUUUUAAAAUUUAAAUUUAAAAUUUUGAAUUUACAAGUCCACGAGCUUUUUAAAAAUUUAUCUUUAACCUCUUCAAAUUUAACCAAAAAUACCCUUUUUUUUUAAUAGGAUGACAAGUAAUAUAACUAAACCAAUUUCAGCUUCUUAAUUUAGUGAUAAAAAAAUCUUCAAAAAAAUACGAAAUUGAGGUUUGGCUCUAUGCUUUCUUUCUUCUUUAUUAUUGUAAAGCUCUCUCCCCUUAAAAUCAAACAACAUAAAUGAUAACUCAUUAAAGUUAUAAAAAAUAUCAAAUUAGUAUUUUUAUUAAUAUCAAACUAAGUAUAAAUUAUAUCUGUUAUGUUUACUUGAAAACUUCUUAUAAUUUAUAAUAAGAUUUAAAAUAAACUAUAUAUUUUUAAUUAUUAUGAUAUAUUUACAUAUUAAUAUUUCAUUUAAAAAAAAUUAUAUAAUCUCUUAUAUUAUGUAUUAUCAAUUAUCAGGUGAUUUAAAAUAAAAUAUACAAAACAAGCUAUUGAUUUGUGUAUAUAUAUGUUACAUAUAUGUUGUAAUUAUAUUAUUAAAUUUUAAUCAUGAAAUUUAAAAUAAAUUAUGUGAUUUCCUUUUUCCUUUUUUUUUUUUUGAAUGGUAAGAAAUUGAUGAUAUGAAGCAAAACAAACAAUAAAAGGGAAGAAGGCUCACUGACAAAACCCAAAACAACAAAAACAGCAAUAUUUAAAAACUAAAUAUAUAUAAAUCAAAUAAUCAGAGAUGAAAGCAGUGGAAUGGGUUUAAACAAACAUACCUGUGUCCUUGUCUUAGAUAUCAAAAGAUAGAUCGGCUACAGCUUCUUCCUAUCCUUACUUUGAGUACUAAUAUCAAAAGAGCCGAAAACCUACAGGAAAAUUUUGAGGAAUUAUUUUUUCUUUUUUUUGGUGAAUAAAGCAUGAGGAUUCAGCAGUAGAAAGAGUUGAGAGAACGGAGAAUGAAAACUGAGAAUUGCGUGUUUUCUGCAAAAGAGCAUAAAAGGCGGAGACUAGUCAAGAAAUGGGACAUGAUGACAAACUAAACAACAAUUAAAAGCACAGCUAGGUCGUCUACAUUGUGCUAUCCCUAGGUCAUGAUCGUGCGCAUGUGGCUGUGACCAUGCCUUUCUGUCGGAAAGUAUUAUUAUUGAGUAAACUAUACCAAAGUCUAUGUUGUUAAGCACUAAUUUAACAUCACGCCAUCCGUAUGAUAAAUAUACGGUUCUCAAUUUCCUUGGUGUAAUAAUUAAAAAAAUUUCAGCAGGACAUAAAAAAUCUUGAUUUUAAAUUAAUUUUUUUAUGACGUAUGUUCAUUUUAUAUAUAAAUAUAUUUAUCAUUCUCCAAAGGUUUUACAAUCACAUCAAAUUUCUGUUAGAAUUAAAGUUGGAAGUUUCGUUUACAUUCAAAAUUUCUUGAUGCAUUUAAUGUUUUUAUUAUAAAAAUAUCCAAAUUAACUCUUUUAGCAAAUUACUUUUCACUUCUUCCUUGCAUAAUCCUACAGAUUUAUAAAGUCAUAACUUUAUAAAAAAAUUUAUGAAUAUGAGUGUUUGUAAAUUCUUUAAAUGGGUGAAAAAAAUAUUUUUUUAUUAUAAAAAUAUUCAAUGUGAAAGUAAUGAUUUCACAACAAAUUGCUUAACACCUCAAAGGUCACCAAGAGAUUUGGGCAGAAAAGGCAGUCAAGUAAAUGCAAGUCAACAUAACAUCCAGGAAAAUGGCAAGAAGCGUUUAGUUUCCAACAAACAUCAAAAUCAUCGUAGGUUUGGCAAUACUCUAGGAAGUCCUUCCUUGAGCUCGCAUGUUGGUAACAUGCAUUUACAUGAGAGGAAUCGUAGUACAAUUGAUGUCACUAAAAGCUCUAGUGUCUCUGCACCUGUCUUUGGCUCACAAAAAAUAAAAAUCAGAGAGCUAGGAUUUUAAGAGGGAAAAGACUGAGGACAAGUUUGACGUUGAUCAGAUCUGGGCAUUAUAUGGUAGGGAUGGCAUGCCUAAGGACUGUGCUCAAUUCAAAAAGAUUGAAUCCACCCCUCAUUUCAAAUUGCGUGUGGCACUGCUGGAAAUGUGCUCAAGGCCUAAAGACUUGAAACUACCCUUUGUUGUAGGAUAUUUAAAGUUAAAAGUGGCCAAACCAAGGUUAACGUUGUCUCUCAUCAAUUAAGAGCCGAGCCCAUUGGGAAGAACAAAUACAAAAUUUACCCUAAAAAGGGGAGGUUUGGGCAAUAUACAAGAGUUAGAACUCCGCAGAUUCAGACUUGGGUACGGGUGAAUGUGACAUUGUAGAAGUGUAGGAAGAUAAUGCCAAGAACAAAAAAGUUAUGGCUCUGUCAUGUGUAAAUGGCUCUAAAUCACAUUAUAGGGCUUCAAGAAGUCUAAGUGCCGAAGAUUGAGUUUGCUACUUUUUCUCGUCAGAUUCCAGCUUUACAGCACACAAGAGAAAAGGAUUGCUACUGGAGAGGCUAUUGGGAGCUUGAUCCCUUGACUAUUCCUAGUGUUCUUAUUUGUAUAGAGUGAUAUGCUAUAUUGUGUUGUAUCAUUAAUUCCCUCACCUCAGUCUUACCAGGAGCUUUUGUGAGUAUGCUUCAAGGGAGAAAAUGGAAAGAACUUAGAAAAAACCUGACGAAAUUAUUUUUGCCUCCUGUGUUGGAAAUCAUGCACGGCCUUAACCGUUAACCAUUUUGUUUUUGCCAAAAUGUACUCUUUUGGAAUGUAAUUUUAUGAUUUAAAAAAAAAAUGAAGUUAUUCAUAGCUCUUUAUUUUUAUUAUUCCCUAAACCUUUUUUUUUUUGGUCUGGAAAAGGAGUAUUAUUCCCUAAACAUUUCAAUUUAUUAAGAAUUGCUUUAUUUUGAAACUCAAACAAUUAAACCUUAUGGUUUUAAAUUGGCCGCUUGUCCUAUAAAUUUGAAGUAUAGAUUAGCCCUUCAAAUUGUUAAUGUGGCAAUAAAUUGAGGUGGGGAUAACUUUAUACUUGUUUUUCUAAUCAUAUUCUCUAUUACUAAGUCUUAACUCGAGAUCUAUCGCACCUUAAGCGAGAACCGUACCGCUAGACCAAGUGCCCUUAGUUGAGGUCAAUUUACUUCUUCUUUUUGUCACUAAAAAAAAAAAUUACAUGCUCUUAUUAUUUUUCAAUUUAAAGAAAAUAUCCUUAAAUGGCAGCAAAAUUACAGCAAAACUUGUUCCCUUCAGUUCAGUUUUUGCAGUUCUCAAUUUGUCUUGUCUUUGUCAUUUAAACCAGGUCCCUUUUAUUUGUUUUACUUCAAAAUUCCAUACAAAUUUUCAUUUUUUUCACAUCUCGAUCAAGACUCUCUUCUUAGAUUUUUUACACCCUAUUUUUAACAACGCGCUUUAACUGUUCGAUGUAAUGCUUCCUUAUAUACUCUGCAAAGUACUUGCAAUUAUGUUUUGACAUUUUGUUUUUGUUUUCCAGGAUGUUCUUUGCAAGAUGAUGAAGCAAGUAAUAGAGAAGGUUUUGAGCAAAAGGAUAGUUUUUGCUUGCUCUAUUUCGUGAACAAUGACUUCCGAAAAUUAUUUCUGAAAAAUAUUUACAUUUUGUUAAUUUAUUUAUUUAUUUUGUUAUUUAGAGGAAUUAAUGAAAAAUCUUUUCCAGUAUUUGAUUUUUUUAAAAAUCUUAUAUAACUAUUAAAAUAUUAAAAAUUAUUUAUUAUUAAAGUAUAUUAAAAUUAUUAAUAUUCAAAAAUAAUUAUAUUUUGAUAAUAAUAUUUAAUAUUAGAAUAUUAUAUUAAUAUAAAAAUACUUAAAAUAAAACUAUUAAUUAUUUUUUAUUACUUAUUAUUAUAUUAUAAUUUUAUUUAUUAAUAUAUUAUAUUAAUAGUAUAUUAUUUAUUAAUAUAUUGUUAUAAUAUUUAUUAACUAAUAUAAUAAUAUUAAUUAAUAUAAUGUUCUAAUAUUUAAUAUUAUAUAAUAAAAUUAAUUAAUAUAUUAUUUAUUAAUAUAAUAUUAUUUAUGAAUAAAAUUAUACUAAAAAAUAUUGAUAAAUAAUUUGACUUGGAUAAUUUUUUUCAAAAAAUCUUUCUUUUUAAAAUUUGUAAAAUAAUUUUUUAAAAAUGACUUUAUUUUUUAUUUUUUAAUAAUUAAUAAAUUAUUUUUCAUUAAUUAAUAAAUUAUUUUUUGUUAAUCAAUUAAUUUUUAUCAAAUAAAAAAUUAAAAAUGUAAAAUUAAUUUUUUUAAUUUUUUGCAAAACAACGAAGCAUCAAAUUCUGCAAAUAAGCUUUUUUUUGCCUUGCUUGUACUUGCCCACGAUUUCUCUUCGCGUUGGACAGGUAACUCGUUUUUUCUUAUGAAUUUUAUUCAGUUUUUAUGGAUACCCAAUUCAUUUAUCGAUCGAAAAAUUUGUCAAUUAAACCCAAAGCCCAUUAUCCACUGAUGUUCCAGACUCCCGAUAUUGUGUUCAUUGUUUUAUAUUUCUUGAAACAUGGGAAAUCUUAUUUGCAGCGUGUUUUUGGCAAGUCCUCUAUUUGUAUGAUACUUACAAGAAUUCAAUUGGUGAAUUUUAACUGAAAUUUAAUUAGCUGAGAGUUCUUAAGUUUUUUUUAAAUCGGAAACAUUUCAGUUACAAUUAUUUAAUUGCAAUUAAUCAAUUAUAAUUCAUAUUUGUGUAAAAUUCAUUAAAAAAUUAUAUAAAACUCAUAUUUUUUAAGUGAAAAAUUUAUAAGUAAAAUUCUCUCUUUAAAAACUGAGAUUUACAACUUUCAACACCCAUAAUCAUAUAUAAAUAUAUCUUUAGAAUUAACUUGUAAGCUAAUCACUUGCAUACAGCAAAAUCCAGUUCAGUCAUGUUUUGGUUUUGACCAAAUUUCUUGACUAUUUAUUAGACUCCGAAAUUUUCGUAUCCAUGUCUAUUUAUUCAUGUCUUAAUAGAUGUAAAAUAUAAAUAUUAUCACUAACACAUUAAACACAAAAUAUUUUUUUAUUUUUAUUGAAAUUAUAUAUAAUUUUUACUAAGAUUUUAAACUAUCGCUUUUAUUUUUUUAUCAUAUUAAUUUAAAAUUAUAUUAUAUUUAAAAUUGUAUUAUAUUGCUUUGCUUUGGUAUUGACAAAUAGGAAUUGUCAGUAUAUGGUUCUUAAUUUUGAUUGUUAGAAAUGCAUGACUAAGAAGAUUCCAUAUGGAAUAUGUUACUCUAAUACGUGACUCUACGGUGGGUGUUUGGGGACACGCUAUGUUUUUGUGUCUGCGUUUUGACAAAUCAAGUUCCAUGGCAUGAACAGCCUCUUGCACUCUUUCUCUUGAAUCCUCCAGUUUUUGACGUUGAUCCCUGAGGUUUUGAAACUUGCUCGUUUACUUGAACAAGUAACUAACAUGUUAUGCAGUGGGAUCAACUGUGUACUCCGCCGCUUUGCCAACAACAGAGCCAAGAAUGGAUACAACAGUAGAAAUAACAGUCUCCAUUUUUUUUUUUUGAAUUGGUAGGAAAUUGAUGUUAUGAAGCAGAACAAACAAUAAAACAAGAGCGAAGAAAGCUCACUGACAAAACCCAAAACAAUAGAAACGGCAAUAUUCAAAACCCAAAAAAACAAAAUUUAUUUUAAUCAAAUAAUCAGAGAUGAAAACAGUGGAAAUGGUUUUAAACAAACAUACCUCUGUUCUUGUCUUAGAUAUCAAAGGAUUGGUCGGCUACAGCUUCCUCCUAUCCUCACUUUGAGAACUGAAGCCAAAAGAGCAGAGAACCUACAGGAAAUUUUUUGAGGAAUUUUUUUUUCUUUUUGGUGAAUAAAGCUUGAGGAUUCAGCAGUAGAAAGAGUUUAAGAGACGGUUGUUUGAGCGAACAGAGACUCAAAGCGUGUUUUCUGCAGAAUAGCACGAAAAGGUAAGACCAGUAAAAAAAGAGGAACAUGAUUAAUUAUAAUAUAUUCUUGAGUAAAUUACACUCUUUCUCUUGAAUCCUCCAGUUUUUGACGUUGAUCCCUGAGGUUUUGAAACUUGCUCCUUUACUUGAACAAGUAACUAACAUGUUAUGCAAUUCAAAAAUCCCACUAGCAGGAUGGAGGUUUAGAGGGCUUUUCCAUUCCCACCACUCCUACUGUUUCCAAAAAUACCUUUCCUUUUAUUUUUUUUCCUUUAAAUUUAAUAGAUACAAACUUUUCUUUUUAUUUUUGUUUUUAUUUUUAAACUUUGUUUUAAAUAAAAACUAAUUAUUAUUUUAAUAUAAAAAAUAUAUUAUCUUUUAUCAAAAGUUUAUGAAUAAUGUUAAGGAUCUUUUGCCUUUGCCUCACCGCUACGUUCAGUGAACCUAAAACAACCAGAAGAACGCUCCCUGACAAAAACAACAAUAAUGAAAGCCAAAAAAUUAAAUUAUCUUAAUCAAAUAAUCACAUAUGAAAACAGUGGAAAUGAGUUUAAACCAAUAAAGUUUGAGAAAUUGGGUACUAGACCGAGUUAAAAGGAAUGGUAGUUGCGAGAAAGGGCUGCUAGUUGAGAAAAUAGGGAAUCAAAACCAAUAAUUGUGUGUUGCUUGGGAAAGAGCAUGAAAAGUCAAGACUAUUACGCCAUUCAUUGCGCACUUCACGAAAAAGUAUUUUUAGUAAAUUACACUAAAAUCCUUGACAUUUAGUACUAAUUCAACAUUACUCUAUUAGUAUGAUAAAUUUACAUCAUCCCCAAAGUUUUAACUGUGUUAAAUGACAACAUCAAGGUUCCGUAAGAACUGGAGUUAAGAGGGUAUUGGAGGCGCAUCAUAUGCAAUUUAUGUUAUGCCAACAAUACCCUCUCUUUUACGGAAUAACAAGUAAGAACCAAACCAACCUGUCUUUUUACUUUAUUUCUUCUUUUUGACUUAAUGCUCAAGUAUGCGAUAAAUUUUUUAUACAAAAUAAAUAUAUAUCCUCUAUCUUCUAUUACAUGUAAAUAAAUUUCUAAUCUUUUAUUUUAUUAUAAAUAAAUUUAUAAACUUUGUAAAUCACAUAAUCAAAUUUAAUUUCAUUAAAUUUAAAUCUAUUAAUUUUAGUCCAAUCCUAAAAAGCACAUCCAAUUCACUUGACUUAACCGAGUUUGACCUAACUUGAAAUUAAAAACAAUCCAAACUUCAAUUAAUCAAAAUCCAAAUUAACGUGAACUUAAAAUGAAUUAAAACAAAAAUUUUCAAAGUUAAAAUGAUUCAAAAAAUUAAUUUAAAAUAAUAGAUUGAUCAAUACUAAAUUAGUUUUAAUUAAAAACAUUAAUUUAAUGAAAUAAUAAAUAUAACAUAAAUAAAAUUUUUUAUAGGAAAAUAAAAUUUAUUCUUGUCAUCGAUUGUUAAUCAUUGGUUUUACUUUUUAUAUAAGACACUUGCUAUUAUAUUCUUAUCUUAAUUUUUUUUUCUCAAUGAAAAUGAAAUUUCAACCAUCCUCAUAAAAGUUACGUAAACAAAUGGGAAGGACAAGCCACAUUAUCAUCUUUGGUUCAAUAAUUUAAGUAGGAAUGACAGGAUUAUCUUUCCAUCUGAAUUCUCCUUUGAUUGGUUAAGACUUCAUGUGGAAGAACAGUAGCUCUGGGGAACACUUUUCAAUAUUUGAUUGUAUUAUAUGCGUUUUAUUCUUAGUUAAUUUGGUUUUUUAUCUAUGUGCUAGGGAUGUAAAAACCCUCAUAGUUGAAGUGUUCCAAGCUAAUUUUAUUUUCAUAUUUUAGUAAUUUACACAAAAUUAAAAAAAUGAAAGUAUGCAUGUAUUUUUUGUUAUUUAAUUUAUUCCUUGAUAACAUAUAUGUUUUGUUUUUAAAAAAUAUGUAAUUUAUUUGUAUUUGAUAUAAUAUUUGGAUAUAUAAAUAUUAUUUCAAAUAAAAAUGAAGUAAAAUAAAAAUAAAGUGUAAAUUGAAAAUAUAUCAUUUUUUAUAUUUUUAAAAUAAUUUAUUUUUUAUAACAAGUUAAUUAAAUAUAAAAAUUUUAUAUAUUAUAAAUUUUAAAAUUUUAAAUAUAAUUUAAAAAAUAUUUAUUUAUAUAUAUACGUCAAAUAAAUAAAAUUAUUUCAUACAUGAAUUACAAUCUAGUUGAUGAUAUGAAGCAAAACAAUCAACAAAACUACAUUUGAAAUCGACUGUAACCUCGGUGAGAUUAGCAAUUUUUUUAGACAAUCGCACUGGACAGAGAAUUUAAAGAACCAGAUAUAGAAUGGUUGCACCAAAUAAAUCUUACGGCAAUUCAAACCAAAGGGCAACUAAAGCACAGCUAACGGACAGCCAGGUGGUCUCCUCUGUGCGGUCCCUGCGUCUCGAUUGUGCGCUUGUGGGCUGUGGCACAUGAUUUCCGUUGAUAAAAAAUUAUUUUUGAGUAAAUUACACCAAGGUCUUUGAUGUUAACCUAAUAUAUAUUUAUAUUAUAUUUUAUAUAAAAAUUAUAUUAUAAUUUAAAUUAAUAAAAACAUAAAAAAAUAUAUUUUAAUUUUUAUUAAACUUAUAUAUGUUAUUAUUAAAAUUUUAAAUUAUUUUAAUUUUUUAAAUUAAAUGAUAUAACUAUCAAAUUCUAUAUAAAAAAAAUGCAUGUCAUUUAAUGUUUAAGUCAUUACAUCAUAAAUAUAUUUAGAUUUAAUAAUUUGUAUAUUUGUAUCAUAUAAAAUAUUAAAAUUUUAUAUAUUUAUAUUAUUUUUAUAUCAUAUCAUCAUAUUAUAUUUAAAAUUAUCAAAUCUAAAUACACCCUAAAGAAUCACAUCAAGUUUCUACUAAAAUUAAAAUUAUUCUAUUUACAUUUAUUAAAAAUUUUCGAUGCACCCAAUUUUUUUAUUUAAAAAAUCCAAUAACUAUUAACUUUUAACAAAUUAUUUUUUUGUAAAUCAACAAAUUAUUUUUUACUUAUUCAAUGCACCAUAUUUAAAUCCCACAGAUUUACAAAUUUAUGAAUUUGAAUAUUUAUAAUUUUUUUAAAUUUACGAAGAAACAAUUUUAUCAUUUAUGAUUUUAUAAAAAAAUUAACAAAUUAAAUUUUAGUUUAAUCAAAUUUUAACUAAAAAACAAACCUAAAUUUAAUUGAAACUUAUAAUUUUAAAAUUUGAACUGAAAUUUAUGAAUUUACAAAUACAUAAGCUUUUAAAAUUUAUCUGUAAGCUCAUCAAAUUUAUCCAAUAUCAUUCAAUAUAUUUUUUUAAUUUUUUUUAAAUUGUAACGAAUUUGAUGAUAGAAGUAAAUCAAACAAUAAGGUAGUAUUUGAAAUCCACAAGUGGAAUGCUAGGGACAGUUGCUCUAAUCAUCGUCCUUCAACACUUGAGGCCAUAAGCUUUGAAAGUUAAGGGGGAUGGCUUCGCGUGGAUUCGAGCUUGAAAGGCGAUGCUUGGGGCGAGAGGGCCCCUAACAUUCCUCAACUAAUAAAGCUUGAGGAAUUGCGCAGUAUAGAAUGAGUUAGAAGAAUGGUAGUUGAGAGAAUAGAGAAUCAAAACCAAUAAUUGUGUGUUGUCCGCAAAAGAGCAUGAAAAGUCAAGACUACUGAAUAAUUGACAAGCACAGCCAUCCCUCUUGACUAUUAAAUAGGAGUUUCUAUUUACAUUUAAAAAUUUUCUAUGCACCUAAUUUUUUUUAUUUUAAAAAAUCUAAUAACUAAUAACUUUUAACAAAUUAUUUUUUACUUUUUCCAUGCACCAUUUUAAAAUCCCAUGGGUUUUCAAAUUCAUACAUUCAUAACAUUGUAAACAUUUUUGGAUUUGAAUAUUUAUAAAUUUUUUAAAAUUAUGAAGAAACAUUUUUAUCAUUCAUGAUUAUAUAAAAAAUUUAAUAAAUUAAAUUUUAAUUCAAUCAAAACUUAACAAAAAAUAAACCUUAAAUUUAAUUGAAACUUGUAAUUUUGAAAUUUGGAUUGAAAUUUAUGAAUUUACAAGUCCAUAAGCUUUUAAAAAUUAAACUGUAAGCUUAUUAAAUUUAUCAAAUAUCACUAAAUAUAUUUUUAUUUUUUUAAAUUGUGACUAAAUUGAUGAUAUGAACCAAAACAAACAAUAAAACAGCAUCUGAAAUCCACCCAAACCCAUCUUGUGAGAUUAACAAUCUUUUUUUAUACAAUCACACUGAACAGAGCAUUUGAAGACAAAAAAAUAUAUAUGAUUGCACCAAAUAAAUUUCACCGCAAUUCAAAAAUCCUAAGGGGUUCAUUCCCACCGCUAUUUAUGUUUCUAAAAACACCCUUGCUUUUUUAAAAAAAAAACUAGAAUACACAUAUUUUUCUUUCUCAUUUUUUGUUUUUUGUUUUAUUUUUUAAACUUUGUUUCAAAUAAAAACUAAUUAUUAAUUUAAUAUAAAAAUAUAUUAUCUUUUAUCAAUUUUUUUUAAAUAAUGAAAAAAGAUCUUUUAUCUUUAUCUCACCACUACGCUCAGUGACCUUUAAGCAAUCGAAAGAAUGCUCUUUGACAAAACAAGAAAGAACAAAAGCUGCAAUAAUGAAAAUAAAAAAAAUGAAGUUAUCUUAAUCAUAUAAUCACAGAUGAAAAUAGUGGAAAAGAGUUUAAACCAAUAAAGCUUGAGGAAUUUAGCGGUAGAACGAGUUAAACGAACAGGGAAUCAAAACCAACAAUUGUGUGCUAUCUGCCAAAGAGCAUGAAAAAGCCAAGCCAGCUGCAAUAACUGUUAUAAAUUACACCAAAAUCCUUGACAUUUAGGUCUAAUUCAACAUCACUUCAUUAGUAUGAUAAAUUUACAUCAUCUCCGAAUUUAGCAAAGACAUAUCACAAAGACAUCCCCACAUCAAGGUUCCGUGAGAAUUGGAGUUAAAAUGGCGAGGUGCAUCACGUGCAAUUAACGUUCUGCCAAAAUUACCCCUCUUUUGUGGGAUAACUAGUAAUAACUAAAGCAACAUGCCUUUUUUAUUUUAUGUAUUCUUUUUGGCUUAAUAUCCAAAUCUAAUCAUAUAUAUAUAUAUUAUAUAACAAAAUACAUAAAUAAGUUUAACACAUAAGCGUCUAUAUGGACAUUUUUUUUAAAUGACACAUUAAUAUUUUUUUCAAAAAAAUAGAUAAUUUUUUUAAUUAUAAAUUAGAUAAUUUUAAAUUUAUUCAAAUAUCAAAAUUAUUUAAAUUAUAAUUGGAAAUCAAAUCAAUUUAGAGAUAUAUUUUUUAAAAUUAAAAAUAUGAAAUAUGGAUUUUAUUUUUAAUAAAUAAUUUUAGUUGUUUACCAAUAAUUUUAUUUAAAAAAUUAUUUAAUUAUCAAAAUCUUUCAAACAUGUUUAAAAAUUAUAAAUAUUAAGUUAUCCAAAUCUUUCAACAAUAUUUUUUAUCUUGAUUUAAAAAAUUAUUUUUUAAAAAAUUUAUGUAAGAUAUUAAAAAUUCAAGUAAUUUUAUAUAAGAUUUUGAGAUUUUAAAAAAUUUUCAUCUUAAAUUUGUAAAUAAUAAGAUAAUCAAAACGAUUAUAUCAUUGACUCUAAUUAUCAAAUUUAUAUUUCAAAUAAAUGCAAAAAAUUUAAUAUUAUCUUUAUCACUCUUUAUAUCCAUUUUAAAUUAGAAAAAAUUAAUUUAAAAAUUAUCUAUUUAAUCCUAAUUGACAUUAAUUAAGUAUAAUUUUAAUUAAGAACAUUAAUUUAAUAAAAUAAUAAAUAUAACAUAAAUGAUAAUUCAUUACAGUUAUUAAAAAUAUUAAUAUAAUAUAUAUUUUUAAUGUCAAACUAGUAUAAAUUAUAUAUGUUAUGUUGUUAGAAAACUUCUCAUAAUUUAUAAUAUGAUUUAAAAUAAAUUAUAUAUUUUUAAUUAUCAUGAGUAUACUUACAUAUGAAUAUUUCAUUUAGAACAAAUCAUCUUAUCUCUUAUAAUUAUAUAUAAUAUCAAUUAUAAUGUAAUUUAAAAUAAAACAUAUAAAAUAAGUUAUUCAUUUACGUAUAUAUAUGUUACAUUUAUUUUGUAAUUAUAUUAUUAAAUUUUAAACAUGAAUUUAAAAUAAAUUAUACAAUGAGCUAUAAUUAUAUUAAAUCCAAAAUAAUAAGUUAUUAAAUAAUAAGCUACAAUUAUACUAAAAUAAUUAUUUAUAUUGUAGUUAUAUGAUUUUAUAAAAAAUAACACAUUAAAUCUAUAUCAUAAAUAAACAUUUAAAAAAUUUUAUAGGAUUAUAUUAAAUAUGUAAUUGUGAAUUAUAAUUAACAGUUUAAAAUAUUAUUAAUGUAGAGACUCGCACACAACCUAUCCAAAGAUCUAAUGAUUUUAUCUCACAAGUUUGGGUUUAGAUCUCUACAUAUAUAUCAUUUUUUAUCUACACAUUAUUUUAAUGUGGGAUUGGGGAUGUUACAAUUUUUAUACCUUUAAAGUUUGACGUCUCUGUUAAACUAAAUCCAAUUACAAGACCAAAAUCACAACAGACUACCGUGUAGCAUUUAGUGACUCUCAUGGCCCUAACGUGUAGUACUUAGUGACUCCCAUGACCACCAACUAAUGAUCACUUUGAUAUUAUUUGUGAAGAUCCACAUUCAACUUACGGGGUAUUAUCCGUUUUGACACGAAAAUCUUAUAUUUUUUCUCAUAAAAGACAACUGGCAAGCACGAGGGCUAUCCGUAAGGGCCGAUGGUUGACUUUGCAUGUGAUGCCAAUGGAUAUCCAAUAUUAGCAGUUAGUAGCCUGGCGAUUCAUGCAAAGGUUUUCACUUAGAUUUUGAAUUUUACGUGAAUGAGUGCUUUGAAUUGGAAUCCAUUCAUCCAUUGCCCUGGCUCAGAGGAAUUAGGAGAAGGGGAAUUGAAACAUCAAAAGGAUAUUGGAUAGAUGUUCAGAUUUUUCUUAUUCAUGGAGAUGGAGACCCGUAAAUUCCAAUCGUGUUAAAUAUUAGGAUUUUAAAUUAAUAUUUUCAUUUUGCCAAAUUUUGACAAAGCCAUUGAUGACAGUCAGGAAAGCUCUAAUUUAUGCCUGUGUUCUUGUGAUUAAGAUUGGUUGCUUAUGUUCUAGUUGCCAACCUGCCAUUCGUUCUACCAUUUAGAAGUUUCUCCCUUGUUAAUCCUAUUGUCCUUUUUCACCUGAUAGACAAGUUUUGUCCUUUUACCUAAUAAUUGUUAAAAUUUUGCUAAAUUUCGCAGGACCUAUUGGCUAAUCUCAAAUGUUCAUUGCUUGUCGCAAGAGAUCCUGAGGACAGGACUGAUUUGGUAAUCACCCUGCAUGGUGAUGCUAUUUCUGUAAGUUGUUUGUCAUUUCCAUUCUCCUGUUAUUCAUCUCUUAGGGGAUGCUGCUUUUAAACUCAUUUGUGAGCCCUACAUCUUACUAUUUAAUAUUCUAAUUCUUUGGUGUUCUGAAGUAUUUGAAAUGAUAUAUUGAUAAAUUAUAUAGGUAUCCGAAAAAGAUCAAGCAGCCGUUCAAACUGCUUAUUUGGCUAAACACCCUAAUGCGUUUUGGGUAUUUGUGUCUCUCCUCCCCCUGCAUGUUAUGUCCCUUUAGAUAAAUGUUGUCACUAAUCUGUUUAGAUAGAGAACUCAGCGUAUACUUCCAUUGUGAAGGUUGACUUCGGUGACUUCCAAUUUAUGCGCGUUGAACCAAAGGUUGUGAGAAAUGUAUCAGGUGUUGCUACAGCUUUGCUAGGGUCAGGAGGUUUGUGCUUUGAUUACUUUUCUGUAUCAUAGCCUACAUUUCUUCUACCCCCUAUUAUCUUUCUGAAGAAUAUUAAUGUUGCCCACUUCAUUUAGGACAUGACACUAGUGGUGCUUUUGCUGCUGCCUUUCACCCAUUUCAUUUGUUGUUUUCAGCAGCUCUUAUGGAUUUGUUUGUGGUGCUAUUCCUCUCUCCUAACCAUCUUCUCCUUUGUUUUUAUUUUAUUUUAUCUUAUGUCAUUUUGUUUUUUUUUUAUUUUUAGAGAGGAGUACCAGCAUUCAAAAGUUGAUCCAAUGGCUCAAUUCUCUAAGCCUAUUGUGGUAUUAUGGCUGUUCAUUUUCCUGUACAGCAUUUCAAUUGUUCCUUAGAAUUUCCUUUUGUUGUACUUCUUAUUGAUACAUCUUUCUUUUCAGUCUCACAUGAAAAAGGAUCAUGCUGAAGGCACAAAAGUCAUUGUACAAUACUCAACAUCAAUCCCGGUAAUUAGAAAUAUUACCUUUCAACACUAUAUUUUAUAGGAAAUGGAAAAUUUUAAACAUAUCGUAUUCAAGAGACAAGUCAGCUAGCCCUUACCAGUUACGGUGGAAAAUUUUAGAACAUGCCUUAAUAGCUAAUUCUAGACCCAGAACUGAAAUCAGAGUAAGAGAAAUUAAUAGUUUAUGCUGAGUAUUUUCAUUAGGUACUAUUCAUAGUUUAACAACGUUGGCUAAAAUUGUUGAAUUUAUCAGUCUCUCAGUUCAAGCUGCAAUGUGUACUGAAAUCUGCCCGAAUUUUUCUUCAAUCCAAAGUGCAUUAGUUUUCUAAUAAUCUUGAAAAUCCUGAAAACUGAAUCUUUAUUCUAGAAGAUCCAAUGUUAUAUAUCAGCUUUAAUCUAAGUUUACAUUUCCAGACAAAAUUGCCCCAUCUUUCUUUGUAGACCAAUGACUGUUUCCCCCGCAUCACAAAACUGCUAAUCUUUUUAAUGAUAAAAUUAGAAAGCUUCUCGCCAGCUGUAAUUUUAACAUAUCUUGUUAUGAAUUUUUUUUUUCCUUUUUCCUAGCUAAUUUGUGUCUUUCUCCUGGUGAACUAUCCUUGCAUGCUGGAUUUGGAUAGUCUUGGAUUCAAUGUCAAGGUUCUGAAAACUUUUAACCUUUUAUAUUGAAUCGUAUGUUAUUGGCUAAUGGAAAGUAAUUUUGCCAAUACUUGGAAAUUAACUAAUAUCGAAAAUUCCCUUCACCGUUGCCUUGUGAAUCAAUUUUUACUGUAUGCAAAUUCUUGCUAUAUGAAAAUUUUCACUCUCUUUCCCUGCAGGCUGGUUAUCAAGGAAAUGCUUUCAAGCUUCGAAUUCCUACUCCUAGACGUGCAGAAGAUAGAAAGUGAGAUAUCUUUUAUCAAAGAUUUUCUAGUCUCUGAAGAAACUUUCCCUGAUCUUUUACUUGUCAUCUGUUGUUAAUUAUUGGUUUUACUUUUUAUAUAAGGCAUCUUCUAUGAGAUUCUCAUCUUAAUUUCUUUUUCUCAAUGAAAAUGAAAUUUAUACCUUCUUGGCAGAAGCCACUGAAACAAACGGGGAGGACAAGGCACAUUUCAAUAAUUUAAGUAGGAAUGACAGGAUCGUCUUUCUAUCUGGGUUCUCCUCUGACUGGUUAAGGCUUCAUGUAGAAGAACAAUAGCUCAAGGGAACACUUUGCAAUGUUUGACUGUGUUAUAUGCAUUUUAUUCUUGUUCAAUCUGGGUUUUUAUGUAUGUUUUAGGGAUGUGAAAACCCUCAUAGUUGAUAUGCUCCAAGCUGCCCUGUCUCAAGUCAACUGACCAAACUGCUAAAAGAGUUCCAAGAGGUGAGAAAGUUUCCAAUUUCUUAAAUCUCUGUUUCAACUACAGUUUUGCAUUCGCUAAGCAAUAAAUGAAGACAUUUGUUUGUAUAAAAUGAACUGCAUGUCUUUAUGAUUGCCGUUGCUCAGCUUCAGCGUUAUAAAGGAAACUUAGUCUGAAUAGAAAACUAUUAAAAUGGUCUUAUGAAUUAUGUGAACAACAAUUGUAUACUGGCUGUCGUAUCCGAAAUUGGAGAGCCCUCUCUUGCUUAUUGACUUGAUUUGCAGGAUCUCGUGUUACAUUUACAGAUAACUUCUCCAGAAUAUGUACCAACAUAGAAUUCCAUAAGACACGGCAAUAAAGAUACAAUUACCUCAGAUACAAUUCCAGAUAAACUUUCAUUUCAAGUUGUUUCCAUCAGAGUUGAAAUUAUGAGAUGUGAAACUGGUUGGUGGUUCCUGUAUAUACUUUGCCAUGAUAUAAUAGUUUCUUCUUUCCUGUACUGCUCUUAUUAUGUAGAGUUGGAUAAUAAUUGAAUUAUUGGAUCCGAAACAUAACUUGAAAACAUGAGAUACUUCAAUUUUUUCCUUUUAAAUUCCUUCUAUGUUCAAAGUAGUGGAAAAGAGGGAGAACUUUCUCCUUUCAGUUGAUACUUUUUUCAUCCUGUUUCAAGUCCUUCGUAUAACUUUACAUAUUCAUAUUGCUUUGCUUUUGUAUCGACAAUUAGGAAUUGUCAUUAUAUGGUUCUUAAUUUUGAUUGUUAGAAAUGCAUGACUAAGAAGUUAUAGCUAAUCAAAAUUGGUUUGAUUCCAUAUGGACUCUAAUAAGUGAAUCUACUGUGGGUGUUUGGGGACAUGCUAUGUUUUUGAGUCUGAGGUGGAGCCGAUUUGAUAAAUCAAGUUCCAUGGCAAGAACAACCACAAAGUUUCUUGCACGAAUGAUUCUAGUUUCCAUACGCAUAUUUACCUCAAUUAUGAUGUUAAAACAUUAAACUUACAUAUUUGAUUAAGAGGAAUUUACUGUACUUUAAAAAUUCAAAAUUUGUUUAUUCCACCUGUUCUUUUCGUGCUUGAAGUUUACUCAAUGUGCUUGACUGGCUUUAGACUUUUCCAAACUGCUCUCUCUCUCUCUCUCUCUCUCACACACACACACACGCAGACAUUCCUGUCCUGGUUUAGAAUCUUAUCUGCUUGCCUGCUAUUUGACCGGGAACACAAUUAGCUUUUAACACUCUGUGGUUCAGUAGAGUAUGGAAGAAAAUGACAAAAAUGAAGCUGGCAAUGCUGUAGAAGACUCGGCAAAAUCACAAUCAUCUGAAAAGAAAAGCCCAAAUUUAUUGAAGGCCAAAUCUGAUAUUGCAAAGUCAAUAGCCAAGAAUUUCUUGGAGGCAAGAAAAGCCACUGGUACUUCUGAGGUUCGGAGGAGAAAGCAAAAGAGUAAAAACAAAAGUGUAUCAGAAGGCAAUACAGCUACUGAAAAUGAUGCUAAGAAGCUAAAUUCAAGGGAAAAAAAACCAACAAAAAGAUGCUACCACCAGUACGGAGCAUGUAGAGAAGAGCCAGAAGAUCCAAAAGAACGAAGAAAAUACACGUGCGUCAGGUAGCAAGGAAAAUAGUAAGUCAAAUGACAGUCCCAAGAAACGAAGAAGCCGAAAGCAGCCUGUUCUUUCAAAUAAAAACCAGAAGAAUGAAGAAAAGUGGGAAGAUAAGAAAAAGAGAAAAACAAAUGAACAGAAGGAAAAGCACAGUAAUUCAGAGAAGAAUAACAAGAAUAAGAAACAAAAGAAAUAAAAGAUUGAUGGUCUAAUAUUUAUGUGCAAUGCAAAGACCAAGCCUGACUGUUUUCGAUACCGUGUAAAGGGGGUAUCAACAGUAAAGAAGAUCUCAAUGCAUGUGAAGAGUUGGCAUCUACUUGGAGGGAAGAAGAUUCCAUCGUGGAUUUAUACCUUGAUCCGAAGGAAUAAUGGCUUAUCGUCUCCAGGGAGAGAGAAGAAACUUGCUUUUCAGCAUAAUAUUGCUUCCUAGAUUAGGUCCUACCAGAGAGAUUUAGAGAGCACCUCUAGGCCAACGAGACACAGUAUACAGGGAAUCUGUGCUUAUGCAGGGGGGUAUAAUUCACUCUGACCCUCUUUACUUAACUGAGAGAGAGUAUCGGACUUACAAUUUGCGUGCUGAACGAGAAAUGCAAUCAACAGUCCGGAAACUGCAAAUACAUCUGUAGCUGCUGCUUCUACUUUGGAUUCCUAUGCUAGGGAUCAAUAUUAUAGUAGUUAUUAUUGUGUUUCAUUGGUGGACUCGUACUUGCCACUUCCAAGAGGAGAGGCACACCUGAUUGAGACUGACCAUAUGAAGAAAGAAAGCAACCAAGUUGAUAGAUUGCAUCCCAGAUAUGCUUCUGGUGCUAUAGGCGAUUACAACCAGAUGCAUUAACAUCAGGCUGCUUCUACAUCAGUAUCAGCCCGGAAUUCUUUUGCUGGUGCAUCUUUGUCUUAUCGUUGAUUAUCUGUCCCUUCAUAUCCCUAACAUGAGACAUGUUAUUUUUUUUCAAUUAAUGACUUUUUGUUCGUUAUUUGCAUGCAAGUUGUUGAACUUCAAUAGUCAUUUUGUUAAAUAGUUUAUCAUAAAUAAGUAGCAUAGAGCAUUUUGCAAAUCAAUGUUUUCGAGGCUAGCUGGAUAUGGCUGCAGGAGAGCUUGGUUGAAUAUGAGGUAUCGCCCUUUGCCAGCGCAUCUGUUCAGCUCUUUUCUAAUACAUUAUUUUAGCCACUUUGUGUUUUGAAAUGCUGGCAAGAUUGACAAUAAGUUUUGCAACUGCUUUAGUAGCGUAUAUGUUUGUUGGUAUUGGGUUUGAGUUACUAUUUUUCUCUUAAAUGGUUCACCAAUAGUAGCAUAUAUUUAGCUCUUUUCUGAUACAUUAUUUUAGCCACAUUUAUCUGGUCUUUUGUUGGGCUACUAGUUUUCAAGGCUUGUCAGAUGGAUGAGGUAGUAUCAUCUGUACUGAGAUUCAAGCCUAAGAUCUAUCCACUGCGUAAACUGAAACGAAACAAAUGAACAGUUUCUUUCCUUCUAAAUCCUUUAAUAAACACAAACCGAAUAAACAAGUAAAUUUUCUUCUUCAUUUGAAUAUGUUAAACUCCCUACUAGUAAAUUCCAGGUUCAUUGCGACAUCAAAUUGGUACUAAAACUGGUUUUUAUCGAUGAUAGAAAUUUGAGCAGCAAUUUUACGCUGUAAAUAGAAUAAAUUAAUUUCAUUAACUUAAAUUCCCAUAGUUGCUUAUCAGUGUUUAAAACGAAAAUAAGAUACCUCUUAUAAGAUUUGAAGCCCAAGACUCUUUCAAGAAAAUAACUGAAAAAUCCCACUUUAAAACUGAUGUCUGUUGUAAAUAAAAACCAUUGUACUUGAACAAUGAUCUUCUGUUCCUUAUAGUUGGAAACUCUUGGUCUAUAGUGUUUUCAAAGGACCAAGAUCCUUGCUGCAGGUUGUUCUGUUUAUGUCAAUGCUAACAGAAAAUGUCCAAAAUGAAAAUAAGAAAAAACUGCUCCAUUUCUACGAGUUCUCAACCAUUGGGCCUUCCUGCAAGUGUUUUACUUGUAUAUGUUUUCAAUUAACGAAAUGAAACUAGUAAGCCUCUGCUAAGUUUGAAAAGAACCAGCUUCUUCACUUGACAUGAGACAAAUACUUUGUAAACAUUCAAUGCCGAUUGGAUUCUUUCCCAUUCUUCCAUUCAAUCAGUAGGAUUAGGUGGCCUUAGCCCUCACCAUAUCAGAAAUCUGGGAGGAGCAUUCGUUCUGCCCAAUUUCCCCGUACCAUUCACCUCCUUGACAAUCGAAUGCUCUAUUCACAGUUCACAUUGAUAAAAAAUGUCAAUCACAGAUCCGGGGGGGGGGGGGGGGGAAUCAGGAGAUAAUUAACAUAUAAGCACUUAAAUUGCCCAAGGCCAAAGAAAACUACUAACCUUGUGCACCAUGAUGCAUCAAAUCAUGCCUCCUAACUCUGCCACUAAUAAAACAUAAUAGGGCUACAAAAAAUUCCACAAGGACGUAUGGAACUCAGCACGACGGUCAAGUAGAAUGGAACAUGUUACAGUCAGGAUGGAUAAACUGCCCAUUCACAAGCUGUUGUAGGCACGGCACACCUUGGGGCAUCCAAUGGACUCAAGAAUUUGCCAUUGGUUCAAUGCAGCAGAAAAUCACCUGUAAACAAACACAAACCAUCAGCCAGCCCAAACAAAAACCAUCAAUUUAAACCGGCAAAAUAAAUCUGAAUUGAGUUUUGUUUCAAGUUUCAACAUGAAAUAGUUUGUACCUUCCUUGAAAUUCACCAUUGAAAAAGUCUCCUUAUCGUCUAGUUCAAAAUAAGUAUGUGAUCCCCAACUCCAGAACCCUUGUCAUUUUGCCACUUCAGAAUAUUUCUCAUCCUCUGACUUCAGAAUUGUUGUCAUCCUUAACUUCACAAUGCCCAGAUCAUUAAAAAUAGAAAAGUCCUACAUAAGUUAUCACUUCUGAGGUUGAUCAAAUAAUACAUGGCAAGCUAAAAUUAGUUAUCAUAGAAACAAAAAAGCCUAAAAGACACAAGCUGUGACCAUUUACAGGUUGAUCAAAUGCAACACGAUUAAACUUGUCUUUAGAGAUAGAAUAGUAUGGCAGCACUACCGUUUAGUAAUAUGACAAUUAACAAUCAAAACAAAUUAACAUAUGCAACGUUCAGGAAGAACAAAAAAACCUUCUGCCACCCAUUACUCAAGGAAAGAAAAACCUUUUGCAUUAGAUGAGUACAACAAAAGCUAUAUGGUCUCAAGAUGCAUAGAAAGAAUUUUUGGCUUACUCUGUUUCUUUGCGGUUGAAGGAUUGAGUUGAUCUUCAGAAUUCUCGACUAUGUUGACUGGAUUAUGAAAUCAUAAUGAACAAUAUUAGUGAAGGUGAAAAGGAAAAUUACUGAAAAAUUACUUUUGUUAUUCUUUGAUGAAUUAGUAUCAUAAAAUGAAAACAAAGCCAUCUGAUUUCAAAUGAAGAAACAAGAGUCCUGAUGUCUCAAAAACACAUAUUCAACAAUUUCCUACUCUGCCAUACAUGGUACUUGAAGAUCAUCACUGUAAUCCCUCUCCUUAUUUAUUUUAUUAUAAAUUUAAACAUUCUCCAACCACAAAAAACAGUAUUACUGAAAAACAAAACUUGUUUAAAAAAAGAAAAAUCAAAUUAUGCAAUACAAUUGUCAUAGAAAAAAAAAAGAAAAUGUGACAUUAUCCUAUGAUCUAUUUCAGUUGCUCUAGAAAAUCCUAAAAGAGUAAAUUAAAUAGAAACUCUGAUGUCAAUAAAAUGGGAAAAUUGUUCAAAAAUUACAUAAUAUUAUAUUGAUAAGAGAAAUAUGAACUAGGUCGGAGGCAUCAAACACCUACAUAAUUGAUGAACAAAUGGUAAAGCAUUUGAGUUGAAAGAAACAAAAGCUAUAUUAUUUAUGAAUUGUAUCUGAAGAUUCAUUGAAUGAAAUUUGGCAUACUCAUGUGUUCGAAGUUGAAGGAUUGCCUCGAUCUUCUAUAGAAUUCUGCAUUUCCUCCACGGGAUUCUACAUAUGCAUAGUAAUCACCAACGAUAAUUAAUAUUAAUUGGUUAUGAUGGCGAAAAGAUGAAUUAAUUUUGAUAUACAAUGGAGUCACCAUCAACGCCCCCAACCAAAAAAUUUCUUUGUUAAUAAUGAACAAUUCUCUAAAUUCUAAAUGAUAAUGGCAUCCUCCUUCACAUAAAAUUUUCUCUUCACUGUGCGCUAAUACAUAUGUUAGUCAUGACUGUUAACUUUACCUGCCAAAAAUCAUUGUUGGUUUUGAGUGGAGAAAGGAAUGUGUUUUAGAGGGGCCUUCUUAGUUCUUGCAAAGCAGUCUUCCAUUCAAACAAACUCUUCUUAUUUUUCAUAGCUUCCCCCACUGUUACAAUGGCAAUCGGCAAUCCAGCACAUUAUUUGGCCACUUCAAUUGCCGUAAUAUGCAAGUCAGUGGCUUAGAACAAUAUCACCAGCCUUCUUCUUAUACAGGUUCCAUGCUUCUUCUUCUUCUUCCAAUAUUUCAAUUCGAAUGUUUUUCAGCGAAAGCAUCAAAGAUAAAAUAUUGAGCUCUCUAGACAUCAGUAAGAUCUUGCAUCCUUGGUGUUCACCUCCGUAAGGAAUUCCUAGAGCCUCCAAUCCAAUUUCUCCCAAAUAUCAUCCAAAAUGACAAGAACCUUCUUGAAAUUCUUUAGUCUGUUCCGUAGUUCGCCUGCUCUUCCGGGGUCACUCUGCUUUGUAAACUCCACACUCAAUUGAUCUACAAUCAGAUCUUGAAUUUUCUUGAUGUCAAAACUCCGGGUUACGACUGCCAUGACCACCUCAUCAAACAAAUUUUCAUCCUUGGCUUGUCUAGCAACUUGUUUGACUAGGGUAGUUUUACCCACACCGCACGUCCCGUAAACACCAAUUAUGCUCAAAUUAGCAUCUUUAAGCGCCUCCAUGACCGCAUCCAAAGCACCCUUUCUUGACUCAAAGGCCUCGUACUCUUUGGCAGGUCUAAUAGCUAUCCCUUCUGGAGCAGGUCGGUGGGAUACUCCAUCAAAUCGGUCGUUAUCUUUCAAGAGUUCAGUAAUGGUGUUGAACUCUUUCUCAGCUUUUCUACAGAGUUGAUAACAAUACUUAAAAUUAGGACACAACCCAACGAAACACCCCUGCUUUACUCUCUUCAUCCUCAUCCAAUUGCGCAGCAGCCUCGUUACAGAUAUUCCCAUUGACCUUAGUCAGCAACUCAUCCACGUCACACAUCUUCCCAUUGACCUUAGACAACCACUCAUCCACGUAGCUAAAUAUCUCCUCUCCCUGUCUCUUAGCCGCAUUACCAUCCUCUUGCACUCUUUCUCUCGCAUCCUUCAGUUUUUGAAGUUGAUCCCUGAGGUUUUGUAACUUGCCCUUAUGCUUGUACAAGUAACUAAGUUGCCCUUAUGCCCUUAUGAAAUUUACACAACUUUGUUCUUCUCUUAGAUAUCAAAAGAUUGGUCGGCUAGAGCUUCUUCCUCUCCUCACUUUGAGUACGAUGCCAAAAGAGAAGAGAACCUACGGGAAAAUAUUGAACAAUUCUAUUUCCUUUUCUUGGUGAAUAAAGCUUGAGGAUUCAGCAGUCGGAAGAGUUUAAGGGAUGGUAAUUGAGAGAACAGAAAUUCAAAGAAUUGCGUGGUUUCUGCGUAAGAGUAUGAAAAACCGAGACUAUUAAAGCAAAGGGUUAUGAUGACAAACUGAAGGACCAACUAAGGCUUCAUUUCAGAAAGAUGUUCGGUAAACUUGCCAAUAGCACGAUGGAGCAUUUUAAUCGCACCAUUUCCCGUAAUCAGAACUGGAGCAUAACAUGCGCCGUGGCUCACCGUGAUGCUCAUGAACAAUAUUAUCUUUAUUGUUUACUUUUUACUUUUUAUUUUGUCUUUACAUUUAUACUUUCAUAAUUAUAAUAUCCUUAUUACAUCUAUAAUUUAAAUUUAUUUUUUUUUACUUUGAUUUUUUAUAUAUGAAAACAAUUUUAAUAAAUUAUUAAUUCUACAAAGAUUAAAUAUAUAAUAUAACUUCAAUUAUACUCAAAUUCUAAUUUGAUAUAUUUAAUAUUUUUUAUUACAUUCAUCGUUAUUUUUAUAUUUAAUUUUAAAUUUAUUAUAAUAUUUAAUUUCAUCAUUAUAAUAAUUAAUUUUAUUAUUAUUUUUAAUUUCAUUAAAAUUAAUUUUAUGAUUCAUCCGAAUAAACGGAAUCAUGAGAAUAAAAGAAUUGCGUCUUUUCUGCAGACGAGCAUCAAAAGACGAUAUUAAAGGAAAGGAUUAUGAUUCAUAAUGGCAAACUGAAAGACCAACUCAAUGGGUCAUGAAAAUCAAAGAAUUGCGCGUUUUCAGCAAAAAGAGCAUGAAAAGCCCAAACGUAAAGAAAUGGGAACAUGACGACAAACUAAAGGACAACUAAAGCACAAGCCAUCUGGCUUCAUUGUGCUGUCCUUAGGUCUCGAUUGUGUGCUUGUGGGCUGUGGCAAAUGGUUUCUGUCGGUCAAGUAUUAUUUUUGAGUAAAUUACAUUAAAUUCCUUGGUGUUGGCACUACUUUAAUAUCACUCCAUCAGUACGAUAAGAAACUUUCAACAGUACUUAAAAAUCUUGAUUUUAAAUUAAAAUAUUUUUAUGAGCUAUGUUCAUUUUGUAAAUAAAAAAAUAUAUAUAUCAUCAUCCCAAGUUUUAACAAUCACAUGAUAAAUACAUUUUCAAAAUUCACAUCAAAUUUUUAUUAAAAUUGAAGUUAGGUAUUUCAUUCACAUUCAUAUUGGAAUUAAGAACUUCUAUUUACAUUCAAAAUUUCUUGAUGCAAUUAAUUUUUUAUUACAAAAAUAUAUAAUAGUUGUUAACUUUUAGCAAAUUAUUUUUUACUUUUUCCUUGCACCAUUAAUCUUAUAGAUUUAUAAAUUCAUAAAUUCAUAAAAUUGUAAAAAUUAUGAAUUUGAAUGUUUGUAAAUUUUUUAAAUUUAUGAAAAAAUAUUUUUAUUAUUCACAAUUUCACAUAAAUUUUUUUUAAAAAAAAUCAGAUUUUAAAAAACAAUUCUGAUUAUUUUUAUCUCAUUCUAUUGUUAUUGUUAAUUUGUAUGUGCAUGCAAUUAAAUAAACACAUGCUGAACUUAUGAUUUUACCUUUGAAUUUGAAAUUCGAGAUCUUUGUAGAUAUAUAUCAGACACCCCUAUAAGUUGUAAACAUAAUUUCCUAUUCCAACAUGUCAUACUCCUUAAAGAAAUGGAAAACAAAAGUAGAAGACAUUAGACGAGGGAUUGCCGGGCUAGAUUAUUUCUUGAGCCAACCAAUAUUUGGAAUAUUAGCUAUAUUUGAGAAUUAAAGGUCAGAUUCUAGCCUGAUGUUUCCCAACAGUUACACGUCUCUAGCAUAAUGCUUGAUAUACAGCAGGAGUUUCCCAAAUAAGAUUCGACUGCUCUCCCCUACUAUAAAAUUUUCGCAUAAAAACUUGACAUGCUACAGCAGUUGCGUGGUUGCAGCAUGUAUUCGAAUGGUAAAUAAAAGGGAUUGGCAGAUCAAUAUGGUUAUAUAUUUAGUUGUUCAGAAUUCUCCCGCUCUCAUUUCUAUAGUAGCUGGUUAUUGGAAGCUAAAGCAUCAGUGGCUUCGGAAAUGAACUCUGCAAAAUUCUUUGAUUUUGAUAAGUACUCUAUGCUCUUGUCUAUAAUAAGUUGAGGUAAUAGUUAUUAGCAAGUUGAGGUGGUGCAUUUCUUUCAGUAACAGUAUUUUAUGGCAUUUUGAUCAGAACUGCAAAAUUUGGUUGCAUUUGGCAGUCCUUAUCGAGGACCUCAUAAAAAUAAUCUGCGGCUUGAGGCUAUUGCAUAUAUUUGUGCAUUUGAUCUUGCCGACAAGUUCCCUCCUGCACACCUUCUGAAUGCCUACACGAAAUAUUCCAAGAUGAGCAAAUACAAGAAUUUCAAAAAAUCAAAUGUGAAACUGGUAACCUUUGCACCUUUUCUGUCUCUGUUUGCUCAGAGUUUAAGCUGAGACCCAGCUGCUAUCCUAUUUUAUAUCUUUAAGACUUUAACUCCACAUGCUGGCAAAAUCAGACCAUAGACCAAGAAAUUGCUAUUAUGAGAAGGGUCCUUAGAUGCAUUGCUGAUCACAAGCUUGAAUCUCUAUAUACACCUUAGGAUCUUGAAAACUACAUUGUUCAUCUGGAAAGGCAGAAAGAACAGGGAAAUGAUACAGAACAAAGAGAAAAGAAGAAAGCAGAGAGGAAAAAAAAUAUGUCAGUCCCUUCAGCCGAGGCUAAACAACAGCAUGAGAGUGGAAUUAAGUGGCCCCCCAUGAAUAUGUCAGCAGAGGCCACACCAAGCCUUUCUGGUAGUGCUGGUUGCAAUCUUCACUUAAAACCAUCUCAUCUUGAACAACUAGUUAGCUCGAUUGCUGAUCAAGCUGUUGCUUGUAGUUUGUGGGACUCCAAUGCUUUCUCUGUAGACACAAACUCAUUUAAUUGGCAAGAUGGGUGUUCAAUUGCCAAUAACAGGAGCUUGGAACAGUUCACUUCACCUGGAGCAGUUGACAAGGCCGCCCCAGCUAAAAUCUCUUUUUUUUUUUUUUUUUUUUUCUUGUUAUUACUUUUUUAGUUCUUUUUAUCGACCAAGAUCAUAAUUCAAUGUUUAGUCCUCCCUUCCUCAGCAACUUUUUGUUAUUGUUGAAUGUAUUUGUUUGUAAUUAAAAUAAUUUGCAGCAUGAAUGGUACCGUGCGUGCUUAGAGUUUGGCAAGUAUAUCUUUGUUGGUUUUCUAUUCUUUUGACACUAAAAAUUCACUUGUUAAAUUUAUGUUCAUAAGUUGAUUGUCUAACCGUACGGAAAGUAGUAUUCAUCAUGCUCAAGUAAAGAUUGACCGAUGUCAAUUAGAAAAUUUUCAAUUGGAUGGCGUUGUUCCUUCGGAGGCAAGGAUUGACCUACAAUCUUAUAGCACCGGUAUGGAUGCGAAGGGUUUAAUACUUUUUCUAUGUGAGCAUGUGGAGGAUCACGAUUUAAUGCGCAGUGAAAUUUCUGACGCUCUUCAAUUGUCUCCCGAUCCUGCAAAACUUGUUUUGGAUGCAUUAUCGACCUUUUAUCAUUCAAAGUCAGGGCAUGCUCCUAAAAAGAAAAAGAACUCAGGGGAUGAAUUUAUUAGGGAAGCCUCAGGAGAAGUAAGAAAGAGUUGCAUUCUAUUGACGGAGCAGUUAAGGACAUUUCCGCUCCAGAUUGAACCCCAUGUAAAUGAAGAGGUUUUGAAGUUGGCAGAUGAUUAGAAAGAAAGAACGCAAAAGUACCAGAAUGGUGUGAUGGCAUAUGGUUUCUUGCAGCUGAUAGUCACCUACUUUUUGAUUUCUGCUUAUGAUGCGGAUGAGCUUCUUGGUGUUUUGGUAAUUGCAAGUGAGUAUAGACAGUCUCCUGAUUUGUGCCUGGCUCUUGGUUUGACAGAUAAGAUCUGCGGUUAGUCUACUUUCUAUCUGUCUCCCUAGUUUAUCGUUUCUCUUUUUGUUGGUUCGUUUAGCUGUUAGGUGAGGUUAUCCUUGUCUUCUCUGCAUAGCUAUAUUAAUGCUACUAUAGUUACAUCUUCUCUAGCUGUUAGCGACCAGGUAUAAUGUAAUGCAGGAAUUCCCCAAAAUAAUAUUUGAGUGAUUGCUUGAGGUACAACUUUUGCAUAUGGAACCCUAGAUGCUACAACAGUGUUUUGUUGCAUCAUGUACUCGAAUGGUACAUGAAAGGAAUCAAAGGGGGUCCUUAUGGGUAAAUUAUUUUCUUUUUUUUUUUCCGCAACAGUUCUUAUUUGUAGUAAGUUUCUGAAUUCUGCUAACUACUUAUCUUGUUGUUUCUUUGCCAAUCAUCUCGUUCUUUAAGUUUCUCAACCAAAAUAUGACAUUUAUGGAUUAUAAUGGUAACAUAUUAAGUUCAGGUGGUGUUUUCACAUGAGUUUUUUUUUUUUUUUGCCUGACGGCAUUCUGAUGACACCUGCAAAAUCUGCUUUCAAUUUGACAGUCUUGAUUGGAACCCUUGUAAAAAACAAUCUACGGCUUGAGGCUAUUGCAUACAUAUGUGCGUUUGAUCUUGUUGACAAGUUCCCCCUGCACACAUGCUGAAAGUUCACUUGGAAUAUUCCAAAGAGAGUUAGUAUCACAAGGCCAAAAAAUCGCAUUGGAAAUGGGUAACUUUUCCAUAGACCUUUUAUCGUUAUGCAUGCUCAAAAAUUUGCUGAAAAUUGAACUGUAAUCCUGAUUCUGUGUGUUAACUUGAAUGUGCUCGCAACAUCAAAUUAUAGAUUAUGAAAUAGCUAUCGUGAGGAAAGUCAGCGGAUGCGUUGCUGAUCACAAGCUUGAAUCACCAUACCCACCAAACGAUCCCAGAGACUACAUUUUACAACUGGAAAGGCAGAAGGCAGAUCGAAACAAUGCUGCUAGGAAGCAAAAGCAGGAAACAUGCCAUAAAAAAACUGGAAAAGUCCCUUCUGCCAAUUCAAAACCACGGCACGAGUGUGAACUAAGUUAACCUCCAUAAAUGUUUCAGUAGAAGCCAUCUCAAGCACUUCUUCUAGUGCUGGUUCCACAGUUAAACUGUCACCUUUGCAACUACUGGAAAGCUUCUUUGCAGAUCAAGCUGUGCCACACGUUUUAUGGGACUCCACCAAUUUCUCUGCUAACACAAACCUAUUAAGUGGUAAAAAGCAGGCAGAUAUGGCUACCAUUGCUGAUAACAGGAGCUCAGACUCUGAUUGAAAUGAGCAACUUAACGAAAUUUAGCCCUGUGAGUUUGCUAUUUGCCUUCUGUAGAAGCUUUUGCUUUGGUAUUUGAUUACUAAGAGAGAUCAUGGAACCUAGACAAUAAUUUUUUACUGCUUGUAAAAUGAGAUGUUAGCUCAGUGGCACUAGAGUCGGUUCCAGGACUGAGCGUUUCAAGUGGAACAUCAAAAGUAACUGCUUGUAAUAAUUAUAAUAUAAUCUAAGAAAGUAAUUUAAAUUUUGAAAGUUGAAACAGUUUAUUUGUAAUUUGAAAAUUUCCCUCAUUGUUGCUAACCAAAGACAUGGGCAGAUGCCAAGAUCAAGAAAAACUUGGCGCUAGCCCAGUCUUACAUCAAACGCGGCCCACUUGAAUAUGUCUACUCUUUAGCCUUUCUCCAGUCCUGGCUCCUGGUCCUGGUACUGGUUUACGUCCCCAGUCCUGCAUUAUAAUAAAAUUUACUGUUUGACUUAAAUAUUAUUAUUUUUCAUUAAAUCUAACUUUUUAGAUUUGUGAUUGGCAAAAAAUGAAAAAAAAAAUUGUUUAGAUUUGUAGAUUUUUUUUUCCUUAAAUGGAUAAAAACAUGAGGUGGAUUCAAUGUUGAUUUCGUGUGGGAGGCAAAGACCAAAAAGGAAAAAUACAAAUAAAGUUAUUUGUCAUUUUUUUCACGUACCACAUGGCACAUGCCACACCAACCAAAGCAAAAACGAAAUCAAAAACAAAAAGCUAAAGAGAAACGUCAAUAUUAAAUUCAAAUUUUAAUUUAAUUAAUUCAGAUAAUCAAUAUUUUUAAAAUGCUACAGAAUCAUUCUGUCUUUGGCCUUGCUUUUUCAUAAAUAUCUAUCUAUAUAUAUAUAUAUAUAUAUAUAUAUAUAUACAUUGUCUGUCUUUGGCCUUGUUUUUUCACGUGCAUAUAUAUAUAUAUAUAUAUAUUAAAAAAUCCAUUAUAUGUUAUCAUCAUUGGCUUGUCUUUUCUACGUUACGUCAAAAUAGAAUUCUUGCAAUCCAGUCAAAGACUUUUGACUUGUUACAUCAACGAACCCUCCUUUUGGCAACGUUCUUCUGUUUAAUACGCUGCAGAUAGACCAAACUUAUUUAUAUAUUCUGAUUUAUUUUAAUUUCUCCUUUUUUGGGUUUCUCAAAGUUUAGCUUAGCUGGCUUUUUUGAUCUUUUGCUGAAAUGGGUAGUACUGGGAUGCUGAACAAUUCAACUAUGAUAUGUGCUCCAUUAAUGGCUCAAUCAGUGGAGCAAAUGGUUAAAGACAUGCACCAGGCAAAGGCUGAAGGUGCACAAGUUGUUGAGAUUAGAUUGGAGCAUAUCAAGAAUUUCCAGCCUCACCAGGAUAUUCAAAUCAUACUCAAAAAUAAAGUUUUGCCAGUGAUCAUUGUAUAUAGGUAAUCAUCUCACCUAUGUUUUUUUCUACUAGUGGAUUUCUUAGUUUUAUGUUAUUUGAGCAGUCUUAUGAAUAUUAGGAGAUUAGAGUCGGAAAAAAUGCCUUUUUCCCUCAUUUUAGAAGUCAAGAUUGUAUUUGGUAGAUUCUUUUCCGUAUGUUGCUAUCCUUGUCCUUUUUUGUGGAAAAAAUAUUAUUAGGUCCCAUCAUUUGUUUUUAAAUGGAUGUAGCCAGUAAUUCAGAAUCACAUGCAACGUAUUCUUGUGCAAAAGCUGCAGCAAAUUGUUGUAAGGAUGGGCUUCUAUUUGGUGAUUUGAAGACAGGGGCAUCCUGAAUUCAACACAUCAAACAGCUGUAAUAAUAAAUGUUUUUUGUUCUACCAAGUUGAGACCAACCAUGAUACUGAACAUUUUCACUUUUGCUUGUGGAUGCAAACAUAUCCAUAGAAAUUAUUGGAAACAGAGAGGACAAAUAUCAGUGCCCAACUUUAUCGAGUUUUUAAUGAGUUUGUACUCUUUUCUACAUGAAAAUCUAUCGUACUGCUACUUGUGUUAAUAAUGUUUUCUUAAUUUUCACUUUCAGAAGCUUGUGAGUUGUGUUGUGAGGUAGGACAAUUAGAUUAAAAUAGGUGGCAGUGAUAGAAUAAUUUUGCCAUUCUUUCUGAGAUGACAGGAAUCUAUGUUGUAUGAACUUCUAAAACUGUAGUAAAAGAUAAAAAUAUAACUUGGGUUUGAAAGUUUGGGAAGGUUUGAAGUUUCAUUGUAUUUAAUUUCUAAGAUUCAGUCUUUUCUUCAGGCCUAAAUCCGAAGGUGGUCGGUAUGAAGGAGAUGAGCAGUCCCGGCUUGAAGCACUUCAUUUAGCUACAGAAAUGGGAGCUGAUUAUGUUGACUUUGAACUCAAGGUAGCUUUUAAAUUGUUGUACUUUUGUUUGCAAACUAUUAUACUCUUGAUUAUUGCAUUUUGGUGCAUUCAUUUCUAUUAUUGACUAUUUUACAAACUUAAAUAAUAUUUUCACCCAUUUUCGUUUCUCAUUUAUCUGAUAGCAGUUAAAAUAAAAAGUGCCAUAGGCAGUUUUCCCUUUGAAUGACCUAUUUGUUCCUUCGAAAUUCUCUUAGUUUUAUCUGACUCGCAGAUCAUGUGAUUGUCCAGGUUGCUUCUGAUCUUAUUUGGGAACAGAAAAUGAAGGAUGGUAGUGCUACUAAAUUUAUUGUGUCAUGUCACAUAAAUGGAAUGACCUCUUCAGACGAAGAGUUAAACAAUCUUGCUGCUAGCAUUCGAGCUACGGAGCAGAUAUCAUCAAGAUGGCUGCAAAUGUAACGGAUAUUACUGAGAUAGCAAGAAUGUUUCAUUUGCUUCUCAUUGCAAAGUAUGAAACUCUACUCUAUUGACUUUGCUUUGAAUAUGUGCAGAUUAGUUGUAUAAAUUGUUGCAGUGGAAUAACAUAUCAAAUAUUAUUUAUCUGCAGGUGCCAAUAAUAGCAUACUCUGCAGGGGAAAGAGGUCUCAUAAGCCAGCUAUUGUGCCCAAAAUUUGGUGGCUUUCUAGCCUAUGGAUCUAUUGAAGGAAAUUCAAUUCCUGGCAUGCCUUCUUUAUAUAGUGUUAUCCACACUUAUAAACUUGGCUAUCUAAAUUCAGAAACUAAAGUUUUUGGACUUGUUUCAAAACCUGUUGGCCACAGCAAAGGCCCUCUAUUGCAUAAUCCUACCCUCAGACACGAGAACUUCAAUGGAGUUUAUGUCCCAAUGUUUGUAGAUAAUCUCAAGAAGUUCUUUAGCAUCUAUUCCAGUCACGACUUUCCUGGUUUUAGGUACGUCAUCCUUCAAUUUUGUCUUUGGUAGAUUAUGUCAGGUUACAGUCUUUUCACUUAAGUAUAUAGCCACUGUAAGCUGCAUCUGUUCUUAUGAGCAACACUUGUAUUUUGACCUUUUAGGCAUUCAAACACAUUUUAGCCAGUAACAACUAAGACAAGAACUGGCCUUGAAAGAUUUAGUACCAAAAAGUAUGGAUGUAGGAAAAUUUUAUGUUACAACUAGUUCUUUAGUUGAUAUAGUAAUACUGAUUUUUCGAAACUGGAAGAUCAUGGAUAGUUGCAACAUACUGAAAUAUAAAUGCCUUCUUUCUUUGAUAAAUUGCUUUAUUUCUCACCCUUAUUUCAUCUCCUGCAAUGAUGUAGCCGGGUUUGUUUUCCACUAUUCUCGGAAAUGUAACUUUUCUUUUUCCUCAUUCCAAUGGAUUGCAGUGUUGGGUUCCGUACAAGGAAGCUGUAGUUGAGUUCUGUGAUGAAGUUCAUCCACUUGCUGAGGUUGACUAUAUAACAUUCUUACAAACAUGUUUGAAUCUGUUAAUUUCCCAUAUACUUUUUCAGGUCCCUUGUUUUUGUGCCCUAUUCCAUUUCUUUACGCACAGUUUACCAAGAGCACCGAUUUCUGGCUACACUAAGGUCUAAGACCAAGUUCUGAAUCUAAUUAUUUAGAAGUUCAACUUAUUGAGAGAAGCAUACCAAAGCAUAUAAGACUGGUUUGAUCAGUUCAUUGCCAGAGAAAAAGGAAAAAAAAUUGUAUUUAAGUUUAGGCAGAAUGUUUAUCUGAUCCUGGUUGUAAAAUUCAUAUUUUACUAUCUGAGCUAGUUGGCAUUGCAUCAUCAGACAUGGCACAUUUUGUGAUGGGAAACCAAAAGUAGCAGAAGAUUACACUCUAACAAUUGUAUGUUGACAUGUUCUAUAUGGAUAUAUUUACCUGGUUCAUAUAGAGGCGAUUCUAGAAUUUUCCCUAUAUCCAGAAUUCUUACCAGAAUUCUUAGUGCUUCAAUUCCUAUUAAUAGCAUCUGCUUGCAGUUUCCUAUAUUUAUAUAUUUGAGAAUGCAAUCGAUUUUUUUUUCAAUGCACUGUCAGUCUAUACGGUGCUGUUAAUACUAUUGUAAGGAGGCCUUGUGAUGGAAAGCUGAUAGGUUAUAAUACUGACUGCGAAGCUGCAAUAACUGCGAUCGAGGAUGCUCUAAAAGGUACCUCCCAUUGAUGAGAAAAAAAUGCUCAUCAUGUCCUCAUGGAAGUUUAAAGUAUUGAUCAAUGACUAGUCCAUUCUAGAUGCUGAUAUCCUGACACUUUUGUACUUGUAAACAGUAAACUACUAUAGAAAAGAGAUGCACUGGUAAUGAAGUAGCUUUAGGCAGUCCAAUAUCGGGGAAACUCUUUGCGCUAGUUGGUGCUGGAGGUGCAGGAAGAGCAUUGGCAUUUGGUGCUAAAAGCAGAGGAGCUCAAAUAGUCAUUUUUGACAUUGAUUUUGGUAUGUGAUCUACAAUUCUUAAAAGGCAAAUCCAUGGUUUUUCCCUUUAUGCUGAUAUGAUGUCAACUAUAACUUCUGCCUACUCUUUUUAGUACAUUGUUGUAGCAUUAGGAAUAAACAUUAUGAGUAGAGAAUCAAAAACGCUUUCUUACUAUUAAUCAUUGCUUGUGGAAAAAGGGAGAGCAAAGUCCCUUGCUUGUGCUGUCUCGGGUGAAGCUCGACCUUAUGAAGAAGUAGUUAACUUCCAGCCAGAGAAAGGAUCGAUCCUUGCAAAUGCAACACCCCUGGGAAUGCAUCCGAAUACUGAUCAGCGCAUUCCUGUUGCUGAGGUCUCCACCUUCCACCACUAAGUGGUAUUUCUUUUCUGAAGAAUAAAGUUCAAUUUUGUUUCAUUACUGAAGUUAUUUGCUUUCAUAUUCCAGGCAACCUUGGGAGAUUAUGAGCUGGUCUUUGAUGCUGUUUAUACACCUAAGAAAACAAGACUAUUAAAAGAUGCAGAGGCAGCAGGAGCAAUCAUUGUCAGUGGAGUUGAAAUGUUCCUCAGACAAGCUAUUGGUCAGUUCAAUCUCUUCACUGGUCGAGAAGGUAUCUCUUGAAUCCCUUCCUUCCCUCUAUCUGUUUCAUGACCUUAAACUACAUCAUAACCACUCUGGACACUUAUUUUCUAAUUAAAUCAAUUAGAAACUUUAGACCUUUUAAACCAUCCUUAGAUCUUUACUGCAAAUGUAAGUUGAUAGUUCAACCAUUUUGAUCUUUUGCUGUUUGAUUUAGUCACGAGACUAUUGAAAAAGAAUAAUAAAACUUCCAGUGAGUAGCGAAUCCAUCUUUGAUUUCAUUUAGUUGGACGAAUGGAUCAAGUUUAUGAUCUGAAAAAGCUAUUUUGAUUGAGUUGAUAAGAUUCGAAUACUUUGUUUAUAAGACUUAGGUUUGAGUCCCGAUGCUAGCAUUUCCCUUGAUAGAUGAUUUGUAAAUUAAUAUAAGUCGAUGCUGAAGCUUGUGAUCUUCUAUGGUCCUAAAAUGAGAAUGCUUCUUCUUAUCCUAAAUUUUUUAUAAAAUAUAUAUAUACAUUGAGUUAAAAUUGCUGGAGAUAUCCUAUUUUGAACCUCUUCCAAAAAUUCUGAUUUGUAAUUUUACCAUGUACCAUCCUCAUGAUCAAGUUCAAGUUUUGUGGUGAUAAUCUCAACUAUUCUUCCUCAAAACUACUGCCUCCUACAGCUCAGAAUUUUAGUUGCAACAUAUAUUUUCAAAAUUCUUAAUAUGGUUUAAAUGAGGUCAAUUUUUUUAUUCUGUUUUGCAGCACCUAAAGAGUUAAUGCGAGAGAUCAUUAUGGCGGAGUUCUGAUGUAUUACAUCACACAGAAUAUUGUAACAUUAAGGAGUAGAUAAAUCAAGUACCAUGGAAAAGGAUUCAUGUAGUCAAGCUGAAACCCUUAUUCUUGGACAAGGUUUUUUUUUUUUUUUAAUUUUUUUAUUUCAAGUUUUGGUCAUUAACUUACAUGGAAAAUGAAAAUAUUUCUCAUCUUUGUUUUCUUGAAGGGUUCAAAAAAAAAAUUUAAAGAAAUCAUAGUUUAAAGAUUAAGAAAAAGAUUAAAAGUAUAGAAAUUUGAAUCUUAAAUUUACUAAAAAAUAAUUGCAUAAAUCUAACUUAAAAUGGCUAUGAGUAUUAAAAUUUAAACUCAAACUUAUUAAUAUCAACCAACUGAACUCAAUUAUAAGUUCACAAUAUUUACAUAUUGAAAGAUUUUUUCUUAUUUUGGCCAUAAUAAUAUGAACAAUUAUACUUAUUAGCCCUUGUUGUUGGAAGAGGAUUUAAUUAAUAUCUUACUUACAAAAAUUUAAACUUAGUUGACCACCAAUUCUAACUAAUUACACAAUGCAAGAUGAUUUUCCAAGUACUUGGAUUUUGGUUACUUCGAAAAUUUUAGAUGAUGUGCCAAAACAUUAACUUCUCUUAGUAUUAUGUAGUUUUUGAAAAAAAAAGAUAAAACAUGGUAUUAUUAUCUAAUAUUGUGUCUACUACUUAGGAAUAAAAAGUAAUUGUCUUCAUAUUUGACUUAUUUGUUAGUUUGUCAUUAUGGCUACUUAAAAUUCAAUAUCAAUAAUUUAAAGUGUUUUUUAAUAAUAUGAUCUCAAAAUAUUUUCAAGAUUUACUAUUAGAUAUAUUAUCGAGCUUUAUUUAAUGCUAAUUUCUUCUCUCAAGAGAUUUUCUCUAAUACAAUAAGUUGUAUUCAGUGUUUUACUUUUAAAAUAUUUUUCAUAAAUAUCAAAUUCUGAUUUACAAAAAAAAAAAAAAAUUGAAUGGAUACAUUCAGAGUUUUACUCUUAAAGGUUUCUUUUUUAUAGGGUUCAAAUUCUAAUUAACAAAGAAAAAAAAAAACCUUUUCUCCUUACUAAUUAUAUUAAUGCUUGUGGAUUAAAGUGGUAGAUUAUGCUAACAAUAAAAAUUAGAAGUUAUUUCAAUUUUUAAUUUGCUGUUUAAUUUAAUUAGAAUUUCAAUACAAACAAUAAUAUAAAAGAGAAUUAAAGAUAAGAGUUAAAUUUUGGAUCUUAUCUCUCAAUUAAGUUAUUAAUUAAUUUAUUUGAUCUAUUAGCUUUACCUUGAUGAUUUUGUAAAAAUUUUCUAAUAUAAUCAUCAAAUAAUGUUUAUUUUAAGUUAAUCAACAAUGGUUUUACUUUUCCCCAUUUCAUUGCAAAUAGAAGAAAUUAACUUAAAUUCUCAUAGCUACUUACCAGUGUUUAAACGAAUAUAAGGCACUUCUUAUAAGAUUUGAAGCCAAGACUCUUUCACGCAAAGAACUAAAAAAUCCAACUUUAAAAUUGAUACCUAUUGUAGAUAAAAACCAUUGUACUUGAACAACGAUCCUCUGUUUCUUAUACCUGGAAACUCUUGGCUUAUAGUGUAUUCAGAGGACCAAGAUACUUGCUAUAGGUUGUUCUGUUUAUGUCAAUGCUGAUAGAAAAUGUCCUAAAUGAAAAUCAGAAAUAACUGCUCCAUCCCAAUGAGUUGUCAGUCAUUGGGCUUUCUGCAAGUGUUUUGACUUGUAUAUGUUUUCAAUUAAUGAAAUAAAACUAGUAAGCCUUUGCUAAAGUUUGAAAAGGACCAGCUUCUUCACUUGACAUGAGGCAAAUACUUUGUAAACCUUCAAUGGCGAUUGGAUUCUUUCCCAUUCUUCCAUUCAAUCAGUAGGAUUAAUUGGCAUUAGCCCUCAUCGUAUGAGAAAACUAGGAGGGGUAUUCGUUCUGCCCAAUUUUCCUGUACCAUCUGCCUCCUUGACAUUGAAUGCUCUAUUUACAAUUCACAUUGAUGAUAAAAAUUGUCAAUCACAGAUCUGGGUGGAAAAAUCAAUUGAUAAUUAAUAUAUAAGCACAAAAAUUGCCCAAGGCCAAAGAAAACGACUAACCAUGUUCACCAUGAGCCAUCAAAUCAUGCCUCUGAACAGUGCCACUAAGGUAGCAUGGAACUCAGCACAAGGGUCGAGUAGAAUGGAACAGGUUAUAUCAGGAUGGAUAAAUUGCCCAUUCACAAAAUGUUGUAGGCACAGCACACCUUGGGGCACCCAACGGACUCAAGAAUUUGCCAUUGGUUCAAUGCAGCAGCAGAAAAUCACCUGUAAACAAACACAAACCAUCAGCCGGCCCAAACAAAAACCAUCAAUUUGAGCCUCCAGAAUAAAUAUGAAUUGAGCUUUCUUUCAAGUUUCAACGUGAAAUAGUUUGUACCUUCCCAAAAAGGGGGAGUCGCAAAUCCUUGAAAUUUCAAAAUAAGUAUGUGAUCCUGAACUUCAUAAUAUUUCUCCUUAUCCUCUGACUUCAGAACUGUUGUCAUCCAUAACUUCUCAACACCCAGAUCAUUAAAAAUAGAAAAGUAGUACAUAUGUUAUUUCUUCCAAGGUUGUUCAAAUAAAUGGCAAGCUAUAAUUAGUCACCAUAGAAACAUAAAAGACUAAAAGAAAGAAGCUGCAACCAUUUACAGGUUGAUCAAAUGCAGCAUGAUUAAACUUGUCUUUAGAGACAGAAUAGCUUGGCAGCACUGCCCUUUAGCAAUAUGAUAAUUGACAAAAAAAAGAAACGAAAAAAAAGAGUACCAUUAUUUCAUUUUAAAGAACCCUUGUAUUAUAAUAAAGAAAUCUUAUAACCAUUUGAUUUCAAACGAUGAAGUAUCAAUAAUGAUGUCUCAAAAUACAUACAUUGUUUACUUCACUCUGCCAUGGCACAUAAAUGCUGGCCGUGAAGGAAAUAGGAAUUAGAACCCUUGCACUUCUGCACUUGAGAUGAAGAAAACACCUUCAAAUGAAGAACUUAACUUAUUCAAGGAAAGAAAAAUCAUUUGCAUUAGAUGAGUACUACAUAAGCUAUACUGUCUCAAGAUGCAUGGAAAGACUUUUUGGCUUACUCUGUUUCUUGGCAGUUGAAGGAUUGAGCUGAUCUUCUUCAGAAUUCUCGACUAUGUUGACUGGAUUAUGAAAUCAUAAUGAACAAAUAUUAGUGAAGGUGAAAAGAAAAUUACUGGAAAAUUACUUUUGUUACUCUUUGAAGAAUCAGUGUCAUAAUGAAUGAUAACAAAGCCAUUCUGAUUUCGAAUGAAGAAACAAGAGUCAUAUGUCUCAAAUACACAUUUUCAACAAUUUCCUACCUUGCCACGCUUGCCAUUUGAAGAUCAUCACCAUAAUCCCUCUUCUUAUUUUAUUUUAUUAUAAAUUUAAACAUUCUCUAACCAUAAAGAAUAUUAUUACUGAAAAGCAGAAGUAUUUUAAAAAGAAAAUCCAAUGAUCUAUUUCAGUUGCUCUAGAAUAUCCUAAAAAGAGUAAAUUAAAUAGAAAUCCUGAUGAAAAUAAAAAGGAAAAACUGUUUAAAAAUUACAUAAUAUUAUAAUGAUAAGAGAAAUAUAAACUAGGAAGGAGGCAUCAAACUCCUACUUAAUUGAUGAGGAAAAGUAAAGCAUUUGAGUUGAAAGAAACAAAAGCUAUAUUAUUAUGAAUGGUAUCUGAAGAUUUAUAGAAUGAAAUUUGGCUUACUUGUGUGUUAGAAGUUGAAGGAUUCCCUUGAUCUUCUAUAGAAUACUGCAUUUCCUCCGCGGGAUUCUACAUAUAUAUAAUAAUCACCAACAACAAUUAAUAUUAAUUGGUCAUGAGGGGGAAAAAAUGAAUUAAUUUUGAUUUACAAUGGAGUCGUGAUCAACGCCCCCAACCACAAAUUUUCUUUGUCAAUGAUAAUCAAAGAAAUUUGAAAAAACAUACCCUUUCCGUGAACAGUUUUUGUAUGGUGCUAUUAAGGCUUCCUUCCCAAAUCCAAUUCCCUUCAUCUGCCCAGUCAUAUGGUCGUACUUUGUGCAACAUCGGAGCGUUUAACCCUUCCCUGGAGAACAUCUUCAUCUUUGGGCAUUCGUGUACAAUUACUGUUGCUAAGGAUGGGAACCCAAAGGUAUGAUUCCCCGAUGAGCAGAAGCUUUCUAGAUUUGACAGCCCACUCAGUUCCAAAAGGUUGAGUUUGGGGAAAAUGAUUUCAUCCUUCACUUCAUCACGAUCCCCAUCGCUACCUUCUAUUAUUUCUUCUAUCUUUUCACAAUCCCUUAUCCUCAUUUCUCUGAGCUGCACUAGGCUUUUGGCUGUUGAAUGUGUAACUAAUUUUAUGAUCCCAUCACAAAAUUGAACUUCAAGAGUCAUCAGAUUCUGGAAACAUACUGAGGAUGGAACUAAAUUACUUUUUAAUUUGGGACACCAUUCCACAUGUAAAAUCCUUAGAUUUUGGAAUCCUUCCUCACCACCAACUCCUUCACUUUGGAAUAACGACUCUUCAAAGUAACAAUCUUUUAUUUGAAGGCUUUCGAGAUUGGGUAAGGAUAGUAAUUGGAACAGGUAAGAUGGGAAUAUGGCUAAUUGUUGAGGAAACCGUACAAGUCCGAGAACUUUUAGUUUGCAAAAGUAGUCCGAUGCAAGUCGUAGGCCAUGCAAUCUCUCUUUCAUCCCAUCAUCCCAUCCGAGGUGAAGUUGUUGUAGAUUUGGGAAUGCCAACUGCACAAUUCAUGCAAGUGUUAACAGGACGGAGGAUGAGUUGUUGAAAGGGAUCAAAAUGAACGAUUGUAAUAUGGUGGAAUAAAAAGAGAAAUUUAAAAAAGUAUAUCUUUAAUAUAAGUAGUGAUCUUUUUAUUUUUAUUAUUGAAUCAUGUAUACUUACAUAGUACCAGCUGAUUUGAGUUUGUUAUUAUUAUUAACGUAUUUUUUUUGUUAAAAAAAAAAAUAGGUACAAUCGUUUUCUAACUUUUGAUACACAUUAACUUUUACAAAAAUUUAGAAUUCAAAGAAUUUUUUAAUGCAUAUAAUUUUACUGAAAAACUAGUAAAGUAUACAUUUGAAAAUAAAAAACAAAAUCUGAUUAUUGAAGUUUAAAGAUACCUCUCUAGUUAAAUUAUAGAUCAAUCCAAAGUUAUACUAUAAAAUUAUAUAUUCUAUCUUGAUAAACAAAUUAUUGUAUUUUAUUCUUACAAAUAUAUUAAUAGUUUACAUACUUUUCUUUUUAAUAUUUAUUAUGUUGCCAUUAAAUGCUUUUUUAUUUUAUUUUUUUUCAAAACACGUCAAUCUAUUUUUUAAAAUUUUGAUCCAAAGAUUAUUUAAGAUUUAGGAUUGAGGGGUGUUAAAUACACCCUUAUUUUUCAUUUUAUACCCUAUUUUUUAAAAUGUUCUUAAGUAAAAUUAUUUAAUUAUAUUUUUUUUAUAAAUUUUUGAAAAUAAAUGUUUGAAAAAUUGUAUAACUUGUUGGAUAUAAAUAUCAGAAAACUUAUGAAAAAGAGUAAUUAAGUAAUUUUAUUUUAAAAAAGAUUUGAAAAAAAAAUAGCAUAAGAAGAGUAAAAAAAAAAGAUGCAUUUAAUAUCACUUUUUAGGGUUUAGGAGCUAAAAAUCUCAUUAGCAAUUAGCAAUAUAAGUAGUUUACCCUCUAUUAGAUUAUUGAAAUCAAAAAUAAAUUCUUAAACUCCAAUGAUGUAAUUAAUAAUUAGAUGCUAUUUCUAUUAAACAUAUAGUUUUACCUAUCAAUUUGUAAAUGAGUUUAAUUAUUUGAAACAAAUUUUAAGUUUAUAUUGGAGCGAUGGAGGGAGACAUUAAAAAAAUACCUUUUCACUGAAUAGGUAUUUUGAGAUAUCCGAGUGGAGGUUUUCCGUUGAGAUGCUGCUCUCUCCUGCUUCAUUUUCAAUAGUUGUUUCCACACUUGUAGAAUCAAAAUGGACUGUAUUCAAAAUAGGACAUCCUUCUAUAUACAGAUAUGUUAGAGAAGGGAAUUCAAUCGGAUUUCCAAAGCCAAAUCUUUUGAGCUUAAGAAGAUCCACCAGCGUCAAACAGUCUAAUUUAGGAAACACCAUUUUCUUCAUCCUUUCUUCUUUUUCUACUAAUCCUUCCGUCACUAUUAUUAUCUCUUCAAGUUCAUUACAUCCUCCAACAUUAAGUGUUUUUAGUUGCACAAAGCUUUCAACCAUAGAGGAAGUAAAUAUAUUCUUCAAAUUAUUGCAUUCGCACACUUCCAAAUUUGUUAAAUUUUGAACACCAAAAGAAGUUACUGAACGUUGCUCAUGCCAUAGCCUUUUAACUUCCAUGAAGCCUAUAGACAACCGCUCUAAGCCUGGGAACACAGCCUGCAAAUAAAAGUAAAGUUUGACGAUCAACAAUUCCUUAUUAUUCAAAUAUUAAAAAGAAUUAAUAAUGAUUUUCAGCAUUGAUAUAACAUAAAGAAAUAAUAUAUUAUUGCCAUUGACUAUAUAUUUCUACAACUCCGUCAUCUUUAAUUAUACUAGCAACAUACCCACACUUUCUUGUAGAUCUAAAUUUUUUUUUAUUUAUAGUUAAAUAAAUUUAAUAAAUCAAUGAAUAUAAUUUUUUAUAAUUUCUUAAUAAAAACAAUGAUUUAUAAUAAUUUAUUAAUUAAUUUGGGGAUAAUAUCUUUAUUUUAUUUAUAGAAUUUGUUAACAAAUCAAAUACAAAUUCAUAUUUUCAAAUAUAGUUAAAAAUAUUAAAAUACAUCAUUUAAAAACUUAAAAAAGGAAAAGUGCCAAGCAAAAAGGAAAAAAAAAGGAAAAAGAAAAAUGACCCAAAUGAAUUUGCCAAGUCGACACUUCCACUUAAAGAUGACAAUGGACGAGUAAGACCAUGUUAUGCUUAUCCUAACUCCAACUUAAUCUCAGAUUAUUAUUUUUUAUAUCCAAUCUAACCCAACAUAUAAAUAUAGUAUUUUAUUAAAUAAUAAAUUUAUUAAUAUAAUAAUAUAUAAAUUAAAUUAAAUAAAUAAUAAAAUAUAUAUUCUAAUGUAUACCAUGAGACGAGACAAAGAAAAACACUUUAAAUUUAUCUCUAACCUGACUUCGAAGUUCAAAAAAGAAAAACCAUCACUAUUGAAUUGGUUAAUCAAAACCUAUUAAAUACGAAUUAUUUUAACAUCUAUUGAUCCAAUUUCUUACAAAAUUUAUUUUAUUUAAAAAAAUGAAAAAAAAAGGGAAUGGAAGGGUAAAAAAAAAAAUUCUAAAUAGGAUUGCUACCUAAACAAUUCUAUUGUUAAUUUAUCUUCCAAAGCAUAGAUAAAAAAAUGUUAAAAUAGACAAUUAAAAACAAAAAAAAAAGUUAAAACUAAAAAAAUGGCCCAAGCAAAAAAAAUAGUCAAAUUAAUGAAAAUGCAUGGACACUAUCAUUUAAUGAUAGAAAAGAGGUCGAGUCAGGGUGGGUUUAUACACACUUUGACUCUUAACUCGAAUUUUUAAUAAUUCAAUUCCACUUUGAUUUCAAUUAGACAUUGAGUUAUUAUUAAUUGAUAUCUAGUCCCAACCUAUCACAUAUAUACAUAAUUUGCAUCCAAUCCAAAUUAAAAAAUAAUAAUUCAAUAAUUUUAACUUAGUAUAAUAUUCAUAAACAUUUUAUUUUUUAAUAUAAAUUAUAUAUUAAUUAUGUAUAAAUAUAAUAAUAAAAUAAUUCGACUCUACUUCAAUUUCGACUAGACAUUAUCAUUAAUUGAUAUAUGAUCUUAACCUAUCACAUAUAUGCAUAACUCGCAUCCAUUCCAAAUUAAUCAAAAUUAAUUCAAUAAUUUUAACUCAGUAUACUGUUCAUAAAUUAUAUCUUAAUUAUGUAUAAAUAUAAUAGCUUAUUAAAAUAAAAUAUUAACUAAUAAUUUUAUUAAUAUAAAUAAAUUAAUAAAUAUAAAAUUAAUUAAAUAAUAAAAAUAUAUAGUUUUAAUAUAUACCGAAGAUGAGAUGGAACAUCCCAAACCUGUUUCCUACCCUCAUCCAAUUUAGAAAAAAUUCCAACCUAAUUUCAGUUUUAAAAUAUAAUGUACCUAUUGGAUUGAGAGAAAUCAAAAUCCAUUGAAUUUGUUUUGUCAUCUCUACAUCAAUUGUAUUUUUUUUGUAUAAAAUUUUUUUAUUAAAAAAUUUUUUUGAAAAAGGUUAUUGGCAAAAAAAGAAAAAAAGCCAAAUAAAAGUGUUGUAAAUUUAUUAAAUUAAGAUAUUAAAUAAUAAUUUUAUUAAUAUAAUAAAUAUAUAAAUAUAACAUUAAAUUAAUAAUAAAAAUAUAAUUUUAUAUAUAUCUUAGACAAGAUAAAACAUUUUAAAAUAACCCUUGAACAAAUCUCGAUUUAAAAAAAAAUUCUCAAUUUGCUCUCAAAAUUUUUAAAACAACAUAUCUAUAUUGAAUCGAAGUGAAUUGAAAUCCAUUAGAUACAAAUUGUUUCGUAAUUUUUACAUCUAUUAUUUUUCUUAUAAAAUUUAUCUAAUAAAAUUAAAACCAAAUAAAAAAUAAAAAAGUACAUUUUAAAGAAAUGUUAGGGUGGCACAUAGACCCCCAUCUUCCUCCAAAAUCUAAAAUAUUUAUAAAAUGGAUUGUAGAAAGCCUUUUGGUUGAAAUAAUUAACUUCGUACAAUGAUUAUAAUCUUCCAUGAAAUAAUUAGAAAAAAGUCAAGUAUUGGCUUGAAGUUGCAAUAAAAAGUCAGUCAUUAAAUUUUAUAUAUUAGUUAUUAACUCCUAACAAAAAAAAAGUGCAAUUUUAGAUCUAUAAUAAUAUAUAAUAUCAAUAAUUUCAUUAUAUCACUCAAGUCAUGACUUGUAAAAGUAAGUUUUAAAGUUUUAUUAUUAGAGGUGUUCAUCGAUUAAACCUAUCAAGUUCUGUUUUUAAAGCUAAUAAGAGGCCGACCACUCACUCAUUUAUUUUAUUGACAAAAAACUCACUCAUUUAACUAAUAUUUUAUUAUUAAAAUAAUAAAAUUUUCUAUUAUUAUUAAUAUUUUAAACAUAUAAAAAUAAAAUUUAACAAAAAUAUAAUAUUUAUUAAUAAAAUAAUUUAAUCAGCCCUAAUCAAGCUGAAGCUUAAAAAAUCAUAUGCAGCCUGACCCUUUACAUCUUUAGUUGCGACGAUCCCCUCUAUAAUUCAAAUAAUUAAGACUUUCAAUUUUAAAGUUUUAAGUCUACAAUGGUAGAAUAUCUCUUUGGAUGACUUAAAAAUGUUAUAAUGUUUGUGAGAAAAAAAUCUAUAUAUGAAAAGGAGAAUUAUAAGACUCGAAGAAAAUAACAUAAAAGAGAUACAUUCUAGUCUUGCAAUAUAUUAACAUAUAUACUUCAUCACUUUGUUUUCAGGUUAAGUUAAUAGGAAAAUUACAAUCUAAAACACUACUGAUAAUAAAUUUAAAUUUCACACCAACGAAUUUAGAUUAUUGCUAAAUAACUCAAUAGGAUAUAUUUUUAAAAAAUUAAUAUAAUAAAAAACAUAUAAUAAUAUUUUAACUACACUUACAAAAUUUAAAAACUCUACCAACAAUGUAUGAAAUAAAAAUUUUAUGUUCAAAAAAUGGAGAAAAGCAUUAAGAAAAUACCUUUUCAUCGAAUAGAUAUUUUGGUACAUCAAUGCAAGGUUUCACCAUUGAGAUGCUACUCUUUCCUGCUUCAUUUCCAACAAUUGUACCCACACUUGUAGAAUCAGAAUGAAAUGUGUUUAAAACUGGACAUCCAAGAAUCCAUAGUUCCUUUAAAGAGAGGAAUUCAAUUGGAUUUCCACAACAAAAUCUUUUGAGAUUAGGAAGAUUCAAGAGCUGCAAAUCGUCUAGUUUAGGAAAUACCAUUUUCCUCAUCCUUUCUUCUUCUGGUAAUCCUUCUGUCACUGUUAUUACCUCUUCAAUUUCAUUACAAUCGCAACAAAAAGGGAUUUCAGUUGCACGAAGGCUUUUCAACCAUAGAAGAAGUAAAUAGAUUCUUCAAAUUUAUGAACAGCCGCUUGAACAGUCAACACAGUUAAAUUUCCAACACUAAAAGAUGUUACCCGGAAGCUGAUCAUAGCCAUAAUUUUCAAUUUCAACUGUGAUACAAGAUAACCACAACUUCUUUUAAGCAUGGAAAUGACCUGCAAAUAAAAAAAUAUUGAUAAUCAACAAUUUCUUAUUAUUCAAACUUAAAAAAAAUUAAUAACGAUUUCCAAUAUUGAAUAUGGAGACAAAGAAAUAAUAUAUAAUUCCAUUGGACAAUAAUUUUCAAAGUAAUAUUAAACAAAAAUUAAAUAUUUACUUGGAUUUGCAACUAUAUAAAGUCAAUGAAGUCAUUAAAUGUUGAGUAUGAGUUAUUGACUCCUAACCCAAAAAAUAGAGUGCAAUUGACCAUCUAUAUAUAUAAUAUCAAUUCUUAAAUUCAUUAUAUCACGCCCAUGUCAUGAAAGUGAAUUGGAGUUUUUCAGUUUCAAAGGCGUAUUUGGAUUGGCCUAUCAAGUCUCCCUUCCAAGGCUGACUCAACUGACUCAUUUAAUUAUUAUUUUAUUAAAAUAACAAAAUUUUAUUAUUAAUAUUUUAAUAUUGCAAACAUAUUCAAAAUUAAAAUGUAACAAAAAUAUAAUAUUUAUUAAUAAAAUAAUUUAAUCCUUGUGGAUAAGCUUUGAGUUUAAAAGACUUAUUUUAUGUUUUAUUGAAUACUUAUUUUAAAUAUAUUAAUAAAAUAUUUUAUGAUAUAUUUUAUUUUCAUUAAUUUUGAUUCAAAAAUCACUAAAAUUGAAAGUACAGCAAUAAAAUUCAAUAAAACCAAAGUAUAAUGACAAAAUUGAACACUCACCUACAAUAAUAAAUUUGCUCUUUAUCCUAAUUAUAUCAUUCACAUAUUAAAUAGAAAAUCUAGUUUAAGAAAAAGGAACAAAAACGAGAUCAAAAGGAAAUAUGUUGGAAGUGAGAAUUUAACGAAAAGAAGAAAUAUAUUGACAUAAAUACCUUUCGGUCAAAAAGCGAUGUGGCAGUUGAACUUCCAUCAAUUGAUUGAACUCUUCCUUGUUGAGACGAGGAAAGCCUUUUUUCUGAGUUAAACAAGCCAAUGAAACUUGGUAGAUUUCCUAACCUUAAAUAGCGUAAUUGGCUGAAUUCUAAAAUGUCAUCAUCACCAAUCUCUUCCUCCCUCUUUUCUACAAUUAACUCUGUGAAAUUCGAGCAAAGAGAUACACGAAUUUCUUGAAGGUGGCCGAGCUUUCUGGCUAAGGCGAAUGAGAACAAAUUCUUCAACAUAUUACAAUCUCUUACUCCUAUCUUUCUUAGUUGACCGAAACAUUCAGCUUGGAGUUGACCAUAAUAUAUGGCCUCCAAAUUGUUCAGUUCACGAAGAAACAAUGUCUCCAAAAGAGGAAAUGCUUUACAUGAAGUCAACUCCAUGGAGUUAAUGAGAUAUUUAACCUCUGAAUCAUUGCGGACAUCAAGAUGUUUUAAAUGUGGGAAACCUUGGGUAUCUGGAUCAUAAAGCAUGUCUAUGACAUCUUUUGCUGCAUCCAGAUGGAGAGUUUCGGUUUUUCUCAACAACGUUUUAACCCCACUAUCGUCCAAAUGAAUACUCUUAUUCAACUUGAGUUUCAACUCUCUCGAGGUUUUUGGCUUAUAAUUCCGCCACCACUUCUCUCCAAUGGAAAUUUUGUAUCUUUCAAACUUUUCAGAAAACAAUUUCUUUGGCACAGCUUGCAGAUCAGGAAUAUGUACUUCCAAAGUUGUCAAACGAGACAAAUGUUGCAACUCAACAAGGCUAGCAUUGGUUCUUGGCUUCUCAUGUCCCUCAACCUCCCAUCUAUCAAAGCUAUUAUAAAGGUAUAAUUCUUCUAAUCUGGAUAAACGAGACAAGACAUUUGAUGAUAUUACUUUAAGACUGGAACAAUGACUCAAAUCUAGCAAUUUUAGCUUGAUCAAUUGUCCUAUUUGGGGUGGUAGCACUGCAAUUUUAGAUUUUCGGAAGCUAAGGAUUUCUAAAUUCUUUAACUCUUCAAUGAUGACUAUACUUUUAAAUGCAGUUAGAAAAAACAUAAAGUACGAAGAUUUUUUAGGAACAAACAUGACGAAGGCAAGGAUGGAAAAUAAAGUUGGCAAAUCUAAGGACCCUGAGUUUUUGCAUUCCCCUAAAGAAGUUUGUCUGAAAUUUUCAAAGAGGAAUCCUCACUACCCAAAGAGCAAAGGUAAGAUUUGGACAUUCCAACCGAUCCAUGAUCAGAAGGCUCACAACCUUAGCAUACUGCAAGCUGAUCAGUUCGCAAUUUCUUCAUUUUUUCCUCAUUUGACAACUCUUUGAAUACAUCAUCAUCAUCCUUCCUAGAGCAAGCCAUGGUGGUCUCUCGAAGCGAUCGAUAAGGCAACAUCACAAACAACGUCAUGCAUACAAAAGCGCUCAAAGGUAGAACCAUCAGUAACAAAGAAGAGCUUUUCAGGUUGUUAACCAAUGCGGAUACUUUAUAUCGUGCUUCUUUGAUUGUGUUAACUCCAUGAAAUAAACCCAAACCCAUGCCAUAUCUCAACAAGCUCGAUGGCAGCAUCAUGGCCCAUUAUGCUACAGAGUAGGAAAGUAGGUCGAUGUUCCUCAUCUUCUAAAAACUUGUAACUCAACUCUAUAGCUGAAUAUGCACCUGCUGGUAUCCCUUGAAGUUUCUUUUAGAGGGAUUUCUUAGUUCAUUCAAAGCAUACUUCCAAUCAGACAAAUUCUUCUUAUUUUUCAUAGCUUCCCCAACUGUUACAAUGGCAAUCGGCAAUCCAGCACAUUCAUUGGCCACUUCAAUUGCCGUAGUUUCCAAGUCAGGGCUUAGAACAAUAUCACCUGCCUUCUUCUUAAACAGGUUCCAUGCUUCUUCUUCUUUCAAUAUUUCAAUUGGAAUGUUUUCAGCGAACCCAUCAAAGAUAAAGCAUCAACCUUUCUAGACGUCAGUAAGAUCUUGCAUCCUUGGUGUUCACCUCCGUAAGGAACUCCCAGAGCCUCCAUAUCCAAUUUCUCCCAAAUAUCAUCCAAAAUAACAAGAAUCUUAUUGCUCCCCUUUAGUCUGUUACGUAGUUCGCCUGCUCUUCCGGGUACACUCGGCUUUUCAAAAAUUAGACCCAAUUCAUCAGCAAUAAGAUCUUGAAUAUUCUUUAUAUGUCAAAAUUGUGGGUUACAGCUGCCAUGACCACCUCAUCAAACAAAUCCUUGGCUUGUAUAGCAACUUGUUUGACUAGGGCAGUUUUACCCAAACCUCCCAUCCCGUAAACACCAAUUAUGCUCAAAUUAGCAUCUUCAAGCGCCUCCAUGACCCUAUCGAAAGCACCCUUUCUUGACUCAAAGGCCUCGUAGUCUUUGUCAGGUCUAGUGGCUGUCCCUCCAACAGCAGGUUGGCGGGAUACUCUAUUAUUAAAUUCGUCUUUAUCUUUUAAGAGUUCAGCAAUGGUGUUGGCCUCUUUCUCAGCUUUUCUACUGAGUUGGUAACGAGACUUAAAAUUAGGACACAACCCAACGAAACACAUCUGCUUUGCUUUCUCUUCAUCGUCAUCCAAUUGCUCAGCAGCCUCAUCACAGAUCCCAUUGACCUUAGUCAACCACUCACCCCACAUAGCUAAAUAUCUCCUUUCCCUGUCUCGUAGCCGCAUUAACAUCCUCUUGCACACUUUCUCUUGCAAUCUUCAGUUUUUUAAGUUGAUCCCUGAGGUUUUGAAACUUGCUCUUAUGCUUGAACAAGUAACUAACUUGUCGUGCAAUGGGAUCAACUGUGCAUUCCACCGCUUUCCCAGCAAGAGAGCCAAGAAUGGAUCUAACAAUGUAAAUACAAGCCUCCAUAUAUUUUUUUUAAUCGGAAGAACGCUCCCUGACAAAACCUAAAACAAUAUGAACAGUAAUAUUCAAAACCCAAAAUAAAAAAAUAAUAUAAAUCAAAUAAUCAGAGAUGAAAACAGUGGAAAUGGGUUUAAACAAACAUACCUCUGUCGUUCUCUUAGAUAUCAAAAGAUUGGUCGGCUACAGCUUCUUCCUAUCCUCACUUUGAGUAGUGAAGCCAAAAGAACAGAGAACCUACAGAAAAAUUUUAAGGAAUUCUUUUUUCUUUUUUUGGUGAAUAAAGCUUGAGGAUUCAGCAGUUGAAAGAGUUUAGGAGAUGGCAGUUUGAGAGAACAGAGAAUCAAAACUCAGAAUUGCGUGUUUUCUGUAAAAGAGUAUGAACAGCCAAGAGUAGUAAACAAAUGGGAACAUGUUGACAACCUAAAGGACGACUAAAGCACAGCCAGCUGGUCUCCAUUCUGCGGUCCCGGGGUCCUGAUUGUGCGCCUCUGGGCUGUGGCACAUGAUUUCUGUCGGUAAAGUAUUAUUUUUUAUUACGCCAAAAUCCUUGUUGUUAAGCACUAAUAUACAGUUGUCAUUUUUUUUUACCUAAUGAUGAAAAAGCUAUUAGGAAAACAUAAAAUCUUGAUUUGAUUUUCUUCAUUUUCAUAAAUUAUGCUCGUCUUAUAUACCAAAAAUGAAAUACUAUCAUCUUCAAUAGUUUUAGCCAAGACAUGAUAAAUACAUCAUUACAAAUAACAUCAAAUUUUUAUUAUAAUCGAAGUUAAAAACUUUUAUUUACAUUCAAAAAUACUCCUUGAAUCCAAUUUUUAUUUCCUAAAACACCUUUACUUUUCUUUUUAUUUUUCUUUUUUUAAAAUGUUUUAAAUAAAAUUUAAUUAUUAUUUAAUAUAAAAAACUAUCUUUCAUGGAUUUUUAAAUAAUGAAAAAGAUGUUUCACCUUCAACUUAAAUCAAAACCAAUAAUUGUGAAAAAAGCAUGAAAAGCACAACCAGCUGGCCUCCAGUGCCUGCCCCUGGGUCUCCAAUUGUGCUUGUGCAGCCUGUGGGACAUGGUUUUUGUCGGAUUAGAAUGUUUUAGUAAAUUACACUAAAGUCCUUGACAUUUAGCACUAAUACAAUCAUUCUAUUUGUAUGAUAAAUUUACAUCAUCUCCAAAGUUUUAACACUUACCGAUGAUAAAUGGAUCCCACGUCUCACAUGCACAUGCAACUUAUGUUAUACCAAAAAUACCCUUUUUUUUAAUAGGAUGACAAGUAAUAUAACUAAACCAAUUUCAGCUUCUUAAUUUAGUGAUAAAAAAAUCUUUAAAAAAAUACGAAAUUGAGGUUUGACUCUAUGCUUUCUUUCUUCUUUAUUAUUGUAAAGCUCUCUCCCCUUAAAAUCAAACAACAAGGGAGAGGAAAAGAAGAUGAAGUCAAACUCCAAACUUUGUGUCUUUUAAGAUUUCUUUGAUCACUAGAUCAAAUUUUUUGACUUGAUAUUAAAAAAAAAUACUUAACUUCCCAUACAAAAUGAAUAUAUACCUUUAUAAUUUUUUAUUUUAUUGUAAAUAAACCCAAUUUUUUUUAAAAUUACCUAAUUAAAUUUAACUUCUUUAAAUAAAAUUAAUUUAAAUUUUUUUAAUCCAAACCAAAAAAACUCACCCAACCAACUCUUGAUUUAGCUCGAAACUAAAAAUAAUUUGAACUCAAAUUAACUCAAAUCUAAAUUAACAUGAAUCUAAAAUUAAUCAAAAUUGAAAUAAUUCGAAAUUGAAUCGAUCCAAAAAAUUAACCCCAAAUAAUUGAGAAAAAGAUCAUUUUAAUUAAGAAUAUUAAUUUAAUAAAAUAAUAAUAAUAACAUAAAUGAUAACUCAUUAAAGUUAUUAAAAAUAUCAAAUUAAUAUAUAUUUUUAAUAUCAAACUAAGUAUAAAUUAUAUAUGUUAUGUUUACUUGAAAACUUCUUAUAAUUUAUAAUAUGAUUUAAAAUAAACUAUAUAUUUUUAAUUAUUAUGAUAUAUUUACAUAUUAAUAUUUCAUUUAAAAAAAUUAUAUAAUCUCUUAUAUUAUGUAUUAUCAAUUAUCAUGUGAUUUAAAAUAAAAUUUACAAAACAAGCUAUUGAUUUGUGUAUAUAUAUGUUACAUAUAUGUUGUAAUUAUAUUAUUAAAUUUUAAUCAUGAAAUUUAAAAUAAAUUAUGUGAUUUCCUUUUUCCUUUUCUUUUUUUUGAAUGGUAAGAAAUUGAUGAUACGAAGCAAAACAAACAAUAAAAGGGCAGAAGGCUCACUGACAAAACCCAAAACAACAAAAACAGCAAUAUUUAAAACCCAAAUAUAUAUAUAUAUAUAUAUUUAUAUAUAUACAUAUAUAAAUCAAAUAAUCAGAGAUGAAAGCAGUGGAAUGGGUUUAAACAAACAUACCUGUGUCCUUGUCUUAGAUAUCAAAAUAUAGAUCGGCUGCAGCUUCUUCCUAUCCGUACUUUGAGUACUAAUAUCAAAAGAGCCGAAAACCUACAGGAAAAUUUUGAGGAAUUAUUUUUUCUUUUUUUGGUGAAUAAAGCAUGAGGAUUCAGCAGUAGAAAGAGUUGAGAGAACGGAGAAUGAAAACUGAGAAUUGCGUGUUUUCUGCAAAAGAGCAUAAAAGGCGGAGACUAGUAAAGAAAUGGGACAUGAUGACAAACUAAACAACAAUUAAAGCACAGCUAGGUCGUCUACAUUGUGCGAUCCCUAGGUCAUGAUCGUGCACAUGUGGGCUGUGACACAUGCUUUCUGUCGGGAAAGUAUUAUUAUUGAGUAAACUAUACCAAAGUCUAUGUUGUUAAGCACUAAUUUAACAUCACGCCAUCCGUAUGAUAAAUAUACGGUUCUCAAUUUCCUUGGUUUAAUAAUUGAAAAAAUUUCAGCAGGACAUAAAAAAUCUUGAUUUUAAAUUAAUUUUUUUAUGACGUAUGUUCAUUUUAUAUAUAAAUAUAUUUAUCAUUGUCCAAAAGUUUUACAAUCACAUCAAAUUUCUGUUAGAAUUAAAGUUGGAAGUUUCGUUUACAUUCAAAAUUUCUUGAUGCAUUUAAUGUUUUUAUUAUAAAAAUAUCCAAUAUUUAUUAACUCUUUUAGCAAAUUACUUUUCACUUCUUCCUUGCAUCAUUUUUAAAUCCUACAGAUUUAUAAAGUCAUAAAUUUAUAAAAAAUUUAUGAAUAUGAGUAUUUGUAAAUUCUUUAAAUGGAUGAAAAAAAUAUUUUUUUAUUAUAAAAAUAUUCAAUGUGAAAGUAAUGAUUUCACAACAAAUUGCUUAAAACCUCAAAGGUCACCAAGAGAUUUGGGCAGAAAAGGCAGUCAAGUAAAUGCAAGUCAACAUAACAUCUAGGAAAAUAGCAAGAAGCGUUUAGUUUCCAACAAACAUCAAAAUCAUGGUAGGUUUGGCAAUACUCUAGGAAGUCCUUCCUUGAGCUCGCAUGUUGGUAACAUGCAUUUACAUGAGAGGAAUCGUAGUACAAUUGAUGUCACUAAAAGCUCUAGUGUCUCUGCACCUGUCUUUGGCUCACAAAAAAUAAAAAUCAGAGAGCUAGGAUUUUAAGAGGGAAAAGACUGAGGACAAGUUUGAGGUUGAUCAGAUCUGGGCAUUAUAUGGUAGGGAUGGCAUGCCUAAGGACUCUGCUUAAUUCAAAAAGAUUGAAUCCACCCCUCAUUUCAAAUUGCGUGUGGCACUGCUGGAAAUGUGCUCAAGGCCUAAAGACUUGAAACUACCCUUUGUUGUAGGAUAUUUAAAGUUAAAAGUGGCCAAACCAAGGUUAACGUUGUCUCUCAUCAAUUAAGAGCUGAGCCCAUUGGGAAGAACAAAUGCAAAAUUUACCCUAAAAAGGGGGAGGUUUGGGCAAUAUACCAGAGUUAGAACUCCGCAGAUUCAGACUUGGGUACGGGUGAAUGUGACAUUGUAGAAGUGUUGGAAGAUAAUGCCAAGAGCAAAAAAGUUAUGGCUCUGUCAUGUGUAAAUGGAUCUAAAUCACAUUAUAGGGCUUCAAGAAGUCAAAGUGCCGGAGAUUGAGUUUGCUACAUUUUCUCAUCAGAUUCGAGCUUUACAGCACACAAGAGAAAAGGAUUGCUGCUGGAGAGGCUAUUGGGAGCUUGAUCCCUUGACUAUUCCCAGUGUUCUUAUUUGUAUAGAGUGAUAUACUAUAUUGUGUUGCAUCAUUAAAUCCCUCACCUCAUUGUCACCAGGAGCUUUUGUGAGUAUUCUCCAAGGGAGAAAAUGGAAAGAAUUUAGAAAAAACCUGACGAAAUUAAUUUUGUCUCCUGUGUUGGAAAUCAUGCAUGGCCUUAACCGUUAACCAUUUUGUUUUUGCCAAAACGAUGUACUCUUUUGGAAAGUGAACUAAUGCAAAUCCUCAACUUUUAGUUGCAAACUUGCAGUGAUUAUGAAUUCUUAUAUCUGCAUCAUCAGAGUUGACGUUGCACUUUUCCAUUGGGGUAAUAAUAUGGUCUCUCUUCAUGUUAGGACUAUGAUAUGUAUUGUACAACAUUUGUGGACAUUAACAAUCAGUGUUAAUCCCUAUUACAUCAGAAAAGAGGUGUCUUUUAAACUCUUUUUAAUCUAAUUAUAGAAUUUGAAGUGUAAGAAAUUGUUCAAGAGUAGAUAAAGUAGUAAAUAAAUUGAUUUUAAAAAUUCAGAUUGAAAUUAGAGCAAGUAAUUUUAUGAUUUAAAAAAAAAUGAAGUUAUUAUUUAUAAAUCUUUAUUUCUAUUAUUCCCUAAACAUUUUUUUUGGUCUGGAAAAGGAGUAUUAUUCCCUAAACGUUUCACGAAAAAUGAAACGUUUUAGCUUUGUCUGUUUCACGAAAAAUAACUUUUAAAAAAUAUUUAUAUUUUUGGAAUAUAAAGAGAUUUUUUGUUAUUUAGAGGAAUUAAUGAAAAUAUUUUUCAUUAUUUAGUUUUUUUAAAAUAUUUUUUUACAAAUAAUAUUAAUAUAUUUAUUAAGAUAUUAAAAAUUAUUUCUUAUUAAAGUAUAUUAAAAUUAUUAAUACUCAAAACAAUUAUAUUUUGAUAAUAAUUUUUAAUAUUAAAAUAUUAUGUUAAUAUAAAAAUACUUAAAACAAAACUAUUUAUUAUUUUUCUAUUAUUUAUUAAUAUAUUAUAAUAUUAUUUAUUAACAUUGUUAUAAUAUUAAUUAAUUAAUAUAUUAUUUAUAAGUAAAAUUAUGUUGAUAAAUAAUUUUACUUAGAAAAUUUUUUUUUAAAAAAAUCUUAUUUUUUAUUUUUUAUUAACUAAUAGUUAUUUUUCAUUAACCACUUAAUUUUUGUGAAACAAAUAACUAAAAAUGUAAAAUUAACUUUUAAAAAUAAUUUUUCGUAAAACAACAAAGCACCGAAUUCUGCAUAUAAGCUUUUUUUUUUUAAUUUGCUUGUACUUGCCCAUGAUUUCUUUUCACGUUGGACAGGUAAUUCUUUUUUUCUUACAACUUUUCUCAGUUUUUUUGGAUACCCAAUUCAUUUCUUGAUUGAAAAAUUUGUCAAUUAAACCCAAAACCGAUUAUCCACCGAUGUUCCAAACUCCAGAAAUUGCGUUCAUUGUUUGAUAUUUAAAUAAACAAAGUACAUUGAAAAGUGGGAAAUCUUAUUUGCAAUAUGUUGGCAAGUCCUCUAUGUGUAUGACGCUUAGAAGAAUUCAAAUGGUGAAUUUCAACUGAAAUUCAGCUAGAGAGUUCUUAUGUUCUUUUUAAAUUGGAAACAUUUCAGUUACAAUUAUUUAAUUACAAUUAAUUAAUUAUAAUUUAUAUUUAUGUAAAACUCAUAUUUUUUAAACGAUAAAUUUUUAUAUAAUUUUUAAGUAUGAUUGAUUAAUUAUAAUAUUAUAAUGAAAAAAUUAUAAGUGAAAUUCUCCCUUUAAAAACUGGGAUUUACAGCUUUCAAUGCCCAUAAUCAUUUAUAAAUAUAUAUAGAUAUAUAUAUAUAUAUAUAUCUAUCUCUUUAAAAUCAACUUGUAAGAUAAUACUUGCAUACUGCAGAAUCGCGUUCAGUCAUGUUUUUUCGUCUAAAUGUUUUGACUAUUUAUUAGACUUUAAAUUCUCGUAUCCAUGUCUAUUUAUUCAUGUCUUAAAAGGUGAAAACUAUAAGUAUUAUCAUGUCAUAAUUCGAUUACCACAUUAAAUAUAAAAUAUUUUUUUAUUUUUAUUAAAAAUUUUAAACUAUUAAUUUUUUUUUUUUUGGUAUCAUAUCAUAAUAUUAUAUUUAAAAUUGUAUUAUAUUGCUUUGCUUUGGUGUUGACAAAUAGGAAUUGUCAGUAUAUGGUUCUUAAUUUUGAUUGUUAGAAACGCAUGACUGAGAAGAUUCCAUAUGGAAUAUGUUACUCUAAUACGUGACUCUACUGUGGGUGUUUGAGGACACUUAUGUUUUUGGGAACAAAUCAAGUUCCAUGGCAUUAACAGCCUCUCGCACUCUUUUUCAUGAAUCCUCCAGUUUUUGACGUUGAUCCCUGAGGUUUUGAAACUUGCUCGUUUACUUGAACAACUAACUAACUUGUCGUGCAGUGGAAUCAACUGUGUACUCCGCCGCUUUGCCAACAACAGAGCUAGGAAUGGAUAGAACAAUGGAAAUAACAGCCUCCAUAUAUAUAUAUAUAUAUAUAUAUAUUUGAAUCGGUAGGAAAUUGAUGAUAUGAAGCAGAACAAACAAUAAAAAAACAGGGAGGAACGCUCACUGACAAAACCCAAAACAAUAGAAACAGCAAUACUCAAAACCCAAAAAAAAAUUUAUUUUAAUCAAAUAAUCAGAGCUGAAGACAGUGGAAAUGGGUUUAAACAAACAUACCUCUGUCCUUGUCUUAGAUAUCAGAAGAUUGGUUGGCUACAGCUUCUUCCUAUCCUUACUUUGAGUACUAAUAUCAAAGGAGUAGAGAACGUACAGGAAAAUUUUUUAGGAAUUUUUUUUUCUUUUUGGUGAAUAAAGCUUGAGGAUUCAGCAGUUGAAAGAGUUUAAGAAACGGUAGUUUGAGCGAACAGAGAGUGAAAACUCAGAAUUGCGUGUUUUCUGCAGAAAAGGUCAGACUAGUAAAGAAAGAGGAACAUGAUUAUUUAUAAUAGAUUUUGAAGUAAAUUACAAUAAAGUCCUUGAUGUUAAACACUAAUUUAACAUCACUCCAUCAGUAUGAUAAAUAUACGGUUAUCAAUUUCCUUGGUUUAAUAGUUAACAAACUUUCGACGGGACAUAAAAAUCUUGAUUUUAAAUUAAAAAACAUUUUUAUGAGCUAUUCUCAUUAUAUAUAAUAUUAUAUUAUAAAAUACAUAAAUAUAUAAUAAGAUAUAUUGUUUGAUGUCUACGUGAAUAAUUUAUAUUUUUUAUAUAUAAAAUAAUAUAUGAAAUUAUUAUGCAAUCAAAAUUAAAAGAAAAUAUCACAUCUUUAAAUUUAAAUUUUGAAAAUACUUAAACUUAUCCUAUUAAAAUUAAUCAAAAUUCAAGAAAAAUUUGGAUGAGCAAAAAUCAAAUAAAUCAAUAGAAAAAUCUAAAUUCAAAAAUCUCAAAUAAGAUAUUUAUUUUUAUAAAAUUUCAUAUAAUCUUUUAAUAUUUUUUUAAUUUAAAAACACUCAUAUCACCUUUUUAAAUUUCAAAAAUACUUAUUAAUUUGAAAUAUAUAUAUAUAUAUAUAUAUGCAUCCUAAUUACCAUCCAAUAAUAAUAUUAUUUGCAACUUUUCUUUCUAAGUUUUUUUCAAGUAAUAUUUUUUUUUCAAUUCAUUUUUUCUUUUGAUAGACAUCUGCUAAUUGUUUUAAUAUUUUGUUCAACACUUUGAUUAAGAAUACAAGACUGAAGGUAUGUAAAUAUUUAUUUUAUGAUGUAAUUCAUCAUUCAAUAAUAUUUUUUUUACAAUCAUUAAAAGGAAAGAAAAAUCUAUAUAAUACUCUUUUACAUCUAAGUUUAUUUUAAAAAAAUUAAUUUUUUAUGAGAUAUCGAUUCUGUAUAUAAAUUUUAUAUUUUAUAAAUAUUGGAGACUUUGAUAUAAUUUUUUAAAUAAUAUUAAUUUAUAUAUAUUUAAAUAGAUAAAAUAAAUUAUGUAUUGUAUGAGUUGUAAGCUAACUUUAUAUAUAUAAAAAUAUACAUGAUCGUCCCAAGUUUUAGCAAUCACAUGAUAAAUACAUCUUUACAAAUCACAUCAAACUUUUAUUAGAAUUGAAGUUGUGAGUUUCUUUUACAUUCAAAUUGGAGUUAAGAACUUCUAUUUACAUUCAAAAUUUAAUUUUAUCAAAAUUUAAUAAAAAGCAAACUCCAAAUUUAGUUGAAAUUUGUAAUUUUAAAAUUUGGAUUGAAAUUUAUGAAUUUAAAGCUUUUAAGAAUUUACCUAUAAGUUCAUCAAAUUCACCCAAAUAUCAUUCAAAAUAUAUAUAUAUUUUUUUAAAUUUGAAGUAUGACAAUAGUGAUGAUAUGAAGCAAAACAAACAAUAAAACUGCAUUUUAAAUCUACCGUAACGUCGUUUCAAUGAGAUUACCAAUCGUUUUUUGUCUAAUCACACUAAACAAAGAAUUUAGAAAUCAAAAAACAAUGUAUCUCACCGCAAUUCAAAAAUCCCAGUAGAAGGAAGGAGGUUUAGAGGGCUUUUCCAUUCCCACCACUCCUACUGUUUCCAAAAAUACCUUUGCUUUAAUUUUUUUUCCUUUGAAAUUAAAAGAUACAAACUUCUCUUUUUAUUUUUUGUUUUUUAUUUUUAAAUUUUGUUUUAAAUAAAAAUUAAUUGUUAUUUUAAUAUAAAAAAUGUAUAUCUUUUAUCAAAUUUAAAAAAAAAAUGAUAAAGAUUUUUUUGCCUUUAUCCCACUGCUACGCUCAGUGACACUACAGCAACCGAAAGAACGCUCCUUGAAAAAACACAAAAGAACAAAAACAACAAUAAUGAAAACCAAAAAAUUAAAUUAUCUUAAUCAAAUAAUCACAGACGAAAACAAUGGAAAUGAGUUUUAAACCAAUAAAGUUUGAGAAAUUGAGCCGUAGACUGACCUAAAGGGGUGGUGGUUGAAAAACAGGGAAUCAAAUCCAAUAAUCGUGUGUUGUUUGGGAAAGAGCAUGAAAGGUCAAGACUAAUAACCCAUUGAGCACCUUGCUUCACGAAAAGUAUUUUCACUAAACUUACCUAAAGUCCUUGAUAUUUAGUACUAUUCAACUAAAUUAUUAGUAUGAUAAAUUUACAUCUCUAAAUAUUUAACAAUGAGAUAUGACAAAUAGAUCCCCACAUCAAGAUUCCGUAAGAAUUGGAGUUAAAAUGGGGACGUGCAUCACAUGUAAUUUAUGUUAUGCCAAAAAAACCCCCUCCUUCAUGGGAUAACAAGUAAGAACGAAACCAGCAUGUCUUUUUUUAACUUUAUUUCUUCUUUUUGACUUGAUACUCAAGUAUGCACUAAAUUUUUUAUACAAAAUAAAUAUAUAUCCUCUAUAUUUUAUUACAUGCAAAUAAAUUUAUAAUUUUUUAUUUUUAUUAUAAAUAAAUUCAUACAUUUUUUAAAUCACAUAAUUAAAUUUAUUUUCAUUAAAUGAGAUUAAUUAAAUCUAUUAAUUUUAGUCCAAACCUCAAAAACACACUCAAUUCACCUAUUUCAACCGAUCCAGACGAAAAUUAAAAACAAUUCCAACUCAAAUUAAUUAAAAUUCAAAUCAAUAUGAACUCAAAAUGAACAAAAUUAUUCAAAAUUAAAAUGAUCCAAAAAAUUAAUCCAAAAUAAUUGAGAGGUCGGUAUUAAAUUAAAUAUAAUUUUAAUUAAAAACAUUAAUUUAAUAAAAUAAUAAAUAUAACACAAAUAAAAUUUAUACUUAUCAUUUAUCGUUAAUCAUCUAUAAGGCACCUGCUAUGAGAUUGUUAUCUUAAUUUUUUUUUUUCUCAAUGAAAAUGAAAUUUAUACCAUCCUGAUAAAAACCACUUAAACAAAUAGGGAGGACACGCCACAUUCUCAUCUUCGGUUCAAUAAUUUAAGUAGGAAUGACAGGAUUAUCUUUCCAUCUGGUUUCCCCUUUGACUGGCUAAGAUUUCAUGUAGAAGAACAAUAGCUCUGGAGAACACUUUCCAAUGUUUGAUUGUAUUAUUUACGCUUUAUUCUUGUUUAAUUUGGUUUUUUACCUAUGUACUAAUUAUGUGAAAACGUUCAUGGUUUAUAGGCUCCAAGCGUUUUUGUUUAUAUUUUAUAUUUUGUUAUUUAAUUUAUUAUUUGAUAAUAUAUAUAUGUUUUGUUUUUAAAAAAUAUAUAUAUAUAAUUUAUUUGUAUUUGAUAUAAAUAUUAUUACAAAUAAAGAUGAUGUAAAAUAAAAAUAUAAUGUAAAGAAAAAAUAUAUCAUUUUUAUAUUUUUAAAAUAAUUUAUUUUUAUAAUAAAUCAAUCAAAUAUAAAUUUUUUAUAUAUUAUAAAUUUUAAAAUUUUAAAUAUAAUUUAAAAAAUAUUCAUUUAUAUAUAUACAUAAAAUAAAUAAAAUUACUUCGUACAUGAAUUACAAUCUAGUUGAUGAUACGAAGCAAAACAAACAACAAAGUUACAUUUGAAAUCGACUGCAACCUCGUGAGAUUGGCAAUUUUCUUUUGUUUUUUAAUACAAUCACACUAGACACAGCACUUAAUGAACAAGAUAGAGCAUGAUUGCACCAAAUAAUUCUCACGGCAAGUCAAACUAAAGCACAACUAAAGGACGGCCAGGUGGUCUCCAUUGUACGAUCCCUGGGUCUCGAUUGUGCACUUGUGCGCUGUGGCACAUGAUUUCUAUCGGUGAAGUAUUAUUUUUGAGUAAAUUAUACCAAAGUCCUUAUUUUUAACCACUGAUAUAGCAUCGCUCCAUCAGUACGAUACAUAUACAGUUCACGUUUCCUUUAUUCGACUAAGGAGCUCUUGUAAAAACACAAAACACUUGAAUUUCAAAUCAAAACUUUUUCUAUCUUCUCAUGAGCUAUCUAAUUAUUUGUGUUCAUAAAUUAAAAUAUUAAAAUAUAUAUUUCUAUUAUACUUUAUGUAAAUAUUAUGUUAUGAUUUAUACUAAUAAAAAUAUAAAAUAUAAAUUUUAAUUUUAUUAAAUUUAUAUAUAUUAUUAAAAUUUUAAAUUAUAUUAAUAUUUUAAAUUAAAUGAUAUAGCUGUCAAAUCCUUUAUAAAAAAAAUAUGCAUAGUCUUUUAAUGUUUUAGCCAUGACAUACUAGAUAAAUUUAGAUUUGAUAAUUUACAUAUUUUUAUCAUAUAAAUAGUAAAAAUUUAUAUAUUAAUAUUAUAUUUUAUAUAAAAAUUAACAUAUCAUAAUUCAUAUCGAUACAAAAAUCAUAAAAAUAUUUUUUAAUUUAUUAUAUAUUUAUGAUUUUUAUUAAAAUUUUAAAAUUUAUUAUUUUUUAUAUUUUUUAUUUACAUUAUUUUCAUGUGAUUAUUAUCCACUAUUAUAUUUUAAAAUUAUUUAAGUUUACAUAAAACCCUUAAAAAUCAUAUCAAAUUUUUACUAGAAUUGGAAUUAAUUCUAUUUACAUUUAUUAAAAAUUAUUAAAUGCACCCAUUUUUCAUUUAAAAAAAAAUCCAAUAAUUAUUAACUUUUAACAAUUACUUUUUUAGUAAAUAACAGGAAUUAUUUUUUACUUAUUCAAUGCACCAUAUGUACAUCCACAGUUUAAUAAAUUCUAAAUUCAUAAAUUUGAAAAUGUUGUGAAAUUGGAAUAUUUAUAUUUAUUUUUAAAUUUACAAAAGAAACAUUUUUAUCAUUCAUGAUUUUAUAAAAAAAAUUAAUAAAUUAAAAUUUAAUUUUAUCAAAAUUUAACUAAAAAAUAAACCUUAAAUUUAAUUGAAACUUAUAAUUUUGAAAUUUGGAUUGAAAUUUAUGAAUUUACAAAUAUAUAAGCUUUUAAAAAUUUAUCUGUAAGUUCAUCAAAUUUAUCUAAUAUCAUUCAACAUAUUUUUUAAUUCUUUUUUAAAUUGUGACGAAAUUGAUGAUAGAAGUAAAUCAAAUAAUAAGGCUGAAUUCAAAAUCCACAAGUGGAAUUCUAGGGGCAGUUGCUCUACUCAUCGUCCUUCAACACUUGAGGCUACAAGCUUUGAAAGUUUAAGUGACAUGGCUUCACGUGGGUUCGAGCAUGAAAGGCGAUGCUUGGGACGAGGGGCCCCUAACAUUCCUCAACUGAUAGAGCUCGAGGAAUUCAGCAGUAGAAUGAGUUAAAAGAAUGUUACUUGAGAGAAUGGAGAAUCAAAACCACUAAUUGUGUGUUGUCUGCAAACGAGCCCGAAAAGUAAAGACUACUAAAAAAUUGAAAAGCACAGCCAGCUGGUCUCCAUUGCCCCCCCCGGGUCUCGAGUUCUACGCUUGUGAGCUGUGGGCCAAUGGCACAUGAUUUCUGUCGGUAAGUUUUUCUUUUGUUCUGAGACCUUCCUCGAAAGUUAUUUUGAGCAUGAAUAAUUUAACGUUGGAUCGAAUUUUAUAAGAAAAGUAAAUUUUUUUAACAUUUAUUUUUUUAUUUAUAAGAUUAAAAAUUAAAAUUUUAUUUUAAAAAAAUUAAAUUUUUAAUCUUUCGAAUUAACAAACGUUAAAAACUAAUAUAAUAACACUCCAUCAAUAUGAUAAUUAUAUAGUUGUCGUCUCAUUUGUAUGGUCAUGGAGCUCUUAUAAAAACACACAGAACUCAUAGAUUUCAAAUCAUAACUUUUUUUUAUCAUGAGUUUUCUAAUUAUUUUAUAUAUUUACAUAUUAUAAAAUAUUAAAAUUUAUAUAUUUAUAUUAUUUUUAUAUAAAAAUUAUGUAUUAUAAUUAAUGUUGAUAAAAUAUAUAAAUUAUAUUUUUUAUUUUAUUAAAUCUAUAUUAUUUAUUAUUAACCAACAGAAUGUCAUUAUCAGUCACCUUUACUACAUGAUUCUAUUCACAUUCUUGCAUUAAAGUUUCAGACUUUAAUUCAAUACUGUCCCCACUCACUAGUCGCUUCACGUGAAAUAGAAAGAAGCCGCUUUUAAUGAACUCAUUGACGAUCAUUUGAAAUAUAUCAGGAAGAGGCAUCGUAAAGUAUUUUUAAUUGGCUAGAGUUAAAGGAAUGGACAAAAAGCAUGAUUUGUUACGUAACUGAGGAUGGUAGCCAUAGGAUGGAAAGAGUGGAACUUGCCCUGCAACUUCGCAAAAAAAAUUAAUGGUCAAACAAGAGUCCAAUCUUUAUAUAAAAAAAUAUGCGUCGUCCACCAACGUUUUAUCCAUGACAUGACGGAGACAGCCUUACAAAUCACAUCAAUUUUCUGUUAAAAAUUGGAAUUAAGAGUUUCUAUUUACAUUUAAAAAUUCUCUAUGCACCUAAUUUUUUUAUUUAAAAAAAUAAAAUAAUUAUUAACUUUUAACAAAUUAUUUUUUACUUAUUCCAUGGACCAUUUUAAUUCAUAAAUUCAUAAGAUUGUAAACAUUUUUAGAUUUGAAUAUUUAUAUUUUAAAUUUAUAAAAAAAUAUUUUUGUCAUUCAUGAUUACAUAAAAAAUUUAAUAAAUUUAAAAAUAAAACAUAUAGAUUUUUUUUACAAUUAAUGUGCAAAAGAAAAUGAUUAAAAAAAAGAUAGAGUUGCUAAAUUGAAAAUUAUAUAUACAUAUCAAUUUUCAGUUCUUGAUCAAUUUUAAAAUAUCUCAUUAUUAAGCUUUUUUGUAUGAAGAAGAACUAAUAUAUAAAUUUGAAGACUCUAAUGUAAUUUUGGAAAGAAUGCCAAUUUAUGUUUAAACAAAUAAAAUUAAUUCAUGCAUGGACAGAUAAUAAUAUAGUUAUGUUAUAUUUAUACUUGAUAAAAAUAUUAAAAGGCAUGAUCUAAAAACUUUGAAAGAAGUAGUUUUUAAAUAUAUUUUAUACAAUUUAAUUAAUUAAGAUGUUAAAAAUAGAAGUCAAGAAAGAAAUGUUGAUGAAAAAAUUAAAUAUGACUAUUUAAAUGGGAUGGAUGGAUUAUUCUUUUAAAUAACUUAUUUGAAAUAACAUUUUUUUACUUAAAUUUCGUGAAAGGAUUGAAAUAGAAGGGUUACGACGUUUUAAAAUAUAUCAACCAAAAUCCAAUCUUGUUAUUUUUUAGAAAGAUCUAUGACCACGAGGUUUUUUUGUAAUUUAAUUUAUUGUUAUUUAAAUAUACAGUAGAUUUAUUUAUAAUAAAAAAAAUAUUUUUAUAUCAGUAAAGGUAAUACAAAUUUAAUUAGAUGUAGAUCUUCAAAUGUUACACUUUAGGCAAAUACGCACACGAAACUAUAUAAAUAUAUAAAUAUAUAAAUAAAUAAAUAUUGUAUAAAUAUGAUAAGAGUAGAACUGAAAAAUUAAAGUUGAGUUUGAUAGUUUUUUUUUUUGUUUUUACCUUCUUUCUUCUUCAAAAUUUUAUUUCAAAGUCAAAGAAAAGUGUAAAAAAUAAAAUAUAAUUGAUUAAAAUAGACAUAUAAUUAAAAUAUACACCAAUUUAUAAUGUAAGAAAUUACAAAAGGUAUAAUCAUCAUUUUAUUUGCUAAAUAACUUACAGAUUUUAUAAUCUUAAAAAUAUUGAUUGAGUUUAGUCAAAUGCAUUUUUUUUUAUUAAAAUUUUAUUUAAAAAAAAAAUCUUUUACCUUGACCUUUACUUUUACUUUUAGUCAAAACCAAUAAAUGUGUCAGAGCAUGAAAAGCCAAGACUAUAAAAUGAAAAGCAUACCCAACUUGUCUCCAUUGCGUGCCCCUGGGUCUCCAAUUGUGCGUUUGCAGGCUGUGGGACGUGGUUCCCGUCGGAAAAGAAUGUUUUUACAAAAUUACACUAAAGUCCUUGACAUUUAGCACUAAUACAACAUCAAUCUAUUAGUAUAAAAUUUAAAAAUUUUAUUGAAAAAUUUUAUUUACACUCACAAAAAAAAUUUUUAGACACCAUUAUUAAAUACAUCCCACUUUCAAAAUAAAAAAUUUUAUUUAUUUUAUAAAUACACCCAUUCUAACAAAAUUACAGUUUGUUUCAUAUUCUUUUAACUUUCUUCUUUAUUUUUUCAUUUUCAAUCCAAAUUUAAUCCAAAUUUAACAUUAAAACCAUUAAAUUAUAGAUACAAUUUUGACAUGUUUGUUGAUUAAUUUAAUUUAAAUUAGUGCAAAAAUUAUGUAGAGUUUACAAUAAUAUUUCAUCAAAUUCAAGGUUUUUAAAAAUAAAUUUUCAAAAAAUUUUUAAAAUUAUUGAAAAUGGAUUUUUGAAAAUUUUUAAUUUUUGACUAUUAAUUUUCAAGAUCUUUAAAGAUUUCUCAAAAAUAAAUUUUUAAGUGUCUUUUAAAACUUUAAAAAUGAAUUUUUGAGACUUAUUCAAAAAUAAUUUCCAAAACUUAUUCUCAAAUAAAUUUUCAAGAGUUUUAAAAAAUUUUUUAAAAUAAAUUUUUGAAAGUUUUUUGAAACUUUCAAAAAUAAAUUUUUAAAAAUUUUAAAAGGUUAUUAGAAACUUAUCUUCAAAAGCUUUAAAGUUGAAGUGUAAGAAAAAUAAACUUAUUAUUUAUUGUAGAAUAAAAUUAAUAUUUUAUAUGUGAAUAUUUUAAAAUAUAUAUAUCGAAGAGUAAAAAAAAAAAAUUGAUGGUAUAUUUAUAAACACUUAAAAAAAUAUGCGUUGUCCUCGAACGUUUUAUUUAUGACGUGAUAGAUACACUUUAAAAAAAUCACAUCAAGUUUCUAUUAUAAUUAAGGUUAGAGCUUUUAUUUACAUUUAAAAACUCUCGAUGCAUCAAUUUUUUAUUUAAAAAAAUCCAAUAACUAUUAACUUUUAACAUAUUACAUUUUACUUCUUCAAUGCACCAUUUUUAAAUCCCAUCGAUUUACAAAUUCAUAAAUUCAUAAGUUUGCAAAAAUUUAUGGAAUUGAAUAUUUAUAAAUUUUUUAACUUUAAGAAGAAGCAUAUUUUAUCAUCCACGUUUUAUAAAAAAAUUUCAUAAAGUAAAUUUUAAUUUAAUCAAAAUUUAAGAAAAAACAAAUCCUAAAUUUAAUUGAAACUUGUAAUUUUGAAAUUUUGAUUAAAAUUUAUGAAUUUACAAAUUUAUAAGCUUUUAAAAAUUUAUUUGUAAACUCAUCAAAUUUAUCCAAUGUCAUUCAAAAUAUAUUUUUUAUUUUUAAAAAUUAUGAGACCAAAGUAUCUGUACAACAUACAACUUAGACUGAGAUUAAAGUAAAUUUAUCUAAAAAUAAGAUAGACUUAUUAUUGGUCUAAAUCCACACAUAAAUAAAGUGAACUGGAAUAAGAAUAUUGCGUUCACACUAACUGAAAAAGAAGAUUAUGAAUAUGAAAAAAAUUGUGGUCAAGUUUAUGAGUAAAUUAACAGAUUAUAUUUACAUGCAAAUUUCAUGAUUUUAAGCGUGAUUCUAACAAUACAAUUUAAAAGUUUUCAUGCCUAAAGGAUGUUAGUAGCCUAUAUAUUUUUUAUUAAUCUUUAGUAAAAAGGCAGGAUAUAAUUUGAUUUAUCCUUAGGCAAUCUUUAUGAUUGUUCUUCAAGUUUUGUAUCUCUUUGAUGGAUUUUUUAGAAUGAUAAACUUUUAUUGUUUUAUAUCUUUGAUUAGAAUUUUUAAGAUGGUAUUUUUGUAUCUCUUAAUUUUUAGCCUUAGUGAUAAAUUUUUAUCUCUUUUAAUCAAAUAAUUAUCUUUUAUCAUUAUUCAAAUCCUUAUGAGUUAUUUUUUUGUUAAUUUUUUUUAUUUACAGUUAACUUUUAUAUCUCAAACAUCAAUUCUCCACAUUAAAUUGUUACUAAAUUGAUGAUAUGAAUCAAAACAAAUAAUAAAACUGCAUUUGAAAUCCAUCGUAACCCAUUUCGUGAGAUUAACAAUCUUUUUGUAUAUAAUCACAUUGGACAGAGCAUUUGAAGAACAAGAAAUAGCAUGAUUACACCAAAUAAAUUUCACCGCAAUUUAAAAAUCCUUAGGGGGUCUAGUGGAUUUUUUUCAUUCCCACCGCUAUUUCUGUUUCUAAACACACACUUGCUUUAUUUAUUUAUUUAUUUACUUUUGAAACUAAAAUAUAUAAAUUUUUUUUCAUUUUUUGUUUUAUUUUUUAAACUUUAUUUUGAAAAAAAAAACUAAUUAUUAUUUAAAAUAUAAAAAAUUAUCUUUUAUCAAUUUUUUUAAACAAUGAAAACGAUCUUUCACCUUUGCCCCGCCACUACGUUCAGUGACCCCUAAACAUUCGAAAGUCACAAAAGAACGAAAGCUGCAAUACUGAAACCAAAAGUUGUAGUUAUCUUAAUCGAAUAAUCACAUAUGAAAACGGUGAAAAAGAGCUCAAACGAAUAAAGCUUGAGGAAUAAAGUAGCAGAACGAGUUAGUGGAACAGGGAAUCAAAACCAAUAACUGUGUAUUGUCCGUCUGCCAAAGAGCAUGAAAAAGAGCUCAAACGAAUAAAGCUUGAGGAAUAAAGUAGCAGAACAAGUUAGUGGAACAGGGAAUCAAAACCAAUAACUGUGUAUGUGUAUAUAUGUUAUGUUUAUGUUAUAAUUAUAUUAUUAAAUUUUAAUGAUGUAAUUUAAAAUAAAUCAUAUAAUAAGUUACAAUUAUACUAAAAUUCAAAAUAAUAAAUUAUUAAAUAAUUAGCUUCAAAUAUACUAAAAUGAUCAUUUAUAUUGUAGCUUAUUAUUAAUAUGAAAAAUGUGUAUUGUAAUUUAAAGUUUAAAAUACUAUUUAUAUAUUUAUAUUAAAUUAAAAUAAAUAUAAAAAUCUAUUAAAUAUGUCAAACUUGACAAAAUUGUUUUUUCAGUUUAAUAGGUGUACUCGUAUGAAACGAUUUAAUCAUUUUUUUUGUAUCUUACAUUUAUCAAAAUUUGUACUAACAUAACUAAACACUAUAUACAUUUUUCUAAAACCUAUAUAAUUUUUUUGUAUUAUAUUAUUGCGUUGUAUUUAAAUUUGUCAAGUUUAAUAAAAUCACAUAUUGUUUCAUUUGUGUAAAAAUUAACUUUAAUUAAAAGCAUACAAAUUGAAAUAUUUAUAUUUGUUUUUAAAAUAUUGUUUUUUUUUCACUUGUUAUCUUUUAGUAAAAUUAUAAUAAAAUCUAACUCAAAUUUUAUUAAUUUGAUAGUAAAAAUUAAUAAAUUUACUUGAAAUGAGCCGAACUCAAAUAGUUUAGAUGCUAAACCAAACUAUUUGAACUGAAAUAACCCAAAAUCGAAAUGAUCAAACCCAAAAUUAAUCCAUUUUUUAAAAUCCGAAAUAAUUUGAAAUUAAUUAGUUGAACUCAAACUUAGUUUGACCCAGCUAAUCAACAAAUCUAGACUAACUGCCAUUUGUAUUGCACAAUUGACAUACUGCAUACAUGAUGACAUGUAAAAUGAUAUCUACGUGGACUGAUUACAUGCCAUUUUGAUUGAAAAAAGCUUAAUUAUGCAAAUAUGCCCUUAAUUUUUCUAUACAAAAUAGAUAUAAGCUAUCGAUCUUCCAUUAUAUUUUAAAAUUAUUUUUGAAAAUUUUUAUUUUUGAAUAAAAUAAAAAAGCAUCAAAAUUAAAAAAAAUAGAAAAAAAAUAAAAACAAAUAGAAGAAAAUUGAGAAAGAGAUUAAAAUUUUUUCAUAAAUUAUAAAAAAUCUAAAUUUUAUAUUAAAAUUUUAUUUUUGAAAAAAUUCAAUAAAUAAUUUUUUUAUUUUUUCAAAUUUGAAAAAUUACAAAAUAGAAAAAUAAAAAUUUUGAAAAAUAUUUGUUUCAUAAAAAUUCAAAAAUAUUUGUUUUUUUUUCAAAAAUAAAAAUUUCACAUAAAAAAUAGAUUUUUAUUAAAAAAUCGAUUUUGUGUUAAAUUUUAUUUUUGAAAAAUAAGGAAAUAUUUUUACCUUAAAAUUUUUAUUUCUAAAUAAAAAUAAAAUUUUGAAAUAAGAAACUAAAAAAAAUUAAGAUAUUUUUCAUUUUCUGUAUAUUUAUAUUUUUAAUUUUUUCAAAAAUAAAAUUUUAACUUAAAAUUUGUAUAUUUUAAAUUUAUGAACAAAUUUAAUAUCUUUCAUGUUUUUUUUCUUCUUUUUUAUUUUCUUAUUUUUAAAAUUUUUAAAAUUUUUUACCUUUUGGUUUUUGUCAAAAAUAUAAAAAACAUAAAAAAUAAUUUUAAAAUACAAUAAAAGGACCAGAGUUUGUAUUCAUCCUAUGUAACAUGUUGAGAGUAUAUUUGCAUAAUUAAACUUUUUUAGUUAAAAUGAUAUGUCAUCAGUCCACUCGGAUAUCAUUUUACAUGUUAUCAUUCUCGUACAAUGUUAAUGGACAAUACUUACAUGAAAUUUGUACAAUGUUAAUGAACAAUACUUACAUGAAAUUUUAUAAGUAAAGUUUUUCAUUAGAAAUGAGUAAAUAAAAAAUUUUAAUAAAUUAUAUAGAUUAGAAAAUUUUAAUAUAAAAAAAUUAUUAAAAAUAUUAUUUAUAAUUCAAAUUUGAUUAAUACUUAUUUAAUGGUAAAAAUUAUAUCAAAAUUAUUAUUAAAAAUAUCUAUUUAAUAAAGAUAUCAAAAUUUAUUAAUUAUUUUAAUUUUAUAUAUUUAAUUUAUAUAAUAAAAUCUUUCAAGCUAUUAUUUUUUAAUUUUGAUUUAUUAAUUUUUAGUAAAAAAAUUUCAUAAAUUUCAUUGACAAAACUUCAUGUGAGUCUUUUUCUGAUGUCAAUUGUAUAAUACAAAAUGACUGUUAGUCUUACUUAAUUGAUUUAGACUUAAUUAUGUAAUUUUAAAAGUUUAUGAGUUUAUUUUUGACAAAAUAAAAAAUUAUAAAUAUAUUUACACGCAAUAAAAGUUAAAGAAUAUUUAUCUAUUUUGUACAAAAGAUUGAGCUUGGAUAUUAAAUAAUUCAAAAAAUGACUUAGCUUGGUUUAUCUCCCUCUCAGACAUCUUGGCUCUGCUCCUCUUAUAUUGUUUCUCAUCCCUUGUUGAACCAUCUUAUAUUUGACAACUACAGUCAAAUUUUUGUUUUGUUGUUGUUGAGUCUAUUUGGAUGAAUAAUAAAAUAAAAAAUAAUAAUAAAUGUAAGAUUGAUUAUUAUAAUGAUGUGUUUAAAAUCAAUAAUAAAAUAUAUAUUUAAAUGUAAAAGUAAUAAUAAUAAUAAUAAAAUGAACUGUAAUGAAAAAAUAAAAUGAUCAUUAAAAAUUAUAUAUAAUAAAAAUUUAAACUAUUUAUUAUUUAUAAGAUUAAUAAAUAAUUAAAAAAGUUAUUAAAUUGUUUUAAUAUCAAAUAAUAAUUUUAUUAAUAGAUAAUUAAUAAUUAAUAAAAAUAAUAAUAUUUCAAAUAAUGUUUUAUUGUAUAAAAUUAAUAAAACUAUUUCAAAAUUUUAAAUAACAAAUCAAAAUAAAAAAUAAAAAUAAAUUAUAAAGAUUUUUUUAUAUUUAUAUAUAACUUUAAGAGAAAAACAAAGAAAAAAAAAGUGUUAUUUGAGAUUGGUUGUGGAUUUUGGUUUGAAUUUGAUAGAGGAAAAGAAAAGACAAUGGUGGUAUAGAAUAAACCAAUCAACUGUUACUUUAAUAAUAUUAAAUUCGAUUUCAAAUUUAACGUCUCGAAUUAUAACUUCGAUGAUAAAAAAAUUGGACCAAUCACCUCAACCCAAACAAUAAUUUUCCCGACCAUGAAUUACAAUUUCCAAUUACAUUUUAUCCUCUGAAAAUUGGACCAAUCACCUCACUCGUUUUCAAUCUCCUUUCUGGCUAUCUCCAUUUUCCAAGCUUUACAUUUUAAAUUCCCAACGGCUUUUCAAAUAGCUUUUGAACUUAGAAAAAGAAAAUUCAUAAAUAAAAUUGAAGUAGUUUUGUUUGGUAAGACUCUCUAGCAGCCUGCCAGGUGAGAUGAGGACUGUAGCAUAUCCCUUAUUUCACGCCUAAAUGUCUAUAAAAUCCCUCUACAUUCUCCCAUAUUUCAAUUUUGCCGCUCUCCUCUCUCCCUUUCCUCCCGCCUACCGUUCUCCACAAUGGCCUCUGCAAUUCAGUCCUCUUCCCAGGUAUUUACACACUCAACUUUCUGCUUGUUUAUAUGGAUAAUAUAUAUAUAUAUAUAUAUAUAUAUAUAAAGAAAAACUGGGUUUUCUUUUUUGUACUUAUUUUUAUCUGAAAAAUAGUAAAGUGAUUGGAAAAGAACCCUUUUUUGUUAUAGAAUUAAUGAGCUUUUUUUGUUUAUUUUUCCAGGCUGUGUCUUCUGGGGAUGUUAACAAGGAAACCAAUUGUUUCAGUUAAUUCAAGCUCACCAGGUUUGUUUAAUUUUGUGUAUGUAAUAUUUAAAUGUCGUUGCUAUAUAUGUUUCCCUUCUUUUUUCUUUUUUAUAUUGUAGUUAAAUGGGGUUUGUAAGUUAUUGAAAUGAGACUGUUCUAUUUUCAGGAGAAGGCUGCUAUGCUUUCUCCGAUGGAGAAAAUUCGUACCGUGCUUGAUCAAAGCACGCGUGGCAUGCUUUCAACUUUUUCGCAGGUAUGUGAUCAUAUUACUAGUUGAUCAUUUAUGAUUUCGGGUUCAUUGAGCAUUAAGAGUAAUAGCAAGAUACCUUUGAUACUUGUUUACUCUUCAAAACAGAUUGUUUUAAUUGUAAGCUUGAGUUCUUGACUUUUGUCUGGUACUUUGUAUAUUAUCUUGUUGAGAGAAAAGAGAGCUACUUGAAAGGUGUUACUACUUCAUGAGUUUUAAAAGUGAAAGGUACUUUCCAAUCACUUGUGGCCUUGUAGGAUUUUUAUCAAUAAGUCUACCCUUUCUGUGGAGAUGAUUAGGAAUGAAGAAUUUUUAAGGAUUCGUGUUUUGCAGAUCAUAAUCUCAUCUGCUAGCAGAGAAUUCUAAAAAUGAGAAUUGAAUCUAUUAACCAUUGCACAUCUUCAAAAUGAAUAAUAACUUGAUCAACUAGCUGCAGAAGACUCCUAUAUUCUGAGCUUGCACAAGCUGUAGCUGAAUCUUGCAAAAUUUCCUCUUUUUUUUCAUCCUUCCUGGUUGCAGUUAUGGUGUCUUAGACCAUGCUGUUGUAAAGUUGAAUGAAUGCUGAUGCAACUAAUAUUUUCUAUAUAUAAACUAUAUGAUGGAAACAAGAUCUUUCAUAAUGUAGGGUCCUUUGGCACUAAUUGCGAAAGCCUUUGGAUGGAACUAAAAUGAUGAGUUAUAUGUGCUUGAACAACUCAUAGUAGGAUUUUUUGUUAGUUCAUAUGCAACUAAGAACUAGGAUCAACCUUUUGCUUGUUUGUCAGGUCAUCACAGUCAUCACUUAGACAUUUUUUUAGUUGUUGGCUCACGCAUUAGGAAAUUUUCUUCUUGUUCUCUUACUCAUUUUGGCUUCUUUUUUGUAUGCAGAAGCAUGAGGGCUAUCCAUCAGGGUUGAUGGUUGACUUUGCAUGUAAUGCCAAUGGAUAUCCAAUAUUAGCAGUCAGCAGCCUGGCGAUUCAUACAAAGGUUCUCACUUAGAUUUUGAAUUUUACGUGAACGAGUGCUUUGAAUUGGAAUCUAUUCAUCCAUUGCCCUGGCUCAGAGGAAUUAAGAGAAGGGGAUUGAAACAUCAAAAGGAUAUUGCAUAGAUGUUCAGAUUUUUCUUGUUCAUGGAGAUGGGGACCCAUAAAUUCCAAUCAUGUUAAAUAUUACGAUUUUAAAUUGAUAUUUUCAUUUUGCUAAAAUUUGACGAAGCCAUUGAUGACAGCCAGGAAAGGUCUAAUUUAUGCCUGUGUUCUUGUGAUUAGGAUUAGUUGCUUAUGUUCUAGUCACCAACCUGCAUUCAUUCUACCAUUUAGAAGUUUCUCCCUUCUUAAUUCUAUUGUCCUUUUUGACCUAAUGGAGAAGUUUUGUCCUUUUUCCCUAAUAAUUAUUAAAAAAUUGAUGCUUUUCACAGGACCUAUUGGCUAAUCCCCAAUGUUCAUUGCUUGUUGCAAGAGAUCCUGAUGAUGGCACUGAUUUAGUAAUCACCCUGCAUGGUGAUGCUAUUUCUGUAAGGUGUUUGUUAUUUCCAUUCUCCUGUUAUUCAUCUCUUAGGGGAUGCUGCUUUAAACUCAUUUGUGAGCUCUACAUCUUAUUAUUUAACAUCCUAAUUCUUUGGUGUUCUGAAGUAUUUGAAAUGAUGUAUUGAUCAAUUACAUAGGUAUCCAAAACAGAUCAAUUAGCCGUUCGAACUGCUUAUUUGGCUAAACACUGUAAUGCAUUCUGGGUAUUUGUCUCUCCUCCCCCUGCAUGUUAUGUCCCUUUGGAUGAAUCUUGUCACUAAUCUGUUUAGAUAGAGAACUCAGCAUAUACUUCCAUUGUGAAGGUUGACUUUGGUGACUUCCAAUUUAUGCGCAUUGAACCAAAGGUUGUGAGAUAUGUAUCAGGUGUUGCAACAGCUUUGCUAGGGUCAGGAGGUUUGUGCUCUGAUUACUUUUCUGUAUCAUAUCCUACAUUUCUUCCACCCUAUAAUCUUUUUGAAGAAUAUUAAUGGCUUCUGCAUACAAAAAAGAAGCCAAAAUGAGUAAGACAAGAAGAAGAAAAUUUCCUAAUGCGUGAGCCAACAACUAAAAAAAUGUCUAAGUGAUGACUGUCAUGACCUGGCAAACAAGCAAAAGGUUGAUCCUAGUUCUUAGUUGCAUAUGAACUAACAAAAAAAUCCUACUAUGAGUUGUUCAAGCACAUAUAACUCAUCAUUUUAGUUCCAUCCAAAGGCUUUCGCAAUUAGUGCCAAAGGACCAUACAUUAUGAAAGAUCUUGUUUCCAUCAUAUAGUUUAUAUAUAGAAAAUAUUAGUUGCAUCAGCAUUCAUUCAACUUUACAACAGCAUGGUCUAAGACACCAUAACUGCAACCAGGAAGGAUGAAAAAAAAGAGGAAAUUUUGCAAGAUUCAGCUACAGCUUGUGCAAGCUCGGAAUAUAGGAGUCUUCUGCAGCUAGUUGAUCAAGUUUUUAUUCAUUUUGAAGAUGUGCAAUGGUUAAUAGAUUCAAUUCUCAUUUUUAGAAUUCUCUGCUAGCAGAUGAGAUUAUGAUCUGCAAAAUUCAACUAAUUUUAUGAUCCCAUCACAAAAUUCAACUUCAAGAGUCAUCAGAUUCUGGAAACAUACUGAGGAUGGAACUAAAUUACUUUUUAAUUUGGGGCACCUUUUUUCAUGUAAAAUCCUUAGAUUUUGGAAUCCUUCCUCACCACCAACUCCUUCACUUUGGAAUACCAACUCUUUGAAGUAACAAUUAAAUAUUUCAAGCCUUCCGAGAUUGGGUAAGGAUAGUAAUUGGAACAGGUAAGAUGGGAAUACGGCUAAUUGUUGAGGAUACCGUACAAGUCGGAGAAUUUUUAGUUUGCAAAAGUAGUCCGAUGCAAGUAGUUGGCCAUGCAAUAUCUCCUUCAUCCCAUCAUUCCAUCCGAGCGCAAGUUGUUGUAGAUUUGGGAAUGCCAACUGCACAAUUCAUGCAAGUGUUAAUGGGACGGAGGAUGUGCUGUUAAAAGGGAUAAAAAAGAAUGAUUGUAAUGUGGAGGAAUAUCGAGAGAAAUUUUAAAAAGUAUAUUCUUAAUAUAAAAAGUGUAUCUUUUCUUACAGACUCGUAUAGACUUAUAUAGUAUUAGCUGAUUUGAGUUUGUUAUUAUUAGUAACGUAUUUUUUUUGUUAAAAAAAAUAGAUACAAUCAUUUUCUAACUUUUGAUACACAUCAAUUUUUACAAAAAUUUAGAAUUUAAAAAAUCUUUUAAUGCAUAUAACUUUACUGAAAAACUAGUAAAGUAUACACUUACAGAAAAAAUCAAAAUCUGACUAUUGAAAUUUAAAGAUACCUCUCCAGUUAAAUUAUAAGUCAAUCGGAAGCUAUACUAUCAAAUCAUAUAUUCUAUCUUUGUAAACAAAUUAGAAUAUUUUAUUUUUACAAAUAUAUGAAUACUUGACAUUUUCUUUUUAAUAUUUAUUAUGUUGCCAUUUUUUUUUUUCGAAACAUAUCAAUCUAUUUUUUAAAAUUUUGAUCUAAAGAUUAUUUAGGAUUUAAGAUUAAGGGGAGCUAAAUACACCCCAAUUUUUUUCUUCAUAUCCUAUUUUUUAAAAUGUUUUUAGGUAAAAUUAUUUAAUUAUAUUUUUUUUACAAAUUUUUGAAUAUUCAUAUUUGGUAAGUUACAUAAUUUUUUGAAAAUUUAUUUUUGGAAAGUUAUAUCAAAAUAAAUUUUUAAAAAGUUAUAUAACUUUUCAAAAAAUCAUAUAGCUUUUCGAAAAUUCAUUUUGGAUGUGAGAUAGUAAAAAUUUUUUUUUAAAAAUUACAAAAUAGAAAUUUUAUUAAAAACUAUUAUUAAUUAAUGUAAUGAAAAACUUAUUAUUGAAAAAUCAUAAAUUUUAAAAUUAAUAAAAAAAGUUCCUUUUACUAUUUUAACCAAAAAAAAAAAGAAAAUUUUAUGAAACUCUAAUUAAUAUUUUGUCUCUUGAUAUUACGAGAGAUGAUAAAAAAACUAUUAAGUCACAUUUGAAAGCUGAAACUCUUAAAAGUUGUACAAGUAAUAAUACUAAAUACGAUAUAAUUUGUCAAAAUCUUAUAUGCUAACUAUAAAAAUCCAUCGUGAUAAGUAAAUAGAAAGAUUUUUUCAAAAAUUUCAAUUAAGUUAAAAAAUGGUUUAUUAAAAAAAUAUGAAUUUUAAAUUUAUAAGAAAGUCAAAAUAAUGAAAUUAACUUUUUUAUUAAUUCUAAAAUUUAUGAUUGUUUCUAAUAAUAACUUUUUUAUUACACUAAUUAAAAUUUUUUUUAAUAAAAUUAUCUUUUUGUAAUUUUUCUUAAAUUUUCACUAUGUCAUCUUCCACAAAUGGAUUUUCAAAAAAUUAUAUAAUUUAUUGGAUAUGAAUAUCAAGAAACUUAUAAUAAAGUGUAAUUAAGUAAUUUCAUUUUAAAAAAGAUUUGAAAAAAAAAAAGCAUGUGAAAAGUAAAAAAAAAUGAUGCAUUAAUAUACCACUCUUUAAGAUUUAAGGGGCUAGAAAUCUCAUUAGCAAUUAGCAAUAUAAAUAGUUUACCCUCUAUUAGAUUGUUGAAAUCAAGAAUAAAUUCUUAAACUCGAAUGAUGUAAUUAAUAAUUAGGUGCUAUUUCUAUUAAAUAUAUAGUUUUACUUAUCAAUUUGUAAAUGAGUUUAAUUGUUUGAAACAAAUUGUAUUUUAUUUUUGUUUUACAAUGGAACGAAAUUUCUUAAUUACAUAAAAAAUUUUUUAAUUGAAUUUUUAGAUUUAGAAUUUAAAGUUUAAGGUUUUAAAGGUUUAAAUAAUUUAUAGAUAUGCAAAUAUAAUUUAUUAGAUAUGAAAAUUCAAAAUUUUAAUAAAAUGAUAUAUUAAAAAACAUAUAAUAAUAUUUAAUUGUAAGUUUAAAACUCCAUAAACAACGAACAAAAUAAUAAUUUUAAGUUUAUAUUAGAGCAAUAGAGGGAAGCAUUAAAAAAAAUACCUUCCCAUUGAAUAGGUAUUUUGAGACAUCCGUGUGACGGUUCUCCAUUGAGAUACUGCUCUUUCCUGCUUCAUUUCCAACAAUUGUUCCCACACUUAUAGAAUUAGAAUGGACUGUGUUCAAAACAGAACAUCUUUCUAUAUGCAGAUAUGUUAGAAAAGAGAAUUCAAUCAGAUUUCCAAAGCCAAAUCUUUUGAGCUUGGGAAGAUCCCUAAGCUUCAAGUGGUCUAAUUUAGGAAAAACCAUUUUCCUCAUCCUUUCUUCUUCUACUAAUCCUUCCGUCACUAUUAUUAUCUCUUCAAUUUCAUUACUCUCCCAAACAUAAAGUGUUUUCAGUUGCACAAAGCUUUCAACCACAUAAGAAGUAAAUAUGUUCUUUAAAUUAUGGCAUUUGUACACUCCCAACUUUGUUAAAUUUUGAACACCAAAAGAAGUUACUGAAAGUUGCUCAUGCCAUAGUUUUUUAGCUACGAUUAAGCCUAGAUGCAACUCUUUUAAGUCUGGGAACACAACCUGCAAAUAAAAGUAAAGUUUUGACAAUCAACGAUUCCUUAUUAUUCCAAUAUUAAAAGAAUUAAUAAUGAUUUCCAACAUUGACUUGAAAUGACAUAUUGAUCAAUAUAGGUAUCCGAAAAAGAUCAAGCAGCCGUUCCAACUGCUUAUUUGGCUAAACACCCUAAUGCAUUUUGGGUAUUUGUGUCUCUCCUCCCCCUGCAUGUUAUGUCCUUUAGAUAAACGUUGUCACUAAUCUGUUUAGAUAGAGAAGUCAGCGUAUACUUCCAUUGUGAAGGUUGACUUCGGUGACUUCCAAUUUAUGCGCGUUGAACCAAACGUUGUGAGAUACGUAUCAGGUGUUGCUACAGCUUUGCUAGGUCAGGAGGUUUGUGCUUUGAUUACUUUUCUGUAUCAUAGCCUACAUUUCUUCUACCCUAUUAUCUUUCUGAAGAAUAUUAAUGUUGCCCACCUCAUUUAGGACAUGGCACUAGUGGUGCUUUUGCUGCUGCCUUUCACCCAUUUCAUUUGUUGUUUUCAGCAGCUCUUAUGGAUUUGUUUGUGGUGCUAUUCCUCUCUCCUAACCAUCUUCUCCUUUGUUUUUAUUUUUUAUCUUAUGUCAUUUUGUAUUUUUUAUUUUUUUAGAGUUCACCAGAGAGGAGUACCAGCAUUCAAAAGUUGAUCCAAUGGCUCAAUUCUCUAAGCCUAUCGUGGUAUUAUGGCUGUUCAUUUUCCCGUACAGCAUUUCAAUUGUUCAUUAGAAUUUCCUUUUGUUGUACUUCUUAUUGAUGCAUCUUUCUUUUCAGUCUCACCUGAAUAAGGAUCAUGCUGAAGACACAAAAGUCAUCAUGCAAUACUCACCAUCAAUCCCGGUAAUUAGAAAUAUUAACUUUUAACACUAUAUUUUAUAGGAAAUGGAAAAUUUUAAACAUAUUGUAUUCAAGAGACAAGUCAGCUAGCCCUUACCGGUUAAGGUGGAAAAUUGUAGAACAUGCCUUAAUAGCUAAUUCUAGACCCAGAACUAAAAUCAGAGUAAGAGAAAUUAAUAGUUUAUGCUGAAUAUUUUCAUUAGGUACUAUUCAUAGUUUUACAAAGUUGGCUAAAAUUGUUGAAUUUAUCAGUCUCUCAGUUCAAGCUGCAAUGUGUACUGAAAUCUGCCCGAAUUUUUCUUCAAUCCAAAGUGCAUUAGUUUUCUAAUAAUCUUGAAAAUCCUGAAAACUGAAUCUUUAUCUAGAAGAUCCAAUGUUAUAUAUCAGCUUUAAUCUAAGUUUACAUUUUCAGACAAAAUUGCCCCAUCUUUCUUUUGGAGACCAAUGACUGUUUCCCCCGCAUCACAAAACUGCUAAUCUUUUCAAUGAUAAAAUUAGAAAGCUUCUCGCCAGCUGUAAUUUUAACAUAUCUUGUUAUGAAUUUUUUUUUUUCUUUUUCCUAGCUAAUUUGUGUCUUUCUCCUGGUGAACUAUCCUUGCAUGCUGGAUUUGGAUAGUCUUGGAUUCAAUGUCAAAGGUUCUGAAAACUUUAACCUUUUAUAUUGAAUCUUAAUGUUAUUGGGCUAAUGGAAAGUAAUUUUGGCCAAUACUUGGAAAUUAACUAAUAUCGAAAUUCCCUUCACCGUUGCCUUGUGAAUCAAUUUUUACUGUAUGCAAAUUCUUGCUAUAUGAAAAUUUUCACUCUCUUUCCCUGCAGGCUGGUUAUCAGGAAAUCUUUCAAGCUUCGAAUUCCUACUCCUAGACGUGCAGAAGAUAGAAAGUGAGAUAUCUUUUAUCAAAGAUUUUCUAGUCUCUGAAGAAACUUUCCUGAUAUUUUUACUUUGUCAUCUGUUGUUAAUUAUUGGUUUUACUUUUUAUAUAAGGCAUCUUCUAUGAGAUUCUCAUCUUAAUUUCUUUUUCUCAAUGAAAAUGAAUUUAUACCUUCUUGGCAGAAGCCACUGAAACAAACGGGGAGGACAAGGCACAUUUCAAUAAUUUAAGUAGGAAUGACAGGAUCGUCUUUCUAUCUGGGUUCUCCUCUCUGACUGGUUAAGGCUUCAUGUAGAAGAACAGUAGCUCAGGGGAACACUUUGCAAUGUUUGACUGUGUUAUAUGCAUUUUAUUCUUGUUCAAUCUGGGUUUUUAUGUAUGUUUUAGGGACGUGAAAACCCUUGUAGACACCCAAUUUGGUCCAGACCCGAAUCAAUUGGGCUUGGCCCAAAUGGGUAAGCUCAAUUUGGUUCUUAUUUUGUAUUUUUUUUUCUUUUGUAUUUUAUGUAUUUUAUUAUUUAUUUAUUAUUACUAUAUAUUAAUAUAUGUAUAUCUUUAUUUAUUUUUUUUCUGUUAAUAUUUAUAUGUAUUUUAUUUAUAUAGUUAUAUAUUUAUUAUUAUAUUAUAAUUUAUUUAUUAUUAUUAUUAUUUUUUAUCUUGUAAUAUUUUUUGGAUUUAUCUUAUUUUAUUUUUAAUUAUCUGUUAAUUUUUUUUAUUUAUUCGUUUAUCUGAUUUUUUUCGUUUAUCUGAUUAUUAUUAUCAUUUUUUUUUUGGGUCUGUGAUUGAAGGCUGAAGAAUCCUACUGUAAAUGAGGAUUUAAUCAGAAGAGUCCAUAUUGGAUUCAAAGAUUGAAUCCCUGUCCAAAGAGGAAUUGGGAUUGAUCAGGAACUCCUGAUCAAUCCCUAUAAAAAGGACCGUCUGGAACAGAAGCAAGACACAGAAAAAACAGUAAGCAAAGCUACUGAUUUGAGAGAAAAGGGGCGUAUAGAGAGCUAAGAAAAGGUUUAGAAGUGUUAUGGGAAUUAGUAGAAAUUUUUUGAAGAUUUUUGGCGUUUUUUUUUGGGAAUUUCUGGAAAAUUCCAGAUUUCGGUUGAAUUUUCCGACGAACGUUGUGUUUUUCGAUGAAAAUUUCGGCCAACCUUGAAGUUUUCGGCUAGCUGGCCAGUUUUCGACGAAGAAUCCCAGAAAUCGAUGAACUUUCGGUGAACUUCCGGCGAAAAGCCCAGAUUUCGAUGAAAAUCUCAGAAUUCGGUGAAUCUUCAAUCGGAGUUCUUCGGUUUUUUAGAGAGAAGCAAGAGGAAAAAGGAAGAAGAGAGAGAGAAGGAAGGAGCUUUCUGUCGAAAAACAGAGGGAAGAGCCUUAUAUACCCUCUCAAAAUGAUAUCAUUUUUGCCUUAAGUGACCCGGAGGAUCCGCGCAUUUUACCGAGAUCUGACCCGACCCGAGCGUCGACCCCCUUCCUGACCCGCGCGUGUCUUCCCCCCUCCGAGUCGAGCCGAGCUCCGAAGCCGCUUCUCCGAGCCGUUUUCUCUUCCUUGAGCCAAGCCGUACACCGAGCCGCUCCAGGUUUUUUUUUUGAAUUUAUUUAUUUAUUUAUUUAUUCUGAAUUUUAUUUAUUUAUUUAUUUAUUUAUUUUUGAAUUUAUUUAUUUUUUUAUUUAUUAGAUUAGGUUUAUUUAAUAUUCUUUUUAUCUUUAUUUUAUUUUUAUUUUUUUGUUUCACUUUUCUUUUUUUUAAUUUUUUAUUUUGUUUUAUUAUUCUAUUUUCUUUAAAUAAAAAUAUAAAAAAAUAUUUUUGGGAAAAAGUUGAAAGUAUCAAUUUUUCUUAAAAAUAAAUUUUCAAAAAAAAUAUUUUUGAAGAAAAGUUGAAAGUAUCAAUUUUUCUUAAUAAUAAAAUUUAAAAAAAAAAGGUUUUUGAGGAAAAGUUGAAAGUAUCAAUUUUCCUUAAAAAUAAAUUUUUUUAAAAAAAAAUUUUGAGAAAAAGUUGAAAGUAUCAAUUUUUCUUAAAAAUAAAUUUUCAAAAAAUAUUUUUGAGGAAAAGUUGAAAGUAUCAAUUUUCCUUAAAAAUAAAUUUCCAAAAAAAAUAUUUUUGGGGAAAAGUUGAAAGUAUCAAUUUUCCUUAAGAAUAAAUUUUCAAAAAAUAUUUUUGGGGAAAAGUUGAAAGCAUCAAUUUUCCUUAAAAAUAAAAUUUCAAAAAAAGGAUUUUUGAGGAAAAGUUGAAAGUAUCAAUUUUUCUCGAAAUUAAAGUUUCAAAAGAAUAUUUUUAGGAAAAAGUUGAAAGUAUCAAUUUUUCUUACACAAGAACAAUCAUCCUUUCCUUCCUUUCUAUUUUGGUUUUUUUUUUUUAAUUUUUCUUUAAAUAAUCCGACGAUGGAGCCUCUGCAAGUGAAACAGUAGUUUUUUUUGCAUACUCUUGAGGUGAGGGAAUUUUCUCAAUUUUUUGCUAAAAGUAUUAGAGUCAAUUGAGAAUAAUUUCCAACAAUUAAUUACUUGAUAAAAUUUUAAGGCUUUUUGGAUAACACAAAUUUAAGCUGGUACCAUCUUUUGAUGGGUGUUGUGAGGGUGCUAUAACCUUCCUCACACGUAAUCGAACUCCCGCACUCUGUUCUGGUUAGUAGACCUGAACCUAUUCUUUUAGGGACCCUUAAACUUAGGUGUUCCUUGAAAGGACAGAUUCCUUAGGUGGCCAAUCGCACCUAGAUAAAAAAGGUUGGUGGUGACUCCUAAAAGUCAAUGUCAAGUGAUAGAUCCCCGGAUCUAAACAUUAUGAUAGCUUGGCGACUCCACUGGGGACUUUGAGAGUCAGGCCAGCAAAUAAUUUGUGUUAUCCAAAAGCCUAAUAAAAUUGAACCUUGUUGUAUAUAUGUGUUAUUAUUCAUUUAUGUUUAUUUAUCUUGUUAAUUAUGUCAUUCAUAUGCAUGUGCAUAACAUGAGCUCUAUACCCGAGCUUCGUCCCUCUAGGAGGGAGUAAAGUUCCUAUUGCUUUUGUGAGGUCUAAUGCCUUCGCAGUGGCUAGCGAAAUACUCCCAGUCAAAUUGAACCUUUUUCGCUUGUAGCCUGUAAUGGGUGAGGAUUAGGGUGCCUUACUAGUCUGUGAUGGACAAGGAUGUAAGGAACAAUUUGAGGACCUUUAGACUUUGACCUUAAAAUCGCAUAUAGUGAACCUUAAGAGUGCCUAAGCCUAGGAUAGAGCCCUUUCUACCCAAUUAUAGAUAUACCCUGAAAUUAAGACACAAAAGGGUGUUUAUCUAAUCAUUUUGAUUAUUUAACUUUGUGUAUCAUUUUCAUUAUCAUAUGUAACAUUAUGCAUCAGCAUCACUUUCAUUUCAUCAGUGGAACUAACUAUGUUGUUUGUCUGAUCGUAUGCAUAUGCAUUAUUUUCAUGAUCAUGUUUUAACACAAUCAUUUGCAUCCAUUUCAUACUAGAUUUCAUUCAGGAAAAUGUAUAUUUCAUUCGUGCAUCAAAGCAUCAUACAUAAAGCAUAGCAUAACAUUUCUAAUCAUAAGUAUGGUACUCAACGUUCCAGGAUAGCUCCAUCUAGCGAACACCCUGCCCAUCGAUACAACACAAGAUACAGAGCAAGGUAAAUGGAGCAAAAAAAUUCCCAUAGAUUUGAAAAGAUAGAAAAGGCACAAGAGAAGAUUGAAAGUGAACUAAGCAAGAUUCUGGAGGCUCUUAAUAACAUGAAUAAAGGAAAAGAAGUUGAAGAAAAUACAAGCCAGCAAGUUCCUCCACUAUAAGAAGUGGCUGACCCUUUGUACCCUCCAGAUUUUAGCCCACCUCAAGUCCAGUCUGCUCAAGAGGUCCCGCCACAACACUUCGCAUAUCCAACGUAUCCUGGAAUGCCAUCAAUUUUCAACCCAGGACAGUACAAUAGCUAUGUAAAUCCUGUCUUCACUGAAAAAGUAGCAGAACCAAUUCCUGAUCUAGAUGACUUAAAAGAGAAGGAGAAAAAAAAGAUGAGAGUGGAAGUUCAGGAAAGCUCUAAGAUUAGCAUGCUAGAGCAAAGGCUACGGGCUGUGGAAGGAUUUAGCUUUUAUGGGUCGAUUGAUGCUGCUGGGCUCUGCUUAGUUCCUGAUGUGGUUAUCCCCUAUAAGUUCAAAGUAUCAAAAUUUAAAAAAUAUGACGGUACAAAAUGCCCCAAAACCCACAUCACUAUGUAUUGCAGGAAGAUGGCAGCUCAUGCGCAUGAUGAAAAACUAUUGAUGCAUGUUUUUAAGGACAGUCUUACUGGCUCUGCGGCCAGAUGGUAUGUUCAGCUGGACAGAACUCGUAUUCGCUCUUGGAGCGAUAUGGCACAUGACUUUAUUGGUCAGUAUCGACAUAUCAUCGAUUUGGCCCCUGAUCGUUUGUCUUUAUAGAAUCUGGAAAAAAAAGGUAAAUGAGUCUUUUAAAGAGUAUGCCCAGAGGUGGAGGGAUGUUGCUUCUCAAGUACAACCUUCUCUGACCAAGAAAGAAACUACAGUGUUGUUUGUUAGCACUUUGAAGUCUUCCUAUUAUGAAAAGAUGAUAGGAAAUGCAACAAAAAAUUUUACUGAUAUGGUAAUCUCGAGAGAAAUCAUUGAGAGUGCCAUCAAGAAUGACAAGCUAGAAAGAAAUGAAGCAUCUAGCAAAAAAGUCCCGAAGAAAAAAAAAACUGAAGCUCAGGCUAUGAGCUUUGAUAGACAGCAACUUAGAGGUUAUUCACCCUAUCCACCACUAGAAUAUCUGCCAUAUCACCCCGCUGUAAAUAACACUUCCUUUCACCUGUAUCAACCAUUUACACAAUCAACAUACCCCCAAACAUAUCAAACCGUCAUAGACCCAAAAUACCUGUACAAUCCUAACAUUCAUCUACCCCAAGACCUAAAUCGCCGCAAACUUAAACCAUUAGUGGCUCGCGGAGUAACGAACUACUCGUGAGAAACCUAUUUUUGACGCAAUUCGAAUGACUUAAAUGAAUUAUAUAAAGAGCUUAACAACAAUCUUUUGAUGCUCCAAGUAAAUUGGAACCAUUUCAAGCACCUAUACCCUAAGUGGUAUGUCACACUGCCACACUGUUGAUACCAUUAUGGAUUGUUGAUCAUUCAAAAUGCAUCUACUCUGAAACACAAAAGUGGCAACGGUUAAUUUCAAGUGAUGGGAUGAUCUUCUUUGAUACUGGAGGGAUGACUGCACCGAAUGUUAGUGGCAAUCCUUUGUCGAAUCAUAAUGUGAAUGCUAUAGGUGAAGAACAGGAGUGCCAUGUGAAGAAAGAAGUAGUAGAUAUUAAGACACCUCUCGGUCAACUAUUCGAUGUUUUACGAAGAGCAGACAUGAUACAACUGGUAAGUCCACAUAGCUAUCAUGAAACAUAUAUAGCUGGUACUAGUUGUAAAUAUCAUAAUGGGGCAAUGGGCCAUUCCAUUGAGACCUGUGAGCAGUUUCACCAAAAGGUGCAAAAACUUUUGGAUUCACAUCAGAUGAAGGUUUAUGAAUAAAGAGAAGACUUGAAGAAUGCUGAGGUGUACAUGAUUGAUAGGCCUGUAAAGCUGUUUCCAAAACCAGUGACAAUUCAGUGUGGGAACAAACCAAAAUCAGUCAUAGAUAAACUCCUCCCCAGGUUGGUAACUUUUAAAGUCUUGACUCUUUUUCCAUAUAAAGAUGAUAAAGCUGUAUCCUGGAGAUAUGGUUGUGACACUGUAGUUCAGGGGCAGAAAGAAGAGGUCUCCAAAGUCGAUGCUUCCAAUAUAACUGGUGUAGGAGGUAUUACUCGAAGUAGGAGAUGUUACACUUCAGAAAUGCUAGAGAAGGCCAGAAGGGAAAAAGUUAAAGAAAGAGAAAGACAGAACAAUCCUGAGAUAGAACCUGAAGAAGAUCAACCGAAGCCAGUAUCAGAAAGAGAGGUUUAUGAAUUCUUGAAGCUGGUAAAACAUAGUGAGUAUUCUGUUGUGAAACAGUUGAAUAAAAUGCCAGCUCGAAUCUCAUUAUUAUCAUUGCUGCUAAACUCAGAGCCACACCGAAACGCCCUUCUAAAAGUGUUGAAUCAGGCAUACGUGGCACAUAACGUAUCUGUUGAAUAUGUGAACAACCUGGCUGGAAAUCUAGUCAUGCCAAAUCACAUUUCAUUCAGCGAUGAUGAGAUUCUUUUGAAAGAAAAAAGAAAUGCCAAGGCUUUGCAUAUCACAGUCAAGUGUAAGAGCCAUAUCAUAGCUAAGGUCCUUAUCGAUAAUGGCUCUGCCAUCAAUGUCAUACCUAUGUCAACUUUGACAAGGCUACCCAUUGAUUACUCUUACAUGAAAGACAGCUAGAUGAUUGUGAGAGCCUUUGAUAGGACUAGAAGAGAAGUUCUAAGAGAUAUUGAGAUGCCCUUACAAAUUAGGCCGUACACCUUCAAUGUAAAAUUUCAAGUGAUGGAUAUCUCUCCAUCCUAUAGCUGUCUGUUAGGAAGAUCAUGGAUUCACAUGACAGGAGCUAUGCCCUCUAUUUUGUAUCAGAAGAUCAAGUUUAAUGUGGAAGGUCAAUUAGUAGUGGUAGUUAGGGAAGAAGAUAUGUUAGUGACCUAACUAUUGAACACUUCAUAUGUAGAGGCUACUAAAGAAGCAUUAGAAUGCUCCUAUUGAUCUUUUGAAUUGGUUAAUUCUGUAGGAGAAUGAUUUUAAAAUUAGUCUUUUUCAAAGAUAGUGGUGAGCCAAGUCAUCAACAAAGGCUGGUAUCCAGGACUUAGGCUAGGCAAAAAUUUAUAGAAGAUUAAAGAACCUCCGACAAUAAUAGACAAUAGAGAUAGGGUAGGCCUAGGCUAUGAGAUGGCAGAGUGAGAAGUUAAAAGAAGGCCAUCAAGACUGAUGUUUAUCCCACACUUGUAUGAAACCUUCAGACCUGAAGGAUUCAUGUACCCAAAUACAAGAAAAAGUGUGAAAGACGCUUUUGCUCAGUUAGCCAUUAAUGCUGUUGAAGAUGAAGUGGGGCUUAAUCAAGAGGAGUGGGUUCAUUUUUGUCCACCAGAUUAUGAACUGAACAAUUAGAGUGCUAUCGAAAUGCCUCUGACUUUUGAUUUUGAUACAAUGUAAUUGUAACAUCUCAAUAGCUUUUGCCCAAGGCUAUGGGGUGAUCUUUUUUGUUUGGGCCAUUUGUCUUUUAUUAUUUUUAAUAAAAAAUAAAAAAAAUACAUUUUCAUUCAUUUCUUUUUGUGUCUUCAUUAUUUCCAUCUUUCCAAGCACAUCUUGUCAACAUAUCCCAUUUCAUUCAAUUUUCAGGUCUUUAAAUAAACAUGAAGAUAAUCAUGAUAACAAUCAAGAGGUUGGCUUUGAGAAUUCAAUUAAUACUGAUGAACUUGAUAAUGAAGAGAAUUCUGAAAAAUAUGUUAUGCCUCCGGACCUAAUGAGGAUGAUUGAACAAGAGAAUAAGCCAAUUGAGUCUCAUCAGGAGGUAGUGGACUUAGUGAAUCUGGAAGAUGAAAAAAAAUAAGAAAGAGGUUAGAAUGGGCACUUCACUUUCAUCUGAAGAUAGGCAACGAUUGGCAGACCUACUUCAAAAAUUUGUAGAUAUAUUUGCUUGGUCUUAUCAGGAUAUGCCAGGGCUGAGCACAGAGAUAGUGAAGCACAGAUUACCCCUAAAGCCAGAAUGUAAGCCAGUUCAACAGAAAUUGAGACGGAUGAAGCCUAAAAUACUGCUAAAGAUUAAAGAAGAGGUGAAAAAAUAAUUUGAUGCAGAUUUUUUACAAGUGGCUAAGUAUCCAGAAUGGGUAGCCAAUAUAGUCUCGGUUCCUGAGAAAGAUGAAAAAGUACGAAUGUGUGUGGACUAUCGAGAUUUGAAUAAGGCUAGCCCAAAGGAUAACUUUCCUUUGCCUCAUAUCGAUACACUGGUAGACAACACAGCUAAACAUUCAAUUUUCUCUUUUAUGGAUGGUUUCUCGAGGUAUAAUCAGAUAAAAAUGGCUGUAAAUAAUAUGGAAAAGACUACUUUUGUGACCAUGUGGGGAACUUUUUGUUACAAAGUCAUGCCUUUUGGGUUAAAGAAUGCUAGGGCAACAUAUCAGAGGGCCAUGGUAACACUCUUCCAUGACAUGAUGCACAAAGAGAAUGAGGUGUAUGUAGAUGAUAUGAUUGCAAAGUCUUGUGAGGAUGAAGAUCAUGUCACUAGCCUCAGAAAAUUAUUUGAGAGGCUGAAAAAAUUUCAGCUAAAAUUAAAUCCAGCCAAGUGCACAUUUGGGGUAAAGUCAGGGAAAUUGCUAGGCUUUGUGGUCAGUGAAAGAGGAAUUGAAGUCGAUCCCGAUAAGAUACAGGCCAUCCAAAAUUUGUCACCUCCUAGCUCACCAAAAGAAGUUUGAGGUUUUCUGGAGAGAUUGAACUACAUUUCUCGGUUCAUCUCUCAGCUUACUUACAAAUGUGAUCCCAUAUUUAAGCUUCUCCGUAAAGAUAAUCCUGGAAAAUGGAAUGAAGAAUGUCAAGAGGCGUUUGAUAAAAUUAAGCAAUAUUUAUCAAACCCUCUAGUAUUGGUGCCACCUAUUUCAGAAAAACCUUUAAUUCUAUACUUAAUUGUAUAUAAAAAUUCAAUGGGAUAUGUACUGGGGCAGCAAGAUGAGGCUAGCCGAAAGGAGAGAGCUAUUUACUAUCUGAGUAAAAAGUUUACGAAAUAUGAAUCCAAGUAUUCUUCAUUGGAGAAAAUAUGUUGUGCAUUAGUGUGGACUGCCAAAAGACUCAGACAGUAUAUGCUCUAUCACACUACGUGGCUCAUAGUAAAACUAGAUCCAAUUAAGUACAUCUUCGAGAAGCCUUCUUUGUCAGGGAGAAUUGCUAGAUGAAAAGUAAUACUCUCAUAAUAUGAUAUUAUAUAUGUGAGCCAAAAAGUAAUAAAAGGGGGCGCUAUAGCAGAAUUUCUUACAAAUCGUGCUACUAAAGAGUAUGAGCCAAUGAAGCUAAAAUUCCCUGAUGAAAACUUAAUGACUAUUUUUCAACUGGAGGAAAGGGAGCAUGAAGAAAAAUGUUGGAGAAUGUACUUUGAUGAAGCUGCUAAUGCCUUGGAGCAUGAAAUUGAGGUAAUUUUGAUCUCUCCAGAAGAAUAAUACUACCCUGUAACAGUAAGGUUAAAUUUCAAUUGCACAAAUAACAUCGCUGAAUAUGAGGCAUGUGUCAUGAGCUUACAAGCUGCUAUAGAUAGAGGAGUGAAGGCACUAAAAGUGUUUGGAGACUCAGCUCUAGUUAUAUAUCAGUUGAAAGGAGAAUGGGAGACGAGAGACUCAAAACUCGUUUCAUAUCAUAAGUAUAUUCUAGAGCUGACGAAAUAAUUUGAAGAUAUCCAAUUUGAUCACUUACCUCGAGAAGAGAAUUUGAUUGCCGAUGCAUUGGCUACUCUGGCUGCGAUGAUUCGAAUUAAUGAUAAUACCCACAUUCAGCCCAUCAAGUUAGAUGUUAAAGAUAUACCAACUUAUUAUUCUAAUCUAGAGGGAGAAGAAGAAGAUGGAAAGCCUUGGUAUUAUGACAUCUUACAGUAUGUCAAGGAUCAGCAGUAUCCAGUUCAAGCGAUAGAAAAUGAUAAAAGGGUCAUCCAAAGAUUAGCUAUGAGCUUUUUCCUGGAUGGGGAUAUCCUGUAUAAAAGAAGCAAGGAUCAAGUAUUAUUGAGGUGCGUAAUAAGACUGAAGCGAAGAAAAUCAUUAAAGAGGUGCAUGAUAGAAUAUGUGGGGCACAUACUAGUGAACAUAUGAUGGCAAGACAGAUUAUGAGAGCGGGAUAUUACUGGUUGACGAUAGAGAAUGAUUGCAUUGAUUAUGCUCGUAAAUGCCAUAAAUGCCAGAUAUAUGCUGAUAAGAUUCAUGCUCCGUCAUCUGCUUUACAUGUUAUGGCACCACCAUGGCCAUUUUCAAUGUGGGGCAUGGAUGUCAUUGGUCCAAUCACCCCAAAGGCUUUUAACGGGCACAGAUUCAUUUUUGUGAUGAUAGAUUACUUCACAAAAUGGGUAGAUACAGCAUCAUAUGCAAAUGUGACAUGCUCUGUAGUUUACAAGUUCAUAAAAAAAGAGAUCAUCUGUAGAUAUAGACUUUCAAAGAGAAUUAUUUUCGAUAAUGCCAAGAAUCUAAAUAGUAAGAUGAUGUAAGAAGUAUGUGCUCAAUACAAGAUCAGGCAUCAUAACUCGGUACCAUACCAUCCGAAAAUGAAUGGGACAGUUGAGGCAGCCAAUAAGAACAUAAAGAGAAUUUUAGAAAAGAUGAUCGAGACUUACAAAGAUUGGCAUGAGAAGUUGCCAUUUGCAUUGCAUGCAUAUUAAACGUCAGUUCAUACCUCUACUGGGGCAACCCUAUUUUUCUUGGUUUAUGGGAUGGAAGCUGUACUACCAGUGGAAGUAGAGAUCCCCUCUUUGAGAGUCUUAAAAGAAGUUGAGUUGGAAGAAGCUGAAUGGAUUCGAGAACGUUAUGAGCAGUUAAAUUUCAUAGAAGAAAAGAGAUUGACGGUACUGUGCCAUGGUCAGCUAUAUCAAAGAAGAAUGAUGAGGGCUCAUGAUAAGAAAAUUUGACCCCGUUGCUUUCAAAAAAGAUAGUUGGUCUUGAAAAAAAUUCUCUCAAUCUAGCAUGAUAGUUGAAGAAAAUAGACUUCGAAUUGAGAAGGACCGUAUGUGGUGAAAUAGGUUUUUUCAGGCGGAGCGCUGAUACUGACUGAGAUGGAUGGAAAUGAUCUACCCCAUCCUAUAAAUUUUGAUGUUGUGAAGAAGUACUAUGCUUGAAAAAAAUGAAAAAAAUGAAAAAAUGAAAAAUAAAAAAAAUGAAAAAUAAAAAAAUAAAAAAAUAAAAAAAUGAAAAAAAAAAGUGAAAAAGGAGGACUCAAGGCGGAAACUCAAAAAAGGUGGUUUGAGUCAUAGGGGGUUCGUCUAAGUUGAAAACCUGAAAAGGUAGCUUAGAUAAGGAGAAUACAACAUCAAAUUUAAAAGACCGUUGAUAUGAAGGCUAGCAAAUUCGGAAGAGUUCUAAGUUGUUAAAUACAUCAGAGGGUUGAAUUUUUAGAAAAAACUUUGAGAUGUGUUAUCAUGAUUAUCUGAUUGUUCAUUUUGGGCUUUGUCCCCAUACCUAUCGUUGUAAUUCUUUCUUGGCCAAAGUUUGCCAACAUUUUGUUAAUAAAAGACAGUCUAUUUCAUUCUUUGUGUCUUUUUUUGAUGACUGUUUCUCAACCAUUCAGAUUCUUUUCUUCUUAGUACCCCACCAUGGAAAAAAUGUGCAAAUGCAUCCUUACUUUUUGAGUUUGAAAUAAUGAUUGAUGAAUGAAUAACAACAUAAAAAGAUUUUUACAUUACAUUCAAUAAAUCAAGAGUGAUAAAGGCAGAAUCGAGAUGUUCAGUUCCUGAUUAGGAUAUUGAAUCUGGGAAGAGAUUUUUUUGUUACAGGAAGAAUGUGAGUGGAAGAGACAAUUAAGAGCUACACUGGUUCGAUUUUAGAAGAGCAGUGUAAUUAGAUCUCUGAAGAAUCAAAAGGAUUGAUGCCUAAGAAAAGCUUAAGAAACUAGAUUACCAUACAUUGAACAGGAAUUAAUUGGCCAACAUUUGCAUAGCAUGCAUUGAAAUUCAUAUGCAUUUGCAUAGCAUACACUACUUUCAAGAAAGUAUAGUGUAUAAAUUCAGGAAGCAGGGGUGUUUCAACAUCCCACAUAAAGAAGACAGAUAUGAAGAUAUUUUACAAAAUUGAAAAAGAAAAAGCUUGUCAGGUAAGUUCCUAAUCCUUGAAAUAGGAUGUCUUUCGGUAUCAGGGUUGAUUUGUAAGACCUUUGGGCAUAAUCUCCUGAAAUUCCUUCAAACACAACUUUCAACUCCUUUGGACAUGAUUGUCAAGGAGCAAUUUACUUUCCAAAGUCGUGGUGCCUCUGUUUAGAGGAGCAAUUUACUUUUCCAAAGUCGUGGUGAAUUUACUUUUCCAAAGUCGCGGUGCCUCUGUUUAGAGGAGUAAUUUACUUUUCCAAGUCGUGGUGCCUCUGUUUAAAGGAGCAAUUUAUGUUUCUCAAAGUCGUUGAGCCUCUGUUUAGAGGAGCUUUGGUCAAAAACAAAAACAAAAAAAACAUAAAAAAACAUAAAAAAAACAAAAAAAAAUGAAAAUGUUGAGUUGAGUCUUGAUUGGGUGUCUACGUCUUUGCGUAAUUUCUGUUUCACAGAAAAUGUGCAAAGAAGGGCAGCUGUAGACACCCAAUUUGGUCCAGGCCCGGAUCAAUUGGGCUUGGCCCAAAUGGGUAAGCCCAAUUCGAUUCUUAUUUUGUAUUAUUUUUAUUUUUUUUCUUUUGUAUUUUAUGUAUUUUAUUAUUUAUUUAUUAUUACUAUGUAUUAAUAUAUGUAUAUCUUUAUUUAUUUUUUCUGUUAAUAUUUAUAUGUAUUUUAUUUAUAUAGUUAUAUAUUUAUUAUUAUAUUAUAAUUUAUUUAUUAUUAUUAUUAUUUUUAUCUUGUAAUUUUUUUGGAUUUAUCUUAUUUUAUUUUUAAUUAUUUGUUAAUUUUAUUUAUUUAUUCGUUUAUCUGAUUAUUAUUAUCAUUUUUUUCUUUUUUUUGAGGCUGUGAUUGAAGGCUGAAGAAUCCUACUGUGAAUAGGGAUUCAAUCAGAAGAGUCCAGAUUGGAUUCAAAGAUUGAAUCCCCGUCCAAAGAGGAAUUGGGAUUGAUCAGGAACUCCUGAUCAAUCCCUAUAAAAAGGACCCUCUGGAACGAAGCAGGACAAAAAAAAACAGUAAGCAAAGCUACUGAUUUGAGAGAAAAGCGGCGUAUAGAGAACUAAGAAAAGGUUUAGAAGUGUUCUGAAAAUUAACAGAAAUUUUUAAAAGAUUUUUGGCUUUUUUUUUUGGGAAUUUCUGAAAAAUUCCAGAUUUCGGUUGAAUUUUUCAACGAAAGUUGCAUUUUUCGAUGAAAAUUUCGGCCAACCUUGAAGUUUUCGGCUAGCUGCCCAGUUUCCGACGAAGAAUCCCAAAAAUCGGUAGACUUCUAACGAAAAACCCAGAUUCUGACGAAAAUCCCAGAAUCCAGUGUAUCUUCAAUCGGAGUUCUUCGACUUUUUAGAGAGAAGCUAGAGGAAAAAGGAAGAAGAGAGAGAGAAGGGAGGAGCUUUCUACUAAAAAACAGAGGGAAGAACCUUAUAUACCCUCCUAAAACGACGUCGUUUUUGCCUUAAGUGACUCGGAGGAUCCGCACGUUUUGCCGAGAUCCGACCCGACCCGAGCGUCGACCCGCUUCCUGACCCGCUCGUGUCUUCCCCCCUCCGAGCUGAGCCGAGCUCCGAAGCCGCUUCUUCGAGCCGUUUUCUCUUCCUUGAGCCGAGCCGCUCCAGGUUUUUUUUUUUGAAUUUAUUUAUUUAUUUUUGAAUUUUUUUUAUUUUUUUAUUUAUUAGAUUAGGUUUAUUUAAUAUUCUUUUUAUCUUUAUUUUAUUUUUAUUUUUUUGUUUUACUCUUUUUUUAUUUUCAUUUUUAUUUUGUUUUAUUAUUCUAUUUUCUUUAAAUAAAAAUAAAAAAAAUAUUUUUGGGGAAAAGUUGAAAGUAUCAAUUUUCCUUAAAAAUAAAUUUCCAAAAAAAAUAUUUUUGAGAAAAAGUUGAAAGUAUCAAUUUUCCUUAACAAUAAAAUUUCAAAAAAAAGGGUUUUUGAGGAAAAGUUGAAAGUAUCAAUUUUCCUUAAAAAUAAAUUUUCAAAAAAAAUGUUUUUGAGGAAAAGUUGAAAAUAUCAAUUUUUUAAAUCAAUUUUCCUUAAAAAUAAAUUUUCAAAAAAAAUGUUUUUGAGGAAAAGUUGAAAAUAUCAAUUUUCCUUAAAAAUAAAUUUUCAAAAAAAUAUUUUUGAGGAAAAGUUGAAAGUAUCAAUUUUCCUUAACAAUAAAAUUUUAAAAAAAAGGUUUUUGAGGACAAGUUGAAAGUAUCGAUUUUCUUUAAAAAUAAAUUUUCAAAAAAAAAAUGUUUUUGAGGAAAAGUUGAAAGUAUCAAUUUUUCUUAAAAAUAAAUUUCCAAAAAAUAUUUUUGAGGAAAAGUUGAAAGUAUCAAUUUUCGAAAGUAUCAAUUUUCCUUAAAAAUAAAUUUCCAAAAAAAAUAUUUUUGGGGAAAAGUUGAAAGUAUCAAUUUUUCUUAAGAAUAAAUUUCUAAAAAAUAUUUUUAGAAAAAAGUUGAAAGUAUCAAUUUUUCUUAAAAAUAAAAUUUCAAAAAAAGGAUUUUUGAGAAAAAGUUGAAAGUAUCAAUUUUUCUCGAAAUUAAAGUUUCAAAAGAAUAUUUUUAGGGAAAAGUUGAAAGUAUCAAUUUUUCCUACACAAGAACAAUCAUCCUUUCCUUCCUUUCUAUUUUGGUUUUUUUUUUCUUUAAAUAAUCCGACGAUGGAACCUCUGUAAGUGAAACAGUAGUUUUUCUUGCAUACUCUUGAGAUGAGGGAAUUUUCUCAAUUUUCUGCUAAAAGUAUUAGAGUCAAUUGAGAAUAAUUUUCAACAAUUAAUUACUUGGUAAAAUUUUAAGGCUUUUUGGAUAACACAAAUUUAAGCUGGUACCAUCUUUUGAUGGGCGUUGUGAAGGCGCUAUAACCUUCCUCAUACGUAACCGAACUCCCGAACUCUAUUCUGGUUAGUAGACCUGAACCUAUUUUUUUAGGGACCCUUAAACUUAGGUGUUCCCUGAAAGGACAGUUCCUUAGGUGACUAAUUGCGCCUAGAUAAAAAAGAUUGGUGGCAACUCUUAAAAGUCAAUGUCUAGCGAUAGAUUCCCGGAUCUAAACGUUAUGACAACCUCAUAGUUGAUAUGCUCCAAGCUGCCCUGUCUCAAGUCAACUGACCACACUGCUAAAAGAGUUCUAAGAGGUGAGAAAGUUUCCAAUUUCUUAAAUCUCUGUUUCAACUACAGUUUUGCGUUCGCUAAGCAAUAAAUGAAGACAUUUGUUUGUAUAAAAUGAACUGCAUGUCUUUAUGAUUGCCGUCGCUCAGCUUCAGCAUUAUAAAGGAAACUUAGUCUGAAUAGAAAACUAUUAAAAUGGUCUUAUGAAUUAUGUGAACAACAAUUGUAUACUGGCUGUCGUAUCCGAAAUUGGAGAGCCCUCUCUUGCUUAUUGACUUGAUUUGCAGGAUCUCGUGUUACAUUUACAUCUAACUUCUCCAGAAUAUGUACCAACAUAGAAUUCCAUAAGACGCGGCAAUAAAGAUACAAUUACCUCAGAUACAAUUCCAGAUAAACUUUCAAUUCAAGUUGUUUCCAUUAGAGUUGAAAUUAUGAGAUGUGAAACUGGUUGGUGGUUCCUGUAUAUACUUUGCCUUGAUAUAAUAGUUUCUUCUUUCCUGCACUGCUCUUAUUAUGUAGAGUUGGAUAAUAAUUGAAUUAUUGGAUCCGAAACAUAACUUGAAAACAUGAGAUACUUCAAUUUUUUCCUUUUAAAUUCCUUCUAUGUUCAAAGCAGUGGAAAAGAGGGAGAACUUUCUCCUUUCAGGUGAUACUUUUACCAUCCUGUUUCAAGUCCUUCGUAUAACUUUACAUAUUCAUAUUGCUUUGCUUUUGUAUCGACAAUUAGGAAUUGUCAUUAUAUGGUUCUUAAUUUUGAUUGUUAGAAAUGCAUGACUAAGAAGUUAUAGCUAAUCAAAAUUGGUUUGAUUCCAUAUGGACUCUAAUACGUGAAUCUACCGUGGGCGUUUGGGGACAUGCUAUGUUUUUGAGUCUGAGGUGGAGCCGAUUUGAUAAAUCAAGUUCCAUGGCAAGAACAACCACAAAGUUUCUUGCACGAAUGAUUCUAGUUUCCAUACCCAUAUUUACCUCAAUUAUGAUGUUAAAACAUUAAAUUUACAUAUUUGAUUAAGAGGAAUUUACUGUACUUUAAAAAAUCAAAAUUUGUUUAUUCCACCUGUUCUUUUCGUGCUUGAAGUUUACUCAAUGUGCUUGACUGGCUUUAGACUCUUCCAAACUGCUCUCUCUCUCUCUCUCACACACACACACACACACACACGCAGACAUUCCUGUCCUGGUUUAGAAUCUUAUCUGCUUGCCUGCUAUUUGACCGGAAACACAAUUAGCUUUUAACACUCUGUGGUUCAGUAGAGUAUGGAACAAGAAAAUGACAAAAAUGAAGCUGGCAAUGCUGUAGAAGACUCAGCAAAAUCACAAUCAUCUGAAAAGAACAGCCCAAAUUUAUUGAAGGCCAAAUCUGAUAUUGCAAAGUCAAUAGCCAAGAAUUUCUUGGAGGCAAGAAAAGCCACUGGUACCUCUGAGGUUCGGAGGAGAAACCAAAAGAGUAAAAACAAAAGUGUAUCAGAAGGCAAUACAGCUACUGAAAAUGAUGCUAAGAAGCUAAAUUCAAGGGAAAAAAAACCAACAAAAAGAUGCUACCACCAGUACGGAGCAUGUAGAGAAGAGCCAGAAGAUCCAAAAGAACGAAGAAAAUACACGUGCGUCAGGUAGCAAGGAAAAUAGUAAGUCAAAUGACAGUCCCAAGAAACGAAGAAGCCGAAAGGAGCCUGUUCUUUCAAAUAAAAACCAGAAGAAUGAAGAAAAGUGGAAAGAUAAGAAAAAGAGAAAACAAAAUGAGCAGAAGGAAAAGCACAGUAAUUCAGAGAAGAAUAACAAGAAUAAAGAAACAAAAAGAAAUAAAAGAUUGAUGGUCUAAUAUUUAUGUGCAAUGCAAAGACCAAGCCUGACUGUUUUCGAUACCGUGUAAAGGGGGUAUCAACAGUUAAAGAAGAUCUCAUGCAUGUGAAGAGUUGGCAUCUACUUGGAGGGAAGAGAUUCAUCGUGAUUUAUACCUUAAUGAGAAGGAAUACAUGGCUUAUGGUCUUCAGGGAGAGAGAAGAAACUUGACUUUUCAGCAUAAUAUUGCUCCUAGAUUAGGUCCUACCAGAGAGAUUAUAGAGAGCAACCUCUAGGCCAACGAGACACAGUAUACAGGGAAUCUGUGCUUAUGCAGGGAGGUAUAAUUCACUCUGACCCUCUUUGCUUAACUGAAAGAGAGUAUCGGACUUACAAUUUGCGUGCUAAACGAGAAAUGCAAUCAACAGUCCAGCAACUGCAAAUGCGUCUGUAGCUGCUGCUUCUACUUUGGAUUCCUAUGCUAGGGAUCAAUAUUAUAGUAGUUAUUAUUGUGUUUCAUUGGUGGACUCGUACUUGCCACUUCCAAGAGGAGAGGCACACCUGAUUGAGACUGACCAUAUGAAGAAAGAAAGCAACCAAGUUGAUAGAUUGCAUCCCAGAUAUGCUUCUGGUGCUAUAGGCGAUUACAACCAGAUGCAUUAACAUCAGGCUGCUUCUACAUCAGUAUCAGCCCGGAAUUCUUUUGCUGGUGCAUCUUUGUCUUAUCGUUGAUUAUCUGUCCCUUCAUAUCCCUAACUUGAGACAUGUUAUUUUUUUUCAAUUAAUGACUUUUUGUUUGUUAUUUGUAUGCAAGUUGUUGAACUUCAAUAGUCAUUUUGUUAAAUAGUUUAUCAUAAAUAAGUAGCAUAAAGCAUUUUGCAAAUCAAUGUUUUCGAGGCUAGCUGGAUAUGGCUGCAGGAGAGCUUGGUUGAAUAUGAGGUAUCGCCCUUUGCCAACGCAUCUGUUCAGCUCUUUUCUAAUACAUUAUUUUAGCCACUUUGUGUUUUGAAAUGCUGGCAAGAUUGACAAUAAGUUUUGCAACUGCUUUAGUAGCGUAUAUGUUUGUUGUUAUUGGGUUUGAGUUACUAUUUUUCUCUUAAAUGGUUCACCAAUAGUAGCAUAUAUUUAGCUCUUUCUAAUACAUUAUUUUAGCCACAUUUAUGGUCUUUUGUUGGGCUACUAGUUUUCAAGGCUUGUCAGAUGGAUGAGGUAGUAUUAUCUGUACUGAGAUUCAAGCCUAAGAUCUAUCCACUGCGUAAACUGAAACGAAACAAAUGAACAGUUUCUUUCCUUCAAAAUCCUUUAAUAAACACAAACCGAAUAAACAAGUAAAUUUUCUUCUUCAUUUGAAUAUGUUAAAACUCCCUAUUAGUAAAUUCCAGGUUCUUGCGACAUCAAAUUGGUACUAAAACUAGUUUUUAUCGAUGAUAAAAAUUUGAGCACCAAUUUCAGGCUGCAAAUAGAAUAAAUUAACUUCAUUAACUUAAAUUCCCAUAGUUGCUUAUCAGUGUUUAAAACGAAAAUAAAACACCUCUUGUAAGAUUUGAAGCCCAAGACUCUUUCAAAAAAAUAACUGAAAAAUCCAACUUUAAAACUGAUGUCUGUUGUAAAUAAAAACCAUUGUACUUGAACAAUUAUCUUCUGUUCCUUAUAGUUGGAAACUCUUGGUCUAUAGUGUUUUCAAAGGACCAAGAUCCUUGCUGCAGGUUGUUCUGUUUAUGUCAAUGCUAACAGAAAAUGUCCAAAAUGAAAAUGAGAAAAAACUGCUCCAUUUCUACGAGUUCUCAACCAUUGGGCCUUCCUGCAAGUGUUUGACUUGUAUAUGUUUUCAAUUAACGAAAAUGAAACUAGUAAGCUUCUGCUAAGUUUGAAAGAACAGCUUCUUCACUUGACGUGAGACAAAUACUUUGUAAACAUUCAAUGCCGAUUGGAUUCUUUCCAUUCUUCCAUUCAAUCAGUAGGAUUAGGUGGCCUUACCUCACCAUAUCAGAAAUCUGGGAGGAGCAUUCGUUCUGCCCCAAUUUCCCCGUACCAUCCACCUCCUUGACAGUUGAAUGCUUUAUUCACAAUUCACAUUGAUAAAAAGGUCAAUCACAGAUCAAGGCGGGGGGGGGGGGGGAGAGGAAUCAGAGAUAAUUAACAUAUAAGCACUUAAAUUGCCCAAGGCCAAAGAAAAUACUAACCUUGUGCACCAUGAUGCAUCAAAUCAUGCUUCCGAACUCUGCACUAAUAAAACAUAAUAGGGCUACAAAAAAUUCCAAAGGACGUACGGAACUCAGCACGACGGUCAAGUAGAAUGGAACUGUUACAGUCAGGAUGGAUAAACUGCCAUUCACAAGCUGUUGUAGGCACGGCACACCUUGGGGCAUCCAAUGGACUCAAGAAUUUGCCAAUUGGUUCAAUGCAGCAGAAAAUCACCUGUAAACAAACACAAACCAUCAGCCAGCCCAAAAAAAACCAUCAAUUUAAAACCGGCAAAAUAAAUCUGAAUUGAGUUUUGUUUCAAGUUUCAACAUGAAAUAGUUUGCAACCUUCUCAAAAAGGGAGAGUGGCAAAUCCUUGAAAUUCACCAUUGAAAAAGUCUCCUUAUCGUCUAGUUCAAAAUAAGUAUGUGAUCCCCAACUCCAGAACCCUUGUCAUUUUGCCACUUCAGAAUAUUUCUCAUCCUCUGACUUCAGAAUUGUUGUCAUCCUUAACUUCACAAUACCCAGAUCAUUAAAAAUAGAAAAGUCCUACAUAAGUUAUCACUUCUGAGGUUGAUCAAAUAAUACAUGGCAAGCUAAAAUUAGUUAUCAUAGAAACAAAAAGCCUAAAAGACACAAGCUGUGACCAUUUACAGGUUGAUCAAAUGCAACACGAUUAAACUUGUCUUUAGAGAUAGAAUAGUAUGGCAGCACUACCGUUUAGUAAUAUGACAAUUCACAAUCAAAACAAAUUAACAUAUGCAACGUUCAGGAAGAACAAAAAAACCUUCUGCCACCCAUUACUCAAGGAAAGAAAAACCUUUUGCAUUAGAUGAGUACAACAAAAGCUAUAUGGUCUCAAGAUGCAUAGAAAGAAUUUUUGGCUUACUCUGUUUCUUUGCGGUUGAAGGAUUGAGCUGAUCUUCAGAAUUCUCGACUAUGUUGACUGGAUUAUGAAAUCGUAAUGAACACUAUUAGUGAAGGUGAAAAGGAAAAUUACUGAAAAAUUACUUUUAUUAUUCUUUGAUGAAUUAGUCUCAUAAAAUGAAAACAAAGCCAUCUGAUUUCAAAUGAAGAAACAAGAGUCAUGAUGUCUCAAAAACACAUAUUCAACAAUUUCCUACUCUGCCAUACAUGGUACUUGAAGAUCAUCACUGUAAUCCCUCUCCUUAUUUAUUUUAUUAUAAAUUUAAACAUUCUCCAACCACAAAAAACAGUAUUACUGAAAAACAAAACUUGUUUAAAAAAAGAAAAAUCAAAUUAUACAAUACAAUUGUCAUAGAAAAAAAAUAGAAAAUGUGACAUUAUCCAAUGAUCUAUUUCAGUUGCUCUAGAAAAUCCUAAAAGAGUAAAUUAAAUAGAAACUCUGAUGUCAAUAAAAUGGGAAAAUUGUUCAAAAAUUACAUAAUAUUAUAUUGAUAAGAGAAAUAUGAACUAGGUGGGAGACAUCAAACACCUACAUAAUUGAUGAACAAAUGGUAAAGCAUUUGAGUUGAAAGAAACAAAAGCUAUAUUAUUUAUGAAUUGUAUCUGAAGAUUCAUUGAAUGAAAUUUGGCAUACUUGUGUGUUCGAAGUUGCAGGAUUGCCUCGAUCUUCUAUAGAAUUCUGCAUUUCCUCCAUGGAUUUCUACAUAUGCAUAAUCACCAACGACAAUUAAUAUUAAUUGGUUAUGAUGGCGAAAAGAUGAAUUAAUUUUGAUAUCCAAUGGAGUCACCAUCAACGCCCCCAACCAAAAAAUUUCUUUGUUAAUAAUGAACAAUUCUCUAAAUUCUAAAUGAUAAUGGCAUCCUCCUUCACAUAAAAUUUUCUCUUCACUGUGCGCUAAUACAUAUGUUAGUCAUGACUGUUAACUUUACCUGCCAAAAAUCAUUGUUGGUUUUGAGUGGAGAAAGGAAUGUGUUUUAGAGGGCCUUCUUAGUUCUUGCAAAGCAGUCUUCCAUUCAAACAAACUCUUCUUAUUUUUCAUAGCUUCCCCCACUGUUACAAUGGCAAUCGGCAAUCCAGCACAUUAUUUGGCCACUUCAAUUGCCGUAAUAUGCAAGUCAGUGACUUAGAACAAUAUCACCAGCCUUCUUCUUAUACAGGUUCCAUGCUUCUUCUUCUUCUUCCAAUAUUUCAAUUCGAAUGUUUUUCAGCGAAAGCAUCAAAGGUAAAAUAUUGAGCUCUCUAGACAUCAGUAAGAUCUUGCAUCCUUGGUGUUCACCUCCGUAAGGAAUUCCUAGAGCCUCCAAUCCAAUUUCUCCCAAAUAUCAUCCAAAAUGACAAGAACCUUCUUGAAAUUCUUUAGUCUGUUCUGUAGUUCGCCUGCUCUUCCGGGGUCACUCUGCUUUGUAAACUCCACACUCAAUUGAUCUACAAUCAGAUCUUGAAUUUUCCUGAUGUCAAAACUCCGGGUUACGACUGCCAUGACCACCUCAUCAAACAAAUUUUCAUCCUUGGCUUGUCUAGCAACUUGUUUGACUAGGGUAGUUACCCACACCGCACGUCCCGUAAACACCAAUUAUGCUCAAAUUAGCAUCUUUAAGCGCCUCCAUGACCGCAUCCAAAGCACCCGUUCUUGACUCAAAGGCCUCGUACUCUUUGGCAGGUCUAAUAGCUAUCCCUUCUGGAGCAGGUCGGUGGGAUACUCCAUCAAAUCGGUCGUUAUCUUUCAAGAGUUCAGCAAUGGUGUUGAACUCUUUCUCAGCUUUUCUACAGAGUUGAUAACAAUACUUAAAAUUAGGACACAACCCAACGAAACACCCCUGCUUUACUUUCUCUUCAUCCUCAUCCAAUUGCGCAGCAGCCUCGUUACAGAUAUUCCCAUUGACCUUAGUCAACCACUCAUCCACGUCACACAUCUUCCCAUUGACCUUAGACAACCACUCAUCCACGUAGCUAAAAUAUCUCCUCUCCCUGUCUCUUAGCCGCAUUACCAUCCUCUUGCACUCUUUCUCUCGCAUCCUUCAGUUUUUGAAGUUGAUCCCUGAGGUUUUGUAACUUGCCCUUAUGCUUGUACAAGUAACUAAGUUGCCCUUAUGCCCUUAUGAAAUUUACACAACUUUGUUCUUCUCUUAGAUAUCAAAAGAUUGGUCGGCCAGAGCUUCUUCCUCUCCGCACUUUGAGUACGAUGCCAAAAGAGAAGAGAACCUACGGGAAAAUAUUUAACAAUUCUAUUUCCUUUUCUUGGUGAAUAAAGCUUGAGGAUUCAGCAGUCGGAAGAGUUUAAGGGAUGGUAAUUGAGAGAACAGAAAUUCAAAGAAUUGCGUGGUUUCUGCGAAAGAGUAUGAAAAGCCGAGUCUAUUAAAGCAAAGGGUUAUGAUGACAAACUGAAGGACCAACUAAGGCUUCAUUUCAGAAAGAUGUUCGGUAAACUUGCCAAUAGCACGAUGGAGCAUUUUAAUCGCACCAUUUCCCGUAAUCAGAACUGGAGCAUAACAUGCGCAGUGGCUCACCGUGAUGCUCAUGAACAAUAUUAUCUUUAUUGUUUACUUUUUACUUUUUAUUUUGUCUUUACAUUUAUACUUUCAUAAUUAAAAUAUCCUUAUUACAUCUAUAAUUUAAAUUUUGUUUUUGGUUUUUUUACUUUGAUUUUUUAUAUAUGAAAACAAUUUUAAUAAAUUAUUAAUUUUACAAAUAUUAAAUAUAUAAUAUAACUUCAAUUAUACUCAAAUUCUAAUUUGAUAUAUUUAAUAUUUUUUAUUACAUUCAUCAUUAUUUUUAUAUUUAAAUAUAUAUUUUAUAAUUAAUUUUAUUAUUAUUUUUAAUUUCAUUAAAAUUAAUCUUAUGAUUCAUCCGAAUAAACCGAAUCAUAAGAAUAAAAGAAUUGCGUCUUUUCUGCAGAAGAGCAUCAAGAGACGAUAUUAAAGGAAAGGAUUAUGAUUCAUAAUGGCAAACUGAAAGACCAACUCAAUGGGUCAUGAAAAUCAAAGAAUUGCGUGUUUUCAGCAAAAGAGCAUGAAAAGCCAAAACGUAAAGAAAUGAGAACAUGACGACAAACUAAAGGACAACUAAAGCACAGCCAUCUGGCUUCAUUGUGUUUGUGGGCUGUGGCAAAUGGUUUCUGUCGGUCAAGUAUUAUUUUUGAGUAAAUUACAUUAAAUUCCUUGGUGUUAGGCACUACUUUAAUAUCACUCCAUCAGUACGAUAAGCAACUUUCAACAGGACUUAAAAAUCUUGAUUUUAAAUUAAAAUAUUUUUAUGAGCUAUGUUCAUUUUAUAAAUAAAAAAAUAUAUAUCAUCAUUCCAAGUUUUAACAAUCACAUGAUAAAUAUAUUUUCAAAAUUCACAUCAAAUUUUUAUUAAAAUUGGAGUUAGGUGUUUCAUUCACAUUCAUAUUGGAGUUAAGAACUUCUAUUUACAUUCAAAAUUUCUUGAUGCAAUUAAUUUUUUAUUACAAAAAUAUAUAAUAGUUGUUAACUUUCAGCAAAUUAUUUUUUACUUUUUCCUUGCACCGUUAAUCUUAUAGAUUUAUAAAUUCAUAAAUUCAUAAAUUUGUAAAAAAUUAUGAAUUUUAAUAUUUGUAAAUUUUUUAAAUUUAUGAAAAAAUAUUUUUAUUAUUCACAAUUUCACAUAAAAUUUUUUUAAAAAAAUCAGAUUUUAAAAAACAUUUAUGAUUAUUUUUGUCUAAUUCUAUUGUUAUUGUUAAUUUGUAUGUGCAUGUAAUUAAAUAAAAACAUGCUGAACUUAUGAUUUUCCUUACGAAUUUGAAAUUCGAGAUCUUUGUAGAUAAUAUCGACACCCAAUAAAGUUGUAACAUAAUUCCUAUUCCCAACAUGUCAUACUCCUUAAGAAUGAAAACAAGUAAGAGACGGGCUGGGCUAUGAUUAUUUCUUGAGCCAAAACCAAUAUUGGAAUUUAGCUAUUUUUGAGAAUUAAAGGUAGAUUCUAGCCUGAUGUUUCCCAAACAGUUACAACUCUCUAGCAAUAAUGCUUGAUAUACAGCAGGAGUUUCCCAAAUAAUAUCUCGACUGCUCCCCCUACUAUAAAAUUUCGCAUAAAAACUUGACAUGCUACACGCAGUUGCGUUGGUUGGCGCAUGUAUUCGAAUGGUAAUAAAAGGGAUUGGGAUAUCAAUAUGGUUAAUAUAUUAGUUUUGUUUUUCAAAUCUCCCGCUCUCAUUUCUAUAGUAGCUAGUUAUUGGAAGCUAAAGCAUAAGUGGCUUCGGAAAUGAACUCUGCAAAAUUCUUUGAUUUUGAUAAGUACUCUAUGCUCUUGUCUAUAAUAAGUUGAGGUAAUAGUUAUUAGCAAGUUGAGGUGGUGCAUUUCUUUCAGUAACAGUAUUUUUGCCUCCUUAAUGGCAUUUUGAUCAGAACUGCAAAAUUUGGUUGCAUUUGGCAGUCCUUAUCGAGAACCUCAUAAAAAUAAUCUGCGGCUUGAGGCUAUUGCAUAUAUUUGUGCAUUGGAUCUUGCCGACAAGUUCCCUCCUGCACACCUUCUGAAUGCCUACAUGAAAUAUUCCAAGAUGAGCAAAUACAAGAAUUUCAAAAAAUCAUAUGUGAAACUGGUAACCUUUGCACCUUUUCUGUCUCUGUUUGCUCAGAGUUUAAGCUGAGAUCCAGCUGCUAUCCUAUUUUAUAUCUUUAAGACUUUAACUCCACAUGCUGGCAAAAUCAGACCAUAGACCAAGAAAUUGCUAUUAUGAGAAGGGUCCUUAGAUGCAUUGCUGAUCAGAGGCUUGAAUCUCUAUAUCCACCUGAGGAUCUUGAAAACUACAUUGUUCAUCUGGAAAGGCAGAAAGAACAGGGAAAUGAUACAGCACAAAGAGAAAAGAAGAAAGCAGAGAGGAAAGAAAUUUUGUCAGUCCCUUCAGCCGAGGCCAAACAACAGCAUGAGAGUGGAAUAAGUGGCCCUCCAUGAAUAUGUCAGCAGAGGCCACACCAAGCCUUUCUGGUAGUGCUGGUUGCAAUCUUCACUUAAAACCAUCUCAUCUUGAGCAACCAGUUGGCUCGAUUGCUGAUCAACCUGUUGCUUGUAGUUUGUGGGACUCCACUGCUUUCUCUGUAGGCACAAACUCAUUUAAUUGGCAAGAUGGGUGUUCAAUUGCCAAUAACAGGAGCUUGGAACAGUUCACUUCAGCUGGAGCAGUUGACAAGGCCGCCCCAGCUAAAAUCUCCUUUUUUUUUUUUUUCGUUUCUUGUUAUUACUUUUUUAGUUCUUUUUACCGACCAAGGUCAUAAUUCAAUGUUUAGUCCUCCCUUCCUCAGCAACUUUUUGUUAUUGUUGAAUGUAUUUGUUUGUAAUUACAACAAUUUGCAGCAUGAAUGGUACCGUGCGUGCUUAGAGUUUGGCAAGUAUAUCUUUAUUGGUUUUCUAUUCUUUUGACAAUAAAAAUUCACUUGUUAAAUUUAUUUUCAUAAGUUGAUUCUCUAACCGUACAGAAAGUAGUAUUCAUCAUGCUCAAGUAAAGAUUGACCGAUGUCAAUUUGAAAAUUUUCAAUUGGAUGGCGUUGUUCCUUGAGAGGCAAGGAUUGACCGACAAUCUUAUAGCACCGGUAUGGAUGCGAAGGGUUUAAUACUUUUUCUAUGUGAGCAUGUGGAGGAUCACGAUUUAAUGCGCAGUGAAAUUUCUGACGCUCUUCAAUUGUCUCCCGAUCCUGCAAAACUUGUUUUGGAUGCAUUAUCGACCUUUUAUCAUUCAAAGUCAGGGCAUGCUCCUAAAAAGAAAAAGAACUCAGGGGAUGAAUUUAUUAGGGAAGCCUCAGGAGAAGUAAGAAAGAGUUGCAUUCUAUUGAUGGAGCAGUUAAGGACAUUUCCGCUCCAGAUUGAACCCCAUGUAAAUGAAGAGGUUUUGAAGCUGGCAGAUGAUUAGAAAGAAAGAACGCAAAAGUACCAGAAUGGUGUGAUGGCAUAUGGUUUCUUGCAGCUGAUAGUCACCUACUUUUUGAUUUCUGCUUAUGAUGCGGAUGAGCUUCUUGGUGUUUUGGUAAUUGCAAGUGAGCAUAGACAGUCUCCUGAUUUGUGCCUGGCUGUUGGUUUGACAGAUAAGAUCUGCGGUUAGUCUACUUUCUAUCUGUCUCCCUAGUUUAUCGUUUCUCUUUUUGUUGGUUCGUUUAGCUGUUAGGUGAGGUUAUCCUUGUCUUCUCUGCAUAGCUAUAUUAAUGCUACUAUAGUUACAUCUUCUCUAGCUGUUAGCGACCAGGUAUAAUGUAAUGCAGGAAUUCCCCAAAAUAAUAUUCGAGUGAUUUCUUGAGGUACAACUUUUGCAUAUGGAACCCUAGAUGGUACAACAGUGUUUUGUUGCAUCAUGUACUCGAAUGGUACAUGAAAGGAAUCAAAGGGGGUCCUUAUGGGUAAAUUAUUUUCUUUUUUUUUUCCGCAACAGUUCUUACUUGUAGUAAGUUUCUGAAUUCUGCUAACUACUUAUCUUGUUGUUUCUUUGCCAAUCAUCUCGUUCUUUAAAUUUCUCAGCAAAAAUAUGACAUUUAUGGAUUAUAAUGGUAACAUAUUAAGUUCAGGUGGUGUUUUCACAUGAGUUUUUUUUUUUUUUGGCCUGACGGUAUUCUGAUGACACCUGCAAAAUCUGCUUUCAAUUUGACAGUCUUGAUUGGAACCCUUGUAAAAAACAAUCUACGGCUUGAGGCUAUUGCAUGCAUAUGUGCGUUUGAUCUUGUUGACAAGUUCCCCCUGCACACAUGCUGAAAAUUCACUUGGAAUAUUCCAAAGAGAGUUCGUAUCACAAGGCCAAAAAAUCGCAUUGGAAAUGGGUAACUUUUCCAUAGACCUUUUAUCAUUAUGCAUGCUCAAAAAUUUGCUGAAAAUUGAACUGUAAUCCUGAUUCUGUGUGUUAACUUGAAUGUGCUCGCAACACAAAUUAUAGAUCAUGAAAUAGCUAUCGUGAGGAAAGUCAGCGGAUGCGUUGCUGAUCACAAGCUUGAAUCACCAUACCCACCAAACGAUCCCAGAGACUACAUUUUACAACUGGAAAGGCAGAAGGCAGAUCGAAACAAUGCUGCUAGGAAGCAAAAGCAGGAAACAUGCCAGAAAAAAACCGGAAAAGUCCCUUCUGCCAAUUCAAAACCACGGCACGAGUGUGAACUAAGUUAACCUCCAUAAAUGUUUCAGUAGAAGCCGUCUCAAGCACUUCUUCUAGUGCUGGUUCCACAGUUAAACUGUCACCUUUGCAACUACUGGAAAGCUUCUUUGCAGAUCAAGCUGUGCCACACGUUUUAUGGGACUCCACCAAUUUCUCUGCUAACACAAACCUAUUAAGUGGUAAAAGGCAGGCAGAUAUGGCUACCAUUGCUGAUAACAGGAGCUCAGACUCUGAUUGAAAUGAGCAACUUAACGAAAUUUAGCCCUGUGAGUUUGCUAUUUGCCUUCUGUAGAAGCUUUUGCUUUGGUAUUUGAUUUCUAAGAGAGAUCAUGGAACCUGGACGAUAAUUUUUUACUGCUUGUAAAAUGAGCUGUUAGCUCAGUGGCACUAGAGUCGGUUCCAGGACUGAGGGUUUCAAGUGGAACAUCAAAAGUAACUGCUUGUAAUAAUUAUAAUAUAAUCUAAGAAAGUAAUUUGCAUUUUGAAAGUUGAAACAGUUUAUUUGUAAUUUGAAAAUUUCCCUCAUUGUUGCUAACCAAAGACAUGGGCAGAUGCCAAGAUCAAGAAAAACUUGGCGCUAGCCCAGUCUUACAUCAAACGCAGCCCACUUGAAUAUGUCUACUCUUUAGCCUGUCUCCAGUCCUGGCUCCUGGUCCUGGUACUGGUUUACGUCCCCAGUCCUGCAUUAUAAUAAAAUUUACUGUUUGACUUAAAUAGUAUUAUUUUUCACUAAAUCUAACUUUUUAGAUUUGUGAUUGGCAAAAAAUGAAAAAAAAUUUGUUUAGAUUUGUAGAUUUUUUUUCCUUAAAUGGAUAAAAACAUGAGGUGGAGUCAAUGUUGAUUUCGUGUGGGAGGCAAAGACCAAAAAGGAAAAAUACAAAUAAAGUUAUUUGUCAUUUUUUUCACCUACCACAUGGCACAUGCCACACCAACCAAAGCAAAAACGAAAUAAAAAAACAAAAAGCUAAAGAGAAACGUCAAUAUUAAAUUCAAAUUUUAAUUUAAUUAAUUCAGAUAAUCAAUAUUUUUAAAAUGCUACAGAAUCAUUCUGUCUUUGGCCUUGCUUUUUCAUAAAUAUAUAUAUAUAUAUAUAUAUAUAUAUACAUUGUCUGUCUUUGGCCUUGUUUUUUCACGUGCAUAUAUAUAUAUAUAUAUUAAAAAAUCCAUUAUAUGUUAUCAUCAUUUAUUUGAUUGUAACAAUUAUUGGCUUGUCUUUUCUACGUUACGUCAAAAUAGAAUUCUUGCAAUCCAGUCAAAGACUUUUGACUUGUUACAUCAACCAACCCUCCUUUUGGCAAAGUUCUUCUGUUUAAUACGCUGCAGAUAGACCAAACUUAUUUAUAUAUUCUGAUUUAUUUUAAUUUCUCCUUUUUUGGGUUUCUCAAAGUUUAGCUUAGCUGGCUUUUUUGAUCUUUUGCUGAAAUGGGUAGUACUGGGAUGCUGAACAAUUCAACUAUGAUAUGUGCUCCAUUAAUGGCUCAAUCAGUGGAGCAAAUGGUUAAAGACGUGCACCAGGCAAAGGCUGAAGGUGCACAAGUUGUUGAGAUUAGAUUGGAGCAUAUCAAGAAUUUCCAGCCUCACCAGGAUAUUCAAAUCAUACUCAAAAAUAAAGUUUUGCCAGUGAUCAUUGUAUAUAGGUAAUCAUCUCACCUAUGUUUUUUUCUACUAGUGGAUUUCUUAGUUUUAUGUUAUUUGAGCAGUCUUAUGAAUAUUAGGAGAUUAGAGUUGGAAAAAUGCCUUUUUGUCCCCUCAUUUUAGAAGUCAAGAUUGUAUUUGGUAGAUUCUUUUCCGUAUGUUGCUGUCCUUGUCCUUUUUUGUUGAAAAAAUAUUAUUAGGUCCCAUCAUUUGUUUUUAAAUGGAUGUAGCCUGUAAUUCAGAAUCACAGCAACGUAUUCUUGUGCAAAAGCUGCAGCAAAUUGUUGUAAGGAUGGGCUUCUAUUUGGUGAUUUGAAGACAGGGGCAUCCUGAAUUCAACACAUCAAACAGCUGUAAUAAUAAAUGUUUUUUGUUCUACCAAGUUGAGACCAACCAUGAUACUGAACAUUUUCACUUUUGCUUGUGGAUGCAAACAUAUCAUAGAAAUUAUUGGAAACAGAGAGGACAAAUAUCAGUGCCCAACUUUAUCGAGUUUUUAAUGAGUUUGUACUCUUUUCUACAUGAAAAUCUAUCGUACUGCUACUUGUGUUAAUAAUGUUUUCUUAAUUUUCGCUUUCAGAAGCUUGUGAGUUGUGUUGUGAGGUAGGAUAAUUAGAUUAAAAUAGGUGGCAGUGAUAGAAUAAUUUUGCCAUUCUUUCUGAGAUGACAGGAAUCUAUGUUGUAUGAACUUCUAAAACUGUAGUAAAAGAUAAAAAUAUAACUUGGGUUUGACAGUUUGGGAAGGUUUGAAGUUUCAUUGUAUUUAAUUUCUAAGAUUCAGUCUUUUCUUCAGGCCUAAAUCGGAAGGUGGUCGGUAUGAAGGAGAUGAGCAGUGCCGGCUUGAAGCACUUCAUUUAGCUACAGAAAUGGGAGCUGAUUAUGUUGACUUUGAACUCAAGGUAGCUUUUAAAUUGUUGUACUUUUGUUUGCAAACUAUUAUACUCUUGAUUAUUGCAUUUUGGUGCAUUCAUUUCUAUUAUUGACUAUUUUACAAACUUAAAUAAUAUUUUCACCCAUUUUCGUUUCUCAUUUAUCUGAUAGCAGUUAAAAUAAAAAGUGCCAUAGGCAGUUUUCCCUUUGAAUGACCUAUUUGUUCCUUCGAAAUUUCUCUUAGUUUUAUCUGACUCGCAGAUCAUGUGAUUGUCCAGGUUGCUUCUGAUCUUAUUUGGGAACAGAAAAUGAAGGAUGGUAGUGCUACUAAAUUUAUUGUGUCAUGUCACAUAAAUGGAAUGACCUCUUCAGACGAAGAGUUAAACAAUCUUGCUGCUAGCAUUCGAGCUACCGGAGCAGAUAUCAUCAAGAUGGCUGCAAAUGUAACGGAUAUUACUGAGAUAGCAAGAAUGUUUCAUUUGCUUUCUCAUUGCAAAGUAUGAAACUCUAACUCUAUUGACUUUGCUUUGAAUAUGUGCAGAUUAGUUGUAUAAAUUGUUGCAGUGGAAUAACAUAUCAAAUAUUAUUUAUCUGCAGGUGCCAAUAAUAGCAUACUCUGCAGGGGAAAGAGGUCUCAUAAGCCAGCUAUUGUGCCCAAAAUUUGGUGGCUUUCUAGCCUAUGGAUCUAUUGAGGGAAAUUCAAUUCCUGGCAUGCCUUCUUUAUAUAGUGUUAUCCACACUUAUAAACUUGGCUAUCUAAAUUCAGAAACUAAAGUUUUUGGACUUGUUUCAAAACCUGUCGGUCACAGCAAAGGCCCUCUAUUGCAUAAUCCUAUAUUCAGACACGAGAACUUCAAUGUUGUUUAUGUCCCAAUGUUUGUAGAUAAUCUCAAGGAGUUCUUUAACAUCUAUUCCAGUCACGACUUUCCUGGUUUUAGGUACGUCAUCCUUCAAUUUUGUCUUUGGUAGAUUAUGUCAGGUUACAGUGUUUUCACUUAAGUAUAUAGCCACUGUAAGCUGCAUCUGUUCUUAUGAGCAACACUUGUAUUUUGACCUUUUAGGCAUUCAAACACAUUUUAGCCAGUAACAACUAAGCCCAGAACUGGCCUUGAAAGAUUUAGUACCAACAAAGUAUGGAUGUAGGAAAAUUUUAUGUUACAACUCGUUCUUUAGUUGAUAUAGUAAUACUGAUUUUCGAAACUGGAAGAUCAUGGAUAGUUGCAACAUACUGAAAUAUAAAUGCCUUCUUUCUUUGAUAAAUUGCUUUAUUUCUCACCCUUAUUUUCAUCUCCUGGAAUGAUGUAGCCAGGUUUGUUUUCCACUGUUCUCCGAAAUGUAACUUCUCUUUUUCCUCAUUCCAAUGGAUUGCAGUGUUGGGUUUCCGUACAAGGAAGCUGUAGUUGAGUUCUGUGAUGAAGAUCAUCUACUUGCCGAGGUUGACUAUAUAACAGUCUUACAAACAUGUUUGAAUCUGUAAUUUCCCAUGUAUUUUUUCAGGUCCCUUGUUUUUGUGCCCUAUUCCAUUUCUUUAUGCACAGUUUACCAAAGCACCGAUUUCUGGCUAUACUAAGGUCUAAGACCAAGUUCUGAAUCUAAUUAUUUAGAAGAUCAACUUAUUGAGAGAAGCAUACCAAAGCAUAUAAGACUGGUUUGAUCAGUUAAUUGCCAGAGAAAAAGGAAAAAAAAUUGUAUUUAAGUUUAGGCAGAAUAUUUAUCUGAUCCUGGUUGUAAAAUUCAUAUUUUACUAUCUGAGCUAGUUGGCAUUGCAUCAUCAGACAUGGCACAUUUUGUGAUGGGAAACCAAAAGUAACAGAAGAUUACACUCAAACAAUUGUAUGUUGACAUGUUCUAUAUUGAUAUAUUUACCUGUCACACCCCGAGAUCAACACGCAACACGGUCGUAUUAUCUUGAAGAAAACCCCAAAGUAAUAAGAAGCCUUUUUUCUUAAUCAUUCUAAAAUUCUUCAAUAAAACAAUCUACCAAGUAAAAUCUAUAUCUUUAAUCCAACUGAUAAUAUAUCUUUAUAUAUCCAAAUACAAACUAUAUAAAAUACAAAACUACCUCUUAAAAUCUCAUUGACUAACAUAUUCUCCGACGAUUAAUUAAUCUUACCCAUUUCAUCUUCUAGCUUCACACAAGACUAACCAAACUUAUCACUUAGUCAUAUGUAAAAAAAAGUAAAAGGGAAUGAGCAAACCACAGCUCAGUAAGUAUAGGCUCACACACCUUACCAGAUCAAGCAUCGUUUUCUUACACAUCAUAUAGAUCAUUCAAAACAUUCAUCAAAUCAUAAUAUCAAAACAUUUCAAGAUCAUCAUUUUGUCAAAUAUUUCAUAAAUUCAUAAAUUAAUAUCAAAAUAUGUUACUUCAUAAAUCAUUGCAAAAUAUGCUAUCAUUCAAAUAUUAUAAUCAAACCAAAUCAUUGAUCAAUCAUUAAAAUCAUCAUAAAUCAUCAUUAUCAUUCAUUUAUCGUUAGCUACGGUCACUGUUAUAACCCGUGACAUUGACCGUAUCGAUAAUUUCAUUCUCAUGAUCAUUCUAAUUAUUAUAAUCCGUUAGCCAGGGCUUACGCUAACUACUAUUACCUGUUAGCUAAGGACGUAUGAUCAUGUCUUUGCUAACUACUAUUAUCCGUUAGCCAGGGUCGUAGAACUAGUUCUGGUGUCGAUGAUCCCACUUCCCAGAGAUGUAAAAACGUAGCCAUCACAAAAUCAUUCUUUAAACAUAAAUUAUUUUCUCAUUUCAUUCAUAAGCAUGAUCCAUCAUUUAUAUAAAGAAACACAAAAUAAUCAUAUUAUAAGCUCCUUAACAUCUCUCAUAGUUUAAGGAUCAUAACCUGAACUCUUAGAAAAUCUCCAAGAAACAUAACUUAAAGCUUUUAAAAAAAAUCUUAACAUAAUCUACAAAUCAUAAUCUAUCUCUUAAAAUUCUUCAAAGAUCGUAACUUAAGCUCUGAUACCACUUUUAUCACGUCCCGAGAUCAAGACGUAACACGGUCGUAUUACCAUGAAGAAAAUCCCAAAGUAAUACGAAACCUUUUUUCUUAAAUAUUCUAAAAUUCUUCAAUAAAAUAAUCUACCAAGUAAAAUCAAUAUCUUUAAUCCAACUAAUAAUACAUCUUUAUAUAUCUAAAUACAAACUAUAUAAAAUACAAAACUAUCUUUAAGAUCUCAUUGGCCAACAUAUUCUCCGAUGACUAAGUAAUCUUUCCCAUUUCAUCUUCUAACUUCACACAAGACUAACCAAACUUAUCACUUAGUCAUCUGUAAAGAAAAAGUAAAAGAGGAAUGAGCAAACCACAGCUCAGUAAGUAUAGGCUCACACACCUUACCAGAUGAAUCAUCGUUUUCUUACACAUCAUAUAGAUCAUUCAAAACAUUUAUCAAAUCAUAAUAUCAAAACAUUUCAAGAUCAUCGUUUUGUUAAAUAUUUCACAAAUUCAUAAAUCAAUGUCAAAAUAUAUCACUUCAUAAAUCAUUGCAAAAUAUGCUAUCAUUCAAAUAUCAUAAUCAAACCAAAUCAUGGAUCAAUCAUUAAAAAUCAUCGCAAAUCAUCAUCAUCAUAAAUCAUCAUUAUCAUUGGUUUAUCGUUAGCUACGGUCACUGCUAUAACCCGUGACAUUGAUCGUAUCGACAAUUUCAUCCUCAUGAUCAUUGCUAACUAUUAUAACCCACUAGCCAUGGCCUUAUGCUAACUACUAUUACCCGUUAGCCAGGGUCGUAUAAUCAUGUCUUUGCUAACUACUAUUACCCGUUAGCCAAGGUUGUAAAACUAGUUCUGGUAUCGAUAUCCCAACUUUUUUUUUCACUUUUCCAAUAACUUCAAAUGUCUUUACAAUGCAAACUUAACCUUUCUUACUUUAUAAUCCUCGUAAUGAGUACAAAUGAUUAAUCACUUGAUACAAUAGAUCAUAUCUCCAAAUUCUGGUAUAAUUCUCGUCCUUACUUUAAACCAUUACUUAAUCAACCAAAAUUUAUCAGCCAUUUGUUCCAUAAAUUCAAGAAAUAAAAGCUUUUCUUCUUUGUCCUUAUGCCAAUAAGUCUAAGAUUUAGAUUUGCUUCCAUAGAAAACCUCAAAAUAAUGAAAUAUUUUUUUUUCGAAUGGUUGAUUAGAAAGAAUAAGUUUUGAGGCAAAAUGAUUAUUUUUUUUCAAAGUUCAAUGAAACAAUCAUACAGUAAGAGAUAUGAUUGCAACUAGAGGAUAGAUGUUGGAUAAAUUAAGUUUCAAAGACGAAACUUUUUUAUAAGAGGGGAGAAUGUAAUACCCCUAGCCAAAUAAUAAUUAGGCUAGAUUAAUACUAAAGCCCAUCAGUUUAUUAAGACAUUAUUUAGUAAAAGAAAAAGGGCUGAAGUAUUAGAUGAAAGAAAACCUAAUUAUCAUGAAACAGAAAGGAAAUAGAGUUAUUUUUUCUCAUCUUUCUUAGGGUUAGAGGAUAUGAAAAAUCAAGUUGGAGAUUCACAAUCAGAGGCUACAAUCAAGUUAAUCCCUUAAAAGUGAGUACAUGCCCUCUUUUUAUUUAAGAAGAAAUAUCAAGUUGAUUGCUAUUAUUUGGAGUUAAAGUUUUGAGAAAAAAAUCAAGAAAAAUCAUGAAAUCCUUCAUUAAUCUUGAUGAUCUAUUUAGGUAAAUUACUGGCUUUUGUUUAUUUCAUGUUCUUAAGAUUUAUUGAUGAUUAUUGAAUGGAGUUUGUAGGCUGAAAAUAAUGAUUUGAGUUUUUAAAGAUUGAAGAAAAAAUUCUAUUUUUGGAUGAGAUGUUGUGAUCUAUAAUAAUGAAUUAAAAUAGAAAUUUGUAUUAAUGGAUAGAUUAUUACUGUGAUUAUUAUAUAUCAUUGGAAAGCAUGUUGAAUCUAGUUUCUAAUGAAACAAAUGAAAGUCAAAUCCAAGUUUUCUAUGAAGAGUUGUCUAAUUUUAACUUAAGGAUAUGUAGGCUGUAAGAUAGCAGCAUCAGGGUUGAAUUACGAAAUUUUCCUAAUUUGUAUACAAGGAUUUAUAGAUUAAGCCAUAUAUUUUUGGAAAGCUUAUUGAGUCUACUUUCCAAUGAAAUAAGCGGAAUUGAAUUUGGAGUUUCCUGUGAGUAAAUAUAUAAUUUUUAUUAGAAGGUAUACAGUCUGUUUGGCAGCAGUAUGUGAUGUGGAUUUCAAAAAUUGUUAUAACUAAUCUACAAGGAAUUACGAUGUGUGCCAUAUAUGGUUAGAAAGCUUAUCAAGUCUAGUUUCUAACACAUUAAAGAGAUCAUAAUUCUGAUUUGACAUAUUGAGAUAUGACUGUUUUAAUGAAAAGAGGUCAGGCUGUCAGUAUUGAUUAGUUAAGUUAACCCUUUGUGUAACUUAGUUGAUUUUUGUAUAAAUGAUCUCAAAAAGGGUUGAUUAAAUUCUGAUCUGUUGAAAUGAUCUUGGAUAGGCCAUUAAUUAUUUUGAGAGAAAAACUAAGUGGUGGAAUCGAAUGGAGGUAAGUAGAAUCUCACACACUUUACUUGUUUUCGAAUCUAUGUAUAUAUAUGUUUCUAAAUGAAAGAAUGUUUUAUUUCUUUAUUUUUAAUGUGUGAAAAUAGGACCAAGCAUAUGAUUAUUUUGUGUUUUCGCUAUGUAAAUUAUGGAUCAUGCUUAUGAAUGAAAUGAAAAAAUGAUUUAUGUUUAAAGAAUGAUUUUGUGAUAGCUACGUUUUUAUAUCCCUAAGAAGUGGGAUAUCGAUACCAGAACUAGUUCUACGACCCUGGCUAACGGGUAAUAGUAGUUAGCAAAGACAUGAUCAUACGACCCUGGCUAAUGGGUAAUAGUAGUUAGCAUAAGGCCUGGCUAGAGGGUUAUAAUAGUUAGCAAUGAUCAUGAGGAUGAAAUUGUCGAUACGACCAAUGUCACGGGUUAUAGCAGUGACCGUAGCUAACGAUAAACCAAUGAUAAUGAUGAUUUAUGAUGAUGAUGAUUUGCGAUGAUUUUUAAUGAUUGAUCCAUGAUUUGGUUUGAUUAUAAUAUUUGAAUGAUAGCAUAUUUUGUAAUGAUUUAUGAAGUGAUAUAUUUUGACAUUAAUUUAUGAAUUUAUGAAAUAUUUGACAAAACAAUGAUCUUGAAAUGUUUUGAUAUUAUGAUUUGAUAAAUGUUUUAAAUGAUCUAUAUGAUGUGUAAGAAAACGAUAUUUCAUCUGAUAAGGUGUGUGAGCCUAUACUUACUGAGCUGUGGUUUGCUCAUUCCUCUUUUACUUUUUCUUUACAGAUGAUUAAGUGAUAAGUUUGGUUAGUCUUGUGUGAAGUUAGAAGAUGAAAUGGGAAAGAUUACUUAGUCGUCGGAGAAUAUGUUGGCCAAUGAGAUCUUAAGAGAUAGUUUUGUAUUUUAUAUGGUUUGUAUUUGGAUAUAUAAAGAUGUAUUAUUAGUUGGAUUAAAGAUAUGAAUUUUACUUGGUAAAUUAUUUUAUUGAAGAAUUUUAGAAUAUUUAAGAAAGAAGGCUUCGUAUUACUUUAAAAUUUUCUUCAUGAUAAUACGACUGUGUUACGUCUUGAUCUCGGGACGUGACAUUACCUGAUUCACAUGGAGGUGAUUCUAGAAAUUUUCUUAUAUCCAGAAUUCUUACCAGAAUUCUUAGUGCUUCAAUUCCCUAUUAAUAGCAUCUGCUUGCAGUUUCCUAUAUUUAUAUAUUUGACAAUGUAAUCAAUUUUUUUUCAUGCACUGUCAGUCUAUAGGUGCUGUUAAUACUAUUGUAAGGAGGCCUUGUGAUGGAAAGCUGAUAGGUUAUAAUACUGACUGCGAAGCUGCAAUAACUGCGACCGAGGAUGCUCUAAAAGGUACCUGCCAUUGAUGAGAAAAAAAAUGUUCAUCAUGUCCUCUUAGAAGUUUAAAGUAUUGAUCAAUGACAAGUCCAUUCUAGAUGCUGAUAUCCUGACACUGUUGUACUUGUAAAUCGUAAACUACUAUAGAAAAGAGAUGCACUGGUAAUGAAGUAUCUUUAGGCAGUCCGAUAUCGGGGAAACUCUUUGUGCUAGUUGGUGCUGGAGGUGCACGAAGAGCAUUGGCAUUUGGUGCUAAAAGCAGAGGAGCUCAAAUAGUCAUUUUUUACAUUGAUUUUGGUAUGUGAUCUACAAUUCUUAAAAGGCAAAUCCAUGGUUUUUCCCUUUAUGUUGAUUUGAUUGUCAACUAUAACUUCUGCCUACUCUUUUUUAAUACAAUGUUGUAGCAUUAGCAAUAAACAUUAUGAGUAGAGAAUCAAAACCCUUUCGUACUAUUAUCAUUGCUUGUGGAAAAAGGGAGAGCAAAGUCCCUUGCUUGUGCUGUCUCGGGUGAAGCUCGACCUUAUGAAGAAGUAGUUAACUUCCAGCCAGAGAAAGGAUCGAUCCUUGCAAAUGCAACACCCCUGGGAAUGCAUCCGAAUACUGAUCAGCGCAUUCCUGUUGCUGAGGUCUCCACCUUCCACCACUUAGUGGUAUUUCUUUUCUGAAGAAUAAAGUUCAAUUUUGUUUCAUUACUGAAGUUAUUUGCUUUCAUAUUCCAGGCAACCUUGGGAGAUUAUGAGCUGGUCUUUGAUGCUGUUUAUACACCUAAGAAAACAAGACUAUUAAAAGAUGCAGAGGCAGCAGGAGCAAUCAUUGUCAGUGGAGUUGAAAUGUUCCUCAGACAAGCUAUUGGUCAGUUCAAUCUCUUCACUGGUCGAGAAGGUAUCUCUUGAAUCCCUUCCUUCCCUCUAUCUGUUUCAUGACCUUAAACUACAUCAUAACCACUCUGGACACUUAUUUUCUAAUUAAAUCAAUUAGAAACUUUAGACCUUUUAAACCAUCCUUAGAUCUUUACUGCAAAUGUAAGUUGAUAGUUCAACCAUCUUGAUCUUUUGCUGUUUGAUUUUAGUCACGAGACUAUUGAAAAAGAAUAAUAAAGCUUCCAGUGAGUAGUGAAUCCAUCUUUAUUUCAUUAGUUGGACGAAUGGAUGAAGUUUAUGAUCUGAAAAAGCUAUUUUGAUUGAGUUGAUAAGAUUUGAAUACUUUGUUUAUAAGACUUAAGUUUGAGUCCCCGUUGCUAGCAUUUCCCUUGAUAGAUGAUUUGUAAAUUAAUGUAAAUCGAUGCUGAAGCUUGUGAUCUUCUAUGGUCCUAAAAUGAGAAUGCCUCUUCUUAUCCUAAAUUUUUAUAAAAAUAUAUAUAUACAUAUAUACAUUGAGUCAAAAUUGCUGGAGAUAUCCUAUUUUGAACCUCUUCCAAAAUUCUGACUUCUAAUUUUACCAUGUACCAUCCUCAUGAUCAAGUUCAAGUUUUGUGGUGAUAAUCUCAACUAUUCUUCCUCAAAACUACUGCCUCCUACAGCUCAAGAAUUUUAGUUGCAACAUAUAUUUUCAGAAUUCUUAAUAUGGUUUAAAUGAGGUCAAUUUUUUUAUUCUGUUUUGCAGCACCUAAAGAGUUAAUGCGAAAGAUCAUUAUGGCGGAGUUCUGAUGUAUUACAUCACACAGAAUAUUGUAACAUUAAGGAGUAGAUAGAUCAAGUACCAUGGAAAAGGAUUCAUGUAGUCAAGCUGAAGCCCUUAUUCUUGGACAAGGUUUUUUUUUUUUUUUAAUUUAUUUCAAGUUUUGGUCAUUAACUUACAUGGAAAAUGAAAAUAUUUCUCUUCUUUGUUUUCUUUGGAGGGUUCAAAAAAAAUUUUUUUUAAAGAGAUCAUAGUUUAAAAAUUAAGAAAACGAUUAAAGUAAUAGAAAUUUGAAUCUUAAAUUUACUGAAAAAAUGAUUGCAUAAACCUAACUUAAAAGGGUUAUGAGUAUUAAAAUUUGAAUCCAAACUUUUAAUAUCAACGACUGAACUCCAUUAUAAGUUCACAAAUAUUUACAUAGUGAAAGCCUUUUUCUUAUUUUGAUCAUAAUAAUAUAAACAAUUAUUACUUAUUAGACUUUGCUGUUAGAAGAGGAUUUAAAUUAAAAUCUCACUUACAAAAAUUUAAUUUAGUUGACUAUCAAUUUUAACUAACUAUACGAUGCACGAUGAUUUUUCAAGUACUUGGAUUUUGGUUACUUCGAAAAAUUUAGAUGAUGUGCCAAAACUUAACUUCUUUUAGUAUUAUGUAGUUUUUGAAAAAAGAUAAAACAUGGUAAAUUUAUUAUCUAACAUUGUGUCUAUGUAGGCGUAAAAAGUAAUUGUCUUAAGUUAUCUAUAAUAUUGACUUAUUUGUUAGUUAUGCCAUUAUGGCUACUUAAAUUCAAUAUCAUAUAAUUUAAAGUGUUUUUUAUAAUAUGAUCGCAAAAUAUUUUCAAGAUUUACUAUUAGAUAUAUUAUCGAGCUUUAUUUAAUGUUAAUUUCUUCUCUCAAGAGAUUUUCUCUAAUACAGUAAGUUGUAUUCAGUGUUUUAUUUUUAAAAUAUUUUUUAUAAAUAUCAAAUUCUGAUUGACAAAAAAAAAAAAAAAAUCGAAUGGGUUCAGAGUUUUACUCUUAAAGUCUUUUUUUUUUGAGGGUUCAAAUUCUAAUUAACAAAGAAAAAAAACCCUUUUCUCCUUACUAAUUAUAUUAAUCCUUGUGGAUUAAAGUGGUAGAUUAUGCUAACAAUAAAAAUUAGAAGUUAUUUCAAUUUUUAAUUUGCUAUUUAAUUUAAUUAGAAUUUCGAUACAAACAAUAAUAUAAAAGAGAAUUAAAGAUAAGAGUUAAAUUUUGGAUCUUAUCUCUCAAUUAAGUUAUUAAUUAAUUUAUUUGAUCUAUUAGCUUUACCUUGAUGAUUUGUAAAAAUUUUCUAAUAUAAUCAUCAAAUAAUGUUUAUUUUAAGUUAAUCAACAAUGGUUUUACUUUUCCCCAUUUCAUUGCAAAUAGAAAAAAUUAACUUAAUUUAACUUAAAUUCUCAUAGUUACUUACCAAUGUUUAAACGAAUAUAAGGCACUACUUAUAAGAUUUGAAGCCAAGACUCUUUCAGGCAAAGAACUAAAAAAUCCAACUUUAAAAUUGAUGCCUAUUGUAGAUAAAAACCAUUGUACUUGAACAACGAUCCUCUGUUUCUUAUACUUGGAAACUAUUGGCUUAUAGUGUAUUCAGAGGACCAAGAUACUUGCUAUAGGUUGUUCUGUUUAUGUCAAUGCUGAUAGAAAAUGUCCUAAAUGAAAAUAAAAAAUAACUGCUCCAUCCCAAUGAGUUGUCAGUCAUUGGGCUUUCUGCAAGUGUUUUGACUUGUAUAUGUUUUCAAUUAAUGAAAUAAAACUAGUAAGCCUUUGCUAAAGUUUGAAAAGGACCAGCUUCUUCACUUGACAUGAGGCAAAUACUUUGUAAACCUUCAAUGGCGAUUGGAUUCUUCCCAUUCUUCCAUUCAAUCAGUAGGAUUAAUUGGGCAUUAGCCCUCAUCGUAUGAGAAAACUAGGAGGGGUAUUCGUUCUGCCCAAUUUUCCCGUACCAUCUGCCUCCUUGACAUUGAAUGCUCUAUUUACGAUUCACAUUGAUGAUAAAAUUGUCAAUCACAGAUCUGGGUGGAAAAAAUCAUUGAUAAUUAAUAUAUAAGCACAAAAUUGCCAGGCCAAAGAAAACGACUAACCUUGUUCACCAUGAGCCAUCAAAUCAUACUUCUGAACAGUGCCACUAAGGUAGCAUGGAACUCAGCGCAAGGGUAGAAUGGAACAGGUUAUAUCAGGAUGGAUAAAUUGCCCAUUCACAAAAUGUUGUAGGCACAGCACACCUUGGGGCACCCAAUGGACUCAAGAAUUUGCCAUUGGUUCAAUGCAGCAGAAAAUCAACUGUAAACAAACACAAACCAUCAGCCAGCCCAAACAAAAACCAUCAAUUUGAGCCUCCAGAAUAAAUAUGAAUUGAGCUUUCUUUCAAGUUUCAACGUGAAAUAUUUUGUACCUUCCCAAAAAGGGAGAGUCGCAAAUCCUUGAAAUUUCAAAAUAAGUAUGUGAUCCUGAACUUCAUAAUAUUUCUCCUUAUCCUCUUGACUUCAGAACUGUUGUCAUCCAUAACUUCUGAACACCCAGAUCAUUAAAAAUAGAAAAGUAGUACAUAUGUUAUUUCUUCCAAGGUUCAAAUAAAUGGCAAGUUAUAAUUAGUCACCAUAGAAACAUAAAAGACUAAAAGAAAGAAGCUGCAACCAUUUACAGGUUGAUCAAAUGCAGCAUGACUAAACUUGUCUUUAGAGACAGAAUAGCUUGGCAGCACUGCCCUUUAGUAAUAUAAUUGACAAUCAAAAGAAACGAAAAAAAAGAGUACCAUUAUUUCAUUUUAAAGAACCCUUGUAUUAUAUAAAGAAACUUAUUAACCUUUGAAUUUCAACGAUGAAAGUAUCAAUAACAUGAUGUCUCAAAAUACAUACAUUGUUUAUUACUCUGCAUGGCACAUAAAAUGCUGGCCGUGAAGGAAUAGGAUUAGAACCCUUGCCUUCUGCACUUGAGAUGAAGACACACCUUCAAAUGAAGAACUUACCUUAUUCAAGGCAAAGAAAAAUCAUUUGCUUAGAUGAGUACUACAUAAGCUAUACUGUCUCAAGAUGCAUGGAAGACUUUUUGCUUACUUCUGUUUUUGGCAGUUGAAAGGAUUGAGCUGAUUUCUUUCAGAAUUUCUUCGACUAAUGUUGACUGGAUUUAUGAAAUAUAAUGAACAAAUAUUAGUGAAGGUGAAAAGAAAAUUACUGGAAAAUUACUUUUGUUACUCUUUGAAGAAUCAGUAUCAUAAUGAAUGAUAACAAAGCCAUUCUAAUUUCAAAUGAAGAAACAAGAGUCAUAUGUCUCAAAUACACAUUUUCAACAAUUUCCUACCUUGCCACGCUUGCCAUUUGAAGAUCAUCACCAUAAUCCCUCUUCUUAUUUUUUUUUAUUAUAAAUUUAAACAUUCUCUAACCAUAAAGAAUAUUAUUACUGAAAAGCAAAAGCAUUUUAAAAAGAAAAUCCAAUGAUCUAUUUCAGUUGCUCUAGAAUAUCCUAAAAAGAGUAAAUUAAAUAUAAAUCCUGAUGAAAAUAAAAAGGAAAAACUGUUUAAAAAUUACAUAAUAUUAUAAUGAUAAGAGAAAUAUAAACUAGGAAGGAGGCAUCAAACUCCUACUUAAUUGAUGAGGAAAAGUAAAGCAUUUGAGUUGAAAGAAACAAAUGCUAUAUUAUUAUGAAUGGUAUCUGAAGAUUUAUAGAAUGAAAUUUGGCUUACUUGUGUGUUAGAAAUUGAAGGAUUGCCUUGAUCUUCUAUAGAAUACUGCAUUUCCUCCAUGGGAUUCUACAUAUAUAUAAUAAUCACCAACAACAAUUAAUUUUAAUUGGUCAUGAAGGCGAAAAGAUGAAUUAAUUUUGAUUUACAAUGGAGUCGUCAUCAACGCUCCCAACCACAAAUUUUCUUUUUCAAUGAUAAUCAAAGAAAUUUGAAAAAACAUACCCUUUCCGUGAACAGUUUUUGUAUGGUGCUAUUAAGGCUUCCUUCCCAAAUCCAAUCCCCUACCACCCACUCAGUUGGUCGUACUUCGUGCAACAUUGGAGCGUUUAACCCUCCCUUGGAGAACAUCUUCAUCUUUGGGCAAUUGUAUACAAUUACUGUUGCUAAGGAUGGGAAUCCAAAGGUAUGAUUCCCUGAUGAGCAGAAGCUUUCUAGAUUUGACAGCCGACAAAGUUCCAAAAGGUUGAGUUUGGGGAAAAUGAUUUCAACCUUCACUUCAUCACGAUCCCCAUCGCUACCUUCUAUUAUUUCUUCUAUCUUUCCACAAUAACCUAUCCUCAUUUCUCUGAG